CUGCCCUGAGAUGCUUGAGGAUGUGAACUACAUCAAUAAUAACAACAACUACUACUACAACCGUCCACAACAAAAUCAAGGUUGGAAUCAACAGAGGCCUAACUACUCAGUUUGCAGAUCAGACAAUAAGUUUCCCAAAAGGAAUAUUGAAGAACCUUUGUGUCCGAGUUGGUACCUUGUAUGCCCCAGCAGACUUCGUGGUGAUAGAGACCGGUAAUGAUGAGAGAGCACCCAUCAUCUUAGGGAGGCCAUUCUUAAACACCUCGGGAGCUGUCAUCUAUGCUAGUGCUGCCAAGAUCAGUUUCUACAUCAAAGGGAGGAAGGAGACAUUUUCCUUCAAGAACAAGACUACCCAAAUCCCAGAUCAAUCUAGAUGUGAAUCAAGGAAGAGGACCAGUAGGAGGAACAGGAACAAGCAAGUGUGGUCCGAGUCAGCUAAGAUGGUCACUGCAGUUCAUGGAGGCCAAGAUCAUCAACUCAAGUCACCGUUUUUGACCAAGAAGGACGAUCCAGGAAUGCCAAGCAUCUACUGCUCCAUAAAUGGAUACAGCUUCUACAAGACGUUUCGCGACACCGGAUCGGGCAUCAACAUAAUGGCCGCAGUCACCUAUCGGCUCUUGUUCGGAACCAUGCCCUUAAAACCAACAUACAUUCAGCUCCAGAUGGCAGAUCAGACAUUUUGAGAGGUCAAAGGAAUAGUAACUGAUGUCCCAGUCAAAAUAGACGAUCAUUUUGUCUACACAGACUUUCAGGUUAUUGACAUGAGAGAAGACGAGUACGAUCCACCCGUCAUCCUUGGAAGACCGUUCCUCAGCACCGUUAAAGCAAUCAUCUACAUUGGAACUGGAGAAGUCUAUAUGCACUUCCCAUUAGAGAAGGUAUGCCGUUAUUUUACUGGCCCUAACUACAUCUUAGAAGAAUCUACGUAGGUCAGAAAACGACACAACCGCAACCAGAGGAGGCGAAUUAUCAAGGACGGAUGGGCAGACUAUGAAGGAGAAGUUGUAAGGUCAGAAGACGUAGAGUUUAAACAGAAUUAUCCAGAGGAGAUCGAAGCACCGAGUCAGGUAUGGAAAGAGAAGAUAACUAUACAUGAAGAGGAGGCGCUGCCGGAAUUACCGACUACGCCACCCAACGAAUCCCAGGACAACUAGAAAACAAAGAGUCCCGUUCGGAGGACUUAAAAACACCGAAUGCCUUGCCAAGAGGUAAACUUGGUAGUUAUCCUUUCCCUUUCAAUUAUUUUAAAAUAGUCUACUUAGUUAAUCAUAUUCAUGCUAUCAUAAAAAGAAAAUAAAAAUGUGAAAAACAGUAAGCCCCAUGUGAGUAUACGAGUGGCAUGAAACUCAUAAGUACAUUCACUGUGGUGGCAUAAAAAUAAAAUAAAUAUUUCUUUUCUGCUUUAUAAAAUAAAAAUAUAGAAAACAGGGAGUAACAUUUAUUAAGGAGUCUCAACAUGAUAAAGGCUAGAUAUUUAUGCUAACACUUAAUUAGUUCCACAAAGCUUUAUUGUCUAUUUGAGCUCUACAGAAUUUAAGAAUCAAGAAGACUAGCAGCCUGAGGACAUUCCAAUCGCUGUCAAGAUACUGCCGACUUUCAAAUACACCUCUGCCACCUGCUAGCUACAUCAAAAGAAAUUACGUCAAAAUUCAGCUUGGGGGAGAGCACCCCCAUUUAUCCCGAUAAGUAUUUCUAUCUAUCUUUAUACUUAUACUAUAUUAAAAUAUAAAUAUACAUAGUUGCUCUGUCUAAUUUGCACAUUUUAAGUUCUCUCUCAAGUUUAGAUAUAACUGUUAUAAUAUAAAGCUUGCUCUAGACCUAAACUUGUGGGAUGAAGACUUGAUCUAAAGUCUAAGUUGUUAACGGAUACGAUAUGGGAAGGUUGAGCUGCUGUUUAUAUGUUCCUAGAGAUGCUAGAAUUCUGGAGAAUUUUAUCUUUGAAAAUCUUUAAAAUGUUGCAUGAUGAGUUCCUGUAUGAUGAGAGUUUGAAAUUUCUACCACAGCCAUAUAUACAUGCUUACUAGACUUUGAGCCACACAUUUACUAUUUACUGCUUAUGAGCAUUGAGUGUGGUCAAGCUGUGUAGACCCUUAGGAGCUUGUCAUGUGGUUAAAUCAAGAUUCACUUGCACGUUCACUCAUACAUGCUACUUCUACUCUGGAAGUACCAUCCACGUAUAUCCACCCAUUUUCAUCUCCAAAACCACCUAAAAAUAUUCUACUCCUAAUCCGCGAGAGAAUAGUCAAAAAUAUUUCUAUUUUUCCUUGUGAAAUAAAUGCUCAAGAUAUCUUGUUACUACGACUUGCUAUAUUAUCUCAAGAGAUGAGUGCUCUAAAAAAAAGAGAAAAAGAGAUACGAGGAAAUAAAAAGGGGCAAGUGCCCGGAACCUCGAAAGAAAAGAAAAAGUGAGACGAGAGGUAAAAAUGGACAAGUGUCUGACAGUAGAAUUAGGGGUACAAGAUACCCACCUGAGAGAAAAGAAAAAUAUAGAGCAUCUCAUUCUCGUCAUAAAGUUUUAAAAAGCAAGGAAGGUAUGUAUCCCCUCAAAGAGCAAUGUAGAAUUAGACUUUCACCAUUGUUAUCACCAUCAUCACCAUACGCCAUUCAUUCGCCACACAUGCACAUCUUGAUUUGACUUAUUGAUUUGUUUCUUUGGAUCCAUGGUUUGACUAUACUAUAAAUGUCUUGUGAGUAUGUAUAUUUUAUCUCCCACCUAUGAGCUCCACAUAUUAAAGCCUUAUUAGAGUAGGGUGAGAGAGAAGGCAAUGUCACUAUGCCUUAUACCACAAAUACUACAUAUAUUAAGAGAAGGCAUAUACCAUCACUGCCUUGGUAAGGAUCCAGAAAUACCACAAAAGAGAUCUGAGAGAAUCAUACAAGGAAUCUCUGAGUUUUAUUUGAAAAUCUACAAAAACUCUAGAGCUAUAGCUGAUCAAGAAUAAGAGACAUGGCACUUGACUAGACUGUUCUAUCUUUUAACUACUCAAGAUAGAAGUAACGGUUACAAGUCCCAUGGUGAAAGGUAAAGUAAGUAAGUUUUAAGUCUUGACAGUUUACUCUAACUCAGAGAUGAGAUCUUAUUUAAAAAGCAUGUGUACCGUCAAUUUUUAAAGGCAUUACAACAACUUCUAAUCCAUCGCUGAGUCUAUCCUUGCUCAGGGACGAGCAAGAGGUAAGCUUGGGGGAGUUUGUUGACGGUCCUUAAGUAUCAAAUUUAAUUAUCAAAUAAACAAAGAAAAGGAUCCAAAUGAAAUCAACAUCUAGACUUAGGGUUUUAUCUGACAGAAUUCCAUGAGUUUUGGUGUUUGUCUAUUUCUGCAGGGGGUUAUCAGGAAAUACGGAAGAAAGGCCCACACAUCGGGAUUACAUAGAGAUAUUAACGUGCCGCGCAAAUAUCUUACAUCGAGAAGACUCCAAAAGCCACGGGAAGAAAGCGGAGGCCGAACGGGGCCAGAGGCAGGGCGCCCGCCCUCCUUCCCUGGGCGCCCGCCCUGACUUGGAGUCCAAUCAGGACUUGUUUCGUGGGAGAUCUUCACCGACCUAAAGGAUCAAGGAUAACCGUUCAAUCAAUGUCGGUUUGAUCCAACGACCCAUAUUCACUUGAAGGGACUAUAAAACCAGACCCCCUGGCCCCUGGAGGAGAGAGCCUCUCAACCCUAAUUCAUUAUUCCUCAUGGGAGAAGAAGCCUCUGAUCAAGAUUAGAGCCACCACAUCAAUUAGACAUCAAGAUUAGCAUAGCUACAUAGGAUUAGAACUAGAAGGAGUCAAUCUUCGAUUGGUUUCCGGAUCUGUCAAGAGGAUUCUUGGUAAUUCUCUAAUUGUGCUUCUAAUUGCUUUCUAAUUAUCUUUGCUCUUCAAUAUUAUGAAUAUGACUUUGUUCUACUUCAAUAUAUUGCUUAUGACUUUGCUCUACUUGUUUAUAUUCAAGAUUAUAUUGUUCUUAGUUUAUCAUAGUUAUGUACUUGGCUUAGUUAGAUUGGAUCUAUAUACAUGCUUUGGAUCGUAUAGCGUUUAUCCAUCGGAUCCAUGGGUAAAUGAUAGAUAUUGUGUAGGCGUGGUGCUUAUACCGUAUUUAUCUGCGAUUGUACCCAAUAUGCCAGAUCGUGGGGUAGUUCGUGAUAGUGACAGCUUCAUUGAUUCUUAUAUAGUCCCCCUCUCAUGUAUUGGGCUGGCAGAGCAACAUUAUUACAGGGGAGUGAUUGCUAUGUUUCUCAUUUACCUUGCUAAUAUCACUAUGCAUGGGCGUAGUCUUGUCUCGCAAUGAUUGCUAAGUAUGCUUGCACUAACUAUGAUAAUGCUAGACUAUAUAGUUGAGAAUAACUUAGGAAAUAUUCUUGUAGUUCGUUCUAAUUCCAUACUAAUGACUUUCUAGAGUAUCUAAUUGAGGUGCUUAUCAUAUUUAUUAUGUGGCUAGUUAUGAUCAGAUUAAUUAUCUUUGUCACUAUUCAUCAUUUCAUAUAUCUUUUAUGUGACACUUAUCCCUGUAUGAAAGAGUUAGAUAAAUAUUCUCAGUUAUACAUGCAAUGAUAGAUACUCAAUCUCAUAUUCUAUUCUGUAAUCAAUAUUGAUGAUUGUUAAUCCCAUCCCAGUGGUAAAAAUAUAAAUAACGAUACCUGGAAUACUUCUCGGUUAAAAUGCUACAUCGGUAUUAAUCUGUGCGCUUGCAGAUCCCAUUCAUUAUUUAUUUAGAAGAGCAGUUGCAUAUUUCAAUACCGCAGCUCUCAUGUCAUGCUGGGGAUGACAACUUGGCUUAAGUGGUAUGAGGAUAGGUUUGGCAUUUUUAUCACCGUUACUAGAAUUAGAAAAUUAAGUCUACUUUUGGUAGUGAUGUUAAGAAUACCCAACAGGUGGCUAGCUUCUUUCCUUUGCCCUUCUCUGCCGCUGACAGACGACGGGGAGGGUCACCUCCACCAUCACCUCCUGGAGAACCCCCUGAGCCGGCUGCCAGACCACUGACGUUCUUGCAAGAAGCCAUUACAAGAAAAACUACCUGUGAACAACUGCCGACAACUGACAAACUGCCACAAAAGAUCAACACAGAUCCGAUGUCGAGACGCGUUCCGAAUGAAAUAUCGCGAUUGAAAAGCACCGGAGAACACGACUCGACUCCUCAAAGUGCCCAAACCCUAGCCACUUCGUAGGGAGGGAAUCCCUGCGCGAGGAGAAGGAAGAGGAGAGGCCUCGGAGGAGAUCUACCCGCGGGGGAAGAUUCGAGGUCGCCGGAGAUCCUUUGAAUCACGGGCGGCAGCGGCUCAACGUCUUUAGGGCGCGACUGCGGGUGGCCUCGCGAUGGGAGAGAAGAAAACUGCUCGAGCCGAAACCCCGGGGCGCGGGUUAUAUGCGCCUAAUUCGGGGUCACCGGACGCUCCUUAUGUGGCACCGGACGCAUCCGGUGACCACCGGUCUUAUGCGCAGAGAGAUCUGCAAAAGACCUGACCACCGGACGAUGGCCACCGGACGCUGGCCUUAGCGUCCGGUGCCCUAGGGCACGCCUGGCUGAGCACCGGACGCACCUGUUGGUGCAAAAACUGGUCUGCAAACACAAAGGGCUAAUACCCGAUUGAAACGUUAAGGCGUGCUAGCCAAUUUGACCUUACUAUCGGCAAAGGUGAUAACUCGAAUACUUUAGUCCUGACAACAGCGAUGCGCCCGGAUGUCACGGCUAAGAGGUACUCACGCGGAACUUGAGAACGCGCCGAGCCUAAGUCGAAUUCCUAAGAACUCGUAAUGAAAAGGAAAAAGUAUGACGAAGUCGUCGAAAAAGUAGAUGCUGGAAUAUGAGUAAAAACGUGUGUUUGAUUGAUUGAUAGAUGUCUCAUUAUAAAGCCCUAGGGUCUAUAUUUAUACCCCGCUCAAAGAGCCACAACCAGACACGAUUAGAAUUCGAAUUCCAAAUUACACGGAAUCCGUAUACAAAACGAUUUAAAUAACUAAGGAAAUAAUAAAGCUAUCCCCCGUGACAAGCUGAAACUCUUCCACAAACCGAUCGGCAGCUUCUGGACUCUUCCUUCGUAUCAUCGGCAGACUCCCUUGUCAUAGCCAUCGGCACAGACACAUCACCACCUAUAGACUUAGUCACGCUCAACCCCUCCUUCAUCGGCAACCAUCCUCAUCGGCAACUCAUCCUGUAGACAAAACACUGCCGUCUUAUCCUGCUGGCCUGGACACGUGCCCAAAAACGGUGUCAACACAUGCCCCCCAAUUUCGGAGUAUAAAAUCAUUAAUGCUCCGAAAUUCUCUGCAGUAAUGAUGCCUUUUCCCGCAAUUAAUGCUCCUAAUCUGGUAACCGACAACCUCAAUCUGAACAACUCUGAUCCUAUUCUUUUGCAGAUCCCUCGAAAUCCUCCAUUUCCUAAACGAGCAUUUCCUUCUUCACCGCACAUCGGCAAUAUUACCGUUACAAAGAUCUAUCGAUGGACUAAUCAGGACGUUCGUACAAACGGCUAUCUUCACUUUAUUCGCCCAUCGGCAAUAUGACCGUUACAGAACGGUGCCGAUGGACCGACCAGGAAAUCCCGCACAGUAAAAUAUCUCUGGAUAAUGACCGCUUCCCGCCAAAUCACUUGCACAAUCCCUUGAUUACCGUGCGAACAGUUACCAUAUCUACCUGAGUACCCUCGGAUUUCUCGGAUGCGGCAAAGAGAUAAGUCAGAUUUACCCCUGCCCAUUUUGUCUUAUAAAUAGUUCCUUCUCGGGUACUCCUUCUCCAUCACAUCAUUCUACAACUCCAACCUCACCUUUCCGGCGGCGGCGCUGUUCCAAAAAGCUCCAAGAUCUCCGACGAGGCUCCUUCCUCACCAACUCCAAAACUCUCAAUCUUCUCCUCUGUGGCAAAAUGGUCGUCAACUUCAUCAUCCCCGAGGUCAGUUCUUCGCACCAUCUCUUGUACUUUUCUCGCACCCCCGUUCAUCUGCAAUCCGCCGUACUGAAUAUUUUUUCCCUUCUCCCUUUUUUUUGUUUUUUUAUACCUCCAAAACCAUUAGGAAUCGGCUAACAAAAUUGUCAUCCCCACUGAUCGACCACAUCUCCAAUGCCUUGGCCCGUUAGGGGAUCCAGAUCCAACCGAUCUCAUAAACGUAGAAACCAACAGGAUCCCUUUCAGGGCAGAGAACUUUUCCUUGGAUCUGUGGAAGGACACUUUUCAUUCCUGGCCCAGCCCUACCGUGGGGUGGACAGAUUGGUUUCUGAGAGUCAGCAACUCAAAUGAAGUCCAAUGGGGUGAAAGAAAUCUAGCCCAAUGCAUUAGGUUGUCUAUUGCCGAUAUGCAUAGGAACGAGUCACUGCUGAUAGCUGCAUCAUACUUCUGGUUAGACACGCUCAAUGCCUUUGUCUUUGGCCAUGGCCCUGUUUCCCCCACUCUUGCCGAUGUGGCUAUGCUCACCGGGUUAGAUAUUUCUUCUGCCGAUAGCACCCACUUCUUCGAUACUAAACCCAGUGCUAAGGUAGAAACCCGCGCCAUCGGCGGCUGGUCAGGGUAUAUCCAGAAAUACCGCAAAACAGGCCCUGUUGACGCAAAAGGGCAGACCUGCUUCUUGAACAUAUGGCUAGACAAAUUCGUGUUUUGUGGCCGAUCGGCAGGACCAACUUCUGUUCAUCUAGCAGCAGCGGAAAAUCUGGCCAAUGGUGGCCGAUUUCCCCUUGGCCGAUACCUGCUUGGAGCGGCCUAUCACCUCCUCCAUCAAGUAACUAAGAAGCUCUUGCUUGGCCAGUCUAUCGGUAACUUGGGAGGCCCCUGGUGGUUUAUCAAUAUGUGGCUCAAUCUGCAUCUGCACAAGCGCCUUGAAUUUAACCUGUUCACACAGCGUUUCCCAAGGGACAUAACCAAAAAUCAUGUGUUGGGUGAGGAGGAAUCGGAAACACGUGCUCCCUUAAACUUCGGCGAGGCUAUCAUAGUUUUGCCUGGUUCAGGGGGUAACCCAGAUCAGGUCAGCCGAUUCUUCCAAACUCAGUAUGAGGGCUUGGCCAGAGAUGAGCGAGCAUGGUUAGCCUAUGAUGACCCAGACAGUAUGCUUCCCCUGGUUUUCAACCCAUUUGAUGAAGCUCUUGACCGGGAUAACGAAGUGAUGAUGGCAAUAGUGACUCCCAGAGCCAUACCAGUGAAUUUCUUUGGUAGUGGGAAAACCUCCCCUCAGACUUAUGAAUUUUACAACCCAUCGGCACUAGCCCGUCAGUUAGCUUUCGGCCAGCUGCCGAUCGCGCUCUGCUACGCCGAUGUGAUAAAGCCCAGGGAAACCAUCAACAGUCUCCUUGAAUGGAUCCGAGUAGCCUAACUGCCAUCGAGUGCCGAUACAGAAGUGGAUUUAUCAGAGUGGGUUCCAGCAGCUUUCAUCACUCAGGCAUACAAAUAGUGGUGGGCAGAAUGGAAGGAGCAUCUGUUCUGUAAAUCGGCCCUCACGUACCGCGGCAUGAUUGACCCCGAGUACGAAGUUCCCAAUGACAUCUGUUCUUUCAAUCCUGUUUCUAUUGGCAAUUUACUUUUGAACUUUUCUGCAGGUUGAUGAUAUCCCUCCAUCGGUCAGCAAAAGUGGCAAGCCGAUUGAUCUAUUUGCAUCAGGCCCAAUCUCUUCAAUCGGCCACAACGCCCCUACCUUGGCUUCCAUCGUGCAUCGAGGUAUACGCCUGAGGAAGGCCACCACCAGGAAGACCCAGACUUCACCAUCGGUAGCUGCUUCCGCCCUAGCUCUGGCUUUUAAGGUAACUGCUAACCCUCUUCAUUUAUACCGAUCUUUACCUUUACAUCGGCUACACUUGUAUUCACAAAUCCCUCUUUGUUGUUACAGCAAACCAGUGCAUCGGCAAAAACCAAGAGUCAAGGUGCGGAUGCCCACCAGUCCAGCCAGCAGAAGAGAAAGGGUGCCAAGAGUACUAGGGCAGAAACAAAGCGCCAGAAAGUGGCAACUCCUCCUCCUCCUCCGGUAUCUCCCAUUCCGGUGGAAUCUUCCCCUUCUCCUCCGGACGUAGAGAUUCAGCAAGCACCAUCUCCCCCUCCAACGCAAGAAGCACCACAGGUAGGAGAAAUUCAACUAGAAGAACCUCAACAAGAAGUACCUCAGUCAGAAGACACAUCGGCUGACGUUCAUGAAUCAACCACCGAUCCAGCAGGUUUCAUUAUAACAUCGGUGGUUUCCUCCAUUCAGACAAGUACCGUCCUUCCUCAAUAUAACAUAUUUAUAAAGUUAAUACCGAUGAACCCAUCUUUUCAUCUCAUAAUGACUUUUAAUUUUCAGCUGACGUCGUUCCAUCGGCAACUUUGGCCGAUCAAUCUGUAGCUCCAUCGACAUCUCUGACCGAUCAGCCCGCAGCUCCAUCGGCAUCUUCCAGUCAAAGGAAAGAGAUUGCCUUGAAGCAAGUAAGUUAUCCAGCUAACAUCAAUAUUUUACCGGCAUUUUGAUCAUGGACUGACUCACUUUAUUUUCCUUUUCAGGAGCAGGACUCUCCUGACAGCCUAUUCUCCUUCGCCAUCGACAUCUCUGAAGAAGAAGGUGAAGAAGCAAGCUCUUCCCAGACAGUUGGCAUUACAUCGGCAGAGCUCAGGGCCAAGCUGGAAGAAUUAUCAGCCCUCCUUCACCAAGACACGGCGCAAUUGGUCGAUGACUCCGACCUAGCCAAAGUUCUAUUCAGAACUCUCAGAGGCCAGAUCCCAGCCGAUGUCGAAGAAAUCCUCUUCCAAGCCGCACACUUGGAGAGUCGUUAGCUGCAGUACCAGAGGGCUUCUCGGCGCCUUGCCGAUAGAGCUGCUCAGACUCAGCUCUCUGAAGAAAUGAGGAAAGAGAAGCUCCUGACCGAUGAGAAGCACAAGAACAUCGGUAUCUUGAGAUCUUCAGGAGACACGCUGAAGCAGAAGAUCUCUGACCUAUCGGCAAAAAGGGAAUCCCUGCUGGCAGAACUCAAGCAAGUAGAGGACGCCUUAUCCUAAGCCCAACAGGAAGAGAGUCAACUGCCAGAGACCAUCAAGCUUCUUGAGCACGAGCGAAACGUCCACGGUCGCAAGGCAGUACAAUUGAAGAAGAAGCUGAAGCCGAUAGAAGGUUCUGCCGAUGACGAUAUCAAGGAGAUAGAAGCAGCCAACCAAAUCCGGCUACGCGCGAUAUCGGAGAUCCAGGCGCUGCUGAACACAUGAAGCAUUCAUCGGCGACAUAUCUGUGUUUUUCUGCUCUUUUAGCUUUUAGUUCAGCCGAUAGGACUGUUAUCGACGUCUUUUGAAACAUUAAGUCCUGCCCCCAAACAUUUGAAUCCAGCCGAUAAGAGUGUUAUUGGCAUUUAAACUUUUAUGCAUCGACCCAUAUGCUGGGGUAGUACUUCUUUAAAUAUUUGCCAUUUAAUGCUCUGGGAAAUUCAACUCCUUCGAGAGUUUCUAGAAUAUAGGCAUUUCCAGGAGCCGAUCGACUUAUCCGAUAAGGACCUUCCCAAUUAGGAGACUAUUUCCCAAACUUCGAACUUUUAGUCCCGAUCGGUAAAACUAAUUUCCAUACCAAGUCCCCAUCGGCAAACUCCUUAGCCUUUACCUUUUUGUCAUACCAUCUAGCAACUCUCUUCUUAUUUUCUUCUAUACUCAUUAAAGCCUUUAACCGAUGUCCUGCUAGAUCAUCUAACUCAUCGGUCAUCAAAGUAACAUAAUCAUUAGCAGCCAAUUGAUCUUGAAAAGAUAAUCGCCUAGAUCCAGCCUUAAUCUCCCAAGGUAACACUGAAUCAUGUCCAUACACCAAUUGAUAGGGUGACACCUUGGUUGAUCCAUGACAGGCCAUCCGAUAGGACCACAACGCUUCAUUUAAUAAUGUAUGCCACCGCUUAGGAUUUUCUUCAAUCUUUCGUUUGAUGAGCUUGAUAAUUCCUUUGUUAGACGCCUCGGCCUGCCCAUUGGCUUGAGCAUAAUAAGGAGAAGAAUUCAACACUUUAAUCCCCAUACCGAUUGCAAAUUCAUCAAAUUCCCCCGAUGUAAACAUAGUGCCCUAAUCGGUAGUAAUUGUUUGAGGAAUCCCAAAUCGGUAAAUAAUAUGCUCUUUCACAAAAUCAAUCAUAUUGGCCGAUGUGACUUUCUUCAAAGGAAUAGCUUCAACCCACUUAGUGAAAUAAUCAGUGGCGACUAGAAUAAACUUAUGCCCUUUGCUAGAUGGUGGAUAAAUCUGGCCGAUCAGAUCAAUAGCCCAUCCUCGGAACGGCCAAGGCUUUAUGAUAGGAUUCAUAACCGACGCAGAUGCCCUUUGAAUAUUACCAAACUUCUGACACCCUUGACACCCUUUGAAAUAUUCAAAGCAAUCCUCAAGUAUAGUCGGCCAAUAAUAUCUAUUCCUCCUAAUCAUCCACUUCAUCUUAAAAGCCGACUGAUGUGCUCCACACACCCCUUCAUGAAUUUCUCCCAUCAAACUCCUAGCUUCAUCAUCACCUAAACAUCGGAGAAGAAUUCCAUCAAUAGUUCGAUAGUAUAAUUCAUCUUCGAGGAGCACAUACUUGGUUGCUUGAAACCGAACUCGCGUUUCAACUUUCCUAGAUGGAUCUUUCAAAUAAUCAAUAAUUUCUUUCCUCCAAUCAUUGGCAUCGAUUGCCGAUACUGUAUUAAUCAUAGGCUGAUAUCCUGAGGCAUGCUGAGCUAACCGAUUGGCCUCUUCAUUAUGCAAUCGGGGAACAUGCUCUAAACGGAAAUCUUUGAAUUCCUUUAACAGUUGCAUGCUCCUCUCAUAAUAAGUUAUGAGAAUUUCACUUUGGCAUUCAUAGCUCCCUGCCAAUUGGCUUAUAACCAACAUAGAAUCCCCGAAGACUUCGACAGCGUCAGCACGAACUUCCCUUAACAACUCCAAUCCUUUUAUCAAAGCCUGAUACUCAGCCUGAUUAUUUGUUGAUGUAGCAACAAUCGGCAAGGAAAAUUCAUACUUCCUCCCCUUAGGGGAAACUAAUACUACGCCGAUUCCUGCCCCCCGGUCACAUGUAGAUCCAUCAAAGAAAAGCGUCCAGGGCACAAUUUCCAAAGCCUCCACUGCACCGCAAUGUUGGGUCACAAAAUCGGCCAUAAUCUGCCCUUUAACUGCCUUAGCCGAUUCAUAACGCAGAUCGAAUUCCGACAAGGCCAAAAUCCAUUUACCGAUCCUGCCACUCAUAAUCGGCAUAGAUAGCAUGUACCGGACCACAUCAUCUUUGCAAAUAACAGUGCAUUCGGCCGAUAACAAGUAGUGCGUUAACUUGAUACACGAAAAAUAUAAGCAUAGGCAUAAUUUCUCAAUGGCCGAAUACCUGGUCUCAGCAUCAAUCAACCUCCUGCUGAAGUAAUAAAUUACACGCUCUUUCCCUUCAAAUUCUUGAAUUAAAGCUGAACCGAUAACCAUCCCAUCGGUAGACAAAUAUAAUCUAAAGGGCUUUCCUUGCUGAGGUGGAAUUAGAACUGGAGGAUUCACUAAAUACUUCUUGAUUUCAUCCAGAGCCAACUGCUGUUCCUUCCCCCAAAUAAAUUCUUGAUCAGCUUUUAGCUUAAGAAGAGAACUGAAAGCACGAAUUUUACCAGACAAAUUAGAUAUAAAUCUCCUGAUAAAAUUUACCUUGCCGAUCAAGGACUGGAGCUCAGUCUUGUUGGUAGGGGCCACUAUCUUAUUGAUGGCAUCAAUAGAUCUUCGACUAAUUUCAAUCCCCCUUUGAUGGACCAUGAAACCAAGAAAUUGCCCUGCCGAUACACCAAAUGCACACUUGUUGGGAUUCAUCUUCAAUCCAUGCUUCCUUGUGCACUCCAAUACCUUUCGCAGAUCGGCAAGAUGCUUUGCGAAGUCCCCAGAUUUGACCACCACAUCAUCAAUAUAAAUCUCUACCAGUUUGCCGAUGAACUCAUGAAAUAUAAAAUUCAUGGCCCUCUGAUAAGUAGCACCAGCAUUCUUAAGGCCAAAAGUCAUGACUAUCCACUCGAACAAUCCAACAUGACCAGGGCAUCUGAACGCGGUUUUUGGAAUAUCUUCUUCAGCCAUGAAUAUUUGGUUGUAUCCUGCAUUGCCAUCCAUAAAGCUAAUAAUCCGAUGCCCAGCCGCGGCGUCAACCAACAGAUCGGCAACUGGCAUUGGGUAUCCAUCCAUCGGCAUAGCUUUAUUGAGAUUCCUGAAAUCAAUACAGACCCGAAGCUUCCCGUUCUUCUUGUAGACCGGAACAAUGUUUGAAAUCCAUUCGGCAUACCGACACUGCCGAAUAAACUUAGCUUCAAUAAGUUUGGUGAUUUCGGCCUUAAUAUCAGGGAGGAUAUUAGGAUUACAUCGGCGAGCUGGCUGUUGAUGUGGCAGAAAUCCAGACUUGACAGGCAACCGAUGCUCAACAAUUGAUCGAUCCAGACCAGGCAUCUCAGUAUAGUCCCAAGCAAAGCAAUCUUUAUAUUCUUUUAACAAAUUGGUUAACUGCUGCUUACAUUCAGGAUUUAACUUAGCACUAAUAAAAGUAGGUCUAGGCUUAUCACCACUACCGAUGUCUACUUCUACCAAAUCAUCGCCGAUGUGAAUCCCUGGCCUAACUUUCCAUCAUCGGCGAACCUAUCCAUUAAAAACCGUCGUCAGAACCGACUGCUUGGAUCGGUGGAAUCUCGUAAUCGGCAACUUUGAGAAAAUCCUUCUCCCAAACUUCUCCUGAAAUACACCUAGUCCUCUCAUAGGUAUCUGCUUCUGCCGAUGCAAUGACAUAAGAAGAAUCUCCUGGGACAAUUUCAAUCUUGUCACCUACCCACUAGACCAAGCAUUGGUGCAUUGUAGAUGGGAUGCAACAAUUGGCGUGAAUCCAAUCUCUCCCUAAUAGCAAGUUGUAAGCACCCUUUCCACUGAUCACAAAGAAAGUCGUCGGCAAGGUUUUGCUGCCGAUGGUCAACUCUACACAUAUUGCCCCCUUGACUGGAGACACGUUCCCUUCAAAGUCUUUAAGCAUCAUGUCGGUCUUGGUCAAAUCCUGAUCCCCUCUCCCAAGCUUCCGAUAUACUGCAUACGGCAUGAUGUUAAUAGCAGCCCCACCAUCAACUAGAAUCUUGGUCAUCGGCUGCCCAUCAACCCUCCCUUUGACGAACAAAGCCUUGAGAUGUUGUCUUUCGUCAUCGGCAGGUUUCUCGAAAAUAGCCGUCAUUGGAUCCAGAGCCAAUUGAGCUAUUUGGUCGGAAAAUUCCAACUCAUCAUCGCUAGAUGGCGCAAGAAACUCCAUCAGCAACAUAAAGACCAUGUUGACAUCUGCCGAUGGACCUUCCCCCUCGCGACUUGUUUACUGCUGAUCUUCAGACUGACCAGAGUUCUCACCCUUGUUUAGCCCUUCUCGCCUUUCGCGCUGCAACCUCCUUUUCUGUGUCUUGGUCAACCCCUCUGGACACCAUGGAGGAAACGGUCUUUGCCUUGCCGCUGGGCGAUGAUUUUCCCUUGCCUCUAUCCGAUGCGUAUUGGCAUCCCUGCAAAAUAUGAGUUCGUCGGGAACUCGUGCAUUAGCCAUCUCCUCAAGUCCUUCCUGGUUCCUGGGAAAAUACUGGACACGAUCACCAAGCCUGUCAUGUACACUGAGUCUGCCCCCCAGCCGAUCAUGGACGGAUGCUCUCCCUCUAAUCGGCCCAUUGAAGCGCCGAUCAUUAUCACGAUAGUUCCGAUCGGACCUGUCGUACCGAUCGUAACCGUUGCAUUCAGGGCAAUCUCUGACAGUAGGAAGCUUGAUAUUCUCUUCCCAGCAAUGGAUGAAGAACGGGCAAUUCCAGUGAUCCCUAUGCCGAUUCCAUUCGUGUCGGCGUCUUUCCUCUUCCCGACGAUAAUCUUCUUGCUGGCGCCGGUACUGAUCUUCUCGUUGCUGCCAAGUUUCCCAAGGUCUUCUAUGAGUUAUAACGAUGCCAGACCGAGGAGGCCUACCUGAGCUGGUUCCUUCCUGAACCAAGCCCCUACCUCUUGCAUCGGCAGUAGUAACUUGAUGCUGAGGAUCUACCGAUGCACUUUUCUCGGCUGCUUCCGAUGUUAAUACCUUGGCCUUUCCCUUGGCAUCCAACAUGUUUGUCGGGAAAGGAUGUUGGUCUAUCUUCAUCGGCUUUUGGGUCUUGGAACUGUCAAACUUGAUCCUCCCAGACUCUAUAGCCGAUUGCAGCUGCUGUCUGAAAACUUUGCACUCAUUGGUGUCAUGAGAAGUUGCAUUAUGCCACUUGCAAUAUUUCAUCCUCUUCAGUUCCUCAGCCGAUGGGAUCACGUGAUUAGGAGACAGCUUGAUCUGACCUUCCUGAAGCAGAAAAUCAAAUAUUCUAUCGGCCUUAGCGGUGUCAAAAGCGAACUUCUCUGGUUCCUUCUGCCCAAAAGGACAAGACAUCGGCUUCUUGUUCUUUACCCACUCUGCCAAGCCAAUGAUUGGUUCCUCAUCAGAAUCUGAGCUUGUUGCCUCAUCAACAAAUGAUACCUUCUUGUUCCAUGCUCUUUUGGGCUCGAAAGGCUUGAUGUCUUGAUCAGAGAUCCUCUGCACCAGAUGACUUAAGCUUUCAAACUCCUGAGAGGCAUACUUAUCCCUGAUGUGUGGCAAUAAACCUUGGAAAGCCAAAUCGGCUAGCUGCCGAUCAUCUAGAACCAGACUAUAACAUUUAUUUUUGACUUCCCGUAUCCUCUGCACAAAACCUUCAACCGAUUCAUCAUUGCGUUGUCUCAAUUUGACCAAAUCGGUGAUCUUCUUCUCAUGAACCCCAGAAAAGAAGUAUUUGUGGAAUUGCUUCUCCAGAUCGGCCCAAGUGAUCACUAAGUUAGGAGGUAGUGAUAUGAACCAGGUAAAGGCCGAUCCAGACAAUGAUGAUGAAAAUAGACGAACCCUCAAUUCGUCUCUGUUACCGGCUUCUCCGCAUUGAAUGAUGAACCUGUUGACAUGCUCUAUGGUUGACGUGUCGUCUUGCCCAGAAAACUUAGUAAAAUCCGGCACCUUGUACCGAUGCGGAAGCGGGAUCAAAUCAUAUGCGGGAGGAUACGGUGUCUGAUAAGAGUAAGUGUUGACUUUGGGUUUUAUCCCAAAUUGGUCUCUCAUUACUUCAGCAAUCUUAUUGGCCCAGUACGCAUCGGCUUCCUGCCGAUGAGGAGGUUGCAGAUCCGGCAUUUGAUGGUGAGCCUCCACGUGUCUGUUCGGUGCGCGAUCUGCACGGAACAUUGGGUUGAUCAUCUGGCCUCCAACCUAUGGACCACCAAUCUGUUGCCCGCCAAUCUGCUGUCCGACGAGCUGCUGCCCGAGAUUCAUUGGCUGGUUAGGGAUCCCCUGAUUCUGGAACCCGGGAUAGAUCUGUCCUUGCUGGAACCCUGUAGCCUGGUGACUCUAUUGGGGUGUUUGCGGAAAGACUUGCUACCCAAGCCAUCCAUUAUUAGCGUUCAUCGGCAUAGGCCCUGCCGAUGACUGGUAAUUGGGCAUCAUCAUUGAAUUGACAUACCUUGAUUGAGCCAUAGACCUCUGUUGCAUCAGCAUCGAGUCUGCCGAUGCGUUAGGCAUCUGGAACAUUGGAGCUUGAGAAUUCCCAGUGUGAGGUCUUGCAGUAGUAGUUGUAGUAUACUGGGGACUCUGGUUCAUCGGCAUAUUGGGAGGUGCCGAUGCCAUAGGAGUCUUGCCUCUCAUAUCAGUCGUCUGCGAUGUACCCGGCGUUAACUCUGGAGGCAUGCCAUAACCCCACCAGUUGGGAGGAGGGGUUAACCCUGUCAUUGCCGAUGCUAACAGAUCUGUGGCAAGUUUAAUCUGCCCAUCCGAAGUCUGUGGAUUAGUUGUCAUCGGCAUAGACUGUCCAUUGGUGACUCCUAACGUACUUGGUGGAACAGGAAUCUCCAUACCCGCAGCGGCCGUAGCAGCCGAAGGAGCUAUGACCACUGGUGACUUUGGCUGGUGAUAAGUGGGGCCCACAUAAUCUGGUGGGAUUUGUCCUUCCUUGAAAGUUCUUGCCACGGCAUUGAAAACCGUAUUAGACAGUACACCAGCUUGAUUGAUCAAAGCGCGGUUGAUCGCGCUGUCAACCAUCUCUUGCAGCUUGCCAGGAUUGGACUCAAAAGUAACCUGCCGAGGAGCCGGCAGUGCAUCCUUCUGAAUCACCUCACCGCUCCUGUUUAUGCUGAAGGACCUCAGGCAUUGCUGCUUGUAAUCCUCCAUGGCUUUAGCAAUAGCUUGCUUCUGCUCAUCCUUGAGAUUGGCUUUCGUCACGGGGAUGACGUUCUCUUGAUCAAACUCAGAAGUCGACAUGUUGAUCUUGAUCUUGAAUCUGUCCCACUGGGCGUGCCAAAAGAUGUGUUGGUGCAAAAACUGGUCUGCAAACACAAAGGGCUAAUACCCGAUUGAAACGUUAAGGCGUGCCAGCCGAUUUGACCUUACUAUCGGCAAAGGUGAUAACUCGAAUACUUUAGUCCUGACAACAGCGAUGCGCCCGGAUGUCAUGGCUAAGAGGUACUCACGCGGAACUUGAGAACGCGCCGAGCCUAAGUCGACGAAUUCCUAAGAACUCGUAAUGAAAAGGAAAAAGUAUGACGAAGUCGUCGAAAAAGUAGAUGCUGGAAUAUGAGUAAAAACGUGUGUUUGAUUGAUUGAUAGAUGUCUCAUUACAAAGCCCUAGGGUCUAUAUUUAUACCCCGCUCAAAGAGCCACAACCAGACACGAUUAGAAUUUGAAUUCCAAAUUACACGGAAUCCGUAUACAAAACGAUUUAAAUAACUAAGGAAAUAAUAAAGCUAUCCCCCGUGACAAGCUGAAACUCUUCCACAAACUGAUCGGCAGCUUCUGGACUCUUCCUUCAUAUCAUCGGCAGACUCCCUUGUCAUAGCCAUCGGCACAAACACAUCACCACCUAUAGACUUAGUCACGCUCAACCCCUCCUUCAUCGGCAACCAUCCUCAUCGGCAACUCAUCCUGUAGACAAAACACUGCCGUCUUAUCCUGCUGGCCUGGACACGUGCCCAAAAACGGUGUCAACAACACCUCACCGGACGCUGCAGGGGCACUAUUCCUGCAUCCGGUGAGUGCUGUCCAGCAGACUCACCACACCGGACACACCGAGACAGCGUCCGGUGCAUCGUCCGGUGCACCUCUGGGUGCUUUUUCAACUUAGCACCUCGACCGACUUUCACCCAACCAAGUUCCAACUUCAACAAGACUCAAAUAAACACCAAGUGGAACUGGUAUGAGUGACCUCUCUCAAACCCUCAAAUUUUCACAAAUAUUUAGCCUUAGGCUUAGUAGUUUUUUAUGAAAAUAGUCAAAUGAAAUCACCAAGGAGCAUCGUAUGGACAUAAAGCUAGGGGUUUAAGUCAUAAUGAGCUUUGAAUGCUCCCCCUAUCUAAGGACGAACACAGCGGAUGCUCAAAACAUAACCAAAAGAAACGGUCAACUAACAAGCAUGCAUAUGAUAUGAGGUGAAAUGCAAUACUUGAAAGUAAACUAAUGCUUGUCAAGUUUGAUCCAAGGUUAAGCUUUUUCACACACACAAGGGGGUUAUCUUAACCAUGUUAGACAAGCCCUACACACAAAACUUUUUGCAUUUUAGUUUAGGUAUGCAUGAAAUGCAAAACAAAAGCUAUUUACAAGUUUCAACACACAACUUCAUUUUUUAGUGUAGUUAGAGAGAUCAAGCACAUUAAGUUCAUUUCUCAACAUACAAAACCUAGCUUCAUCUAGGGGUUUUGUGAAGAUAUCCGCCAAUUGACUUUACGUUCCCACAUUCUCUAGAGAUAUAUCACCUUUAGCAACAUGAUCCCUAAGGAAGUGGUGGCGGAUGUCAAUAUGUUUUGUGCGGGUGUGUUGAACUGGGUUGUUAGCAAGUUUUACGGCACUUUCAUUGUCACACAACAAAGGUACUUUGUCUAGUACUACUUCAUAGUCUAGCAAAGUUUGUUUCAUGUAGAGUAUUUGUGCACAACAAGCACCAGCGGCAAUGUAUUCCGCCUCGACCGUUGACAAGGCAACACUAUUUUAUUUCUUUGACAUCCAAGAGACAAGAGAUCUACCUAGGAAAUGGCACCCUUCGGAUGUGCUUUUUCUAUCAAUCCGGCACCCAGCAUAAUCCGAAUCGGAAUAGCCUACAAGUUGGAAUCUUACACCUUUGGGAUACCACAAGCCUAGGCAAGGUGUGUAUUUUAGGUACCUAAGAAUUCUCUUGACGGCAAUCAAGUGAGAUUCCAUAGGCAUUGCUUGAUAUCUAGCACACAUACACACACUAAACAUGAUAUCGGGCCUAGAUGCGGUGAGGUAGAGUAGACUUCCUAUCAUGGAAUGAUAGAGAGUCUUGUCAAUUGGGUUACCUCCCUCAUCCAAGUCGAGAUGCCCAUUUGAUGCCAUGGGAGUCUUGAUUGGCUUGCAAUCCAUCAUCUUGAAUCUCUUGAGAAGAUCUUGUGUGUACUUCUCUUGAGAGAUGAAAACCCCUUCCUUCAUUUGCUUGAUUUGAAAUCCUUGGAAGAAGGAUAGCUCACCAAUCAUGGGCAUCUCAAACUCCUUGGACAUCAAAUCACCAAAUUCCUUGCAAAAAUCUUCAUUAGUAGAGCCAAAAAUAAUAUCAUCAACAUAAACUUGGCAAAUGAAGAUUUCCCCAUUCAUUUUCUUGGUGAAGAGUGUUGUGUCAACUUUCGAAAUCUUGAAGCCCUUCUCAAUGAGGAAGUCCCUAAGCCUCUCAUACCAAGCUCUAGGAGCUUGCUUGAGACCAUAGAGAGCCUUGGACAGCCGGUAGACAUGCUUGGGGUACCUAGGGUCUUCAAAACUGGGGGGUUGCUCAACAUAGACAAGCUCAUUAAUAUAACCUUUUAAAAAGGCACUUUUCACAUCCAUUUGAAAUAACUUGAUAUCAUGACUAGAUGCAUAUGCAAGUAGGAUACGGAUUGCUUCAAGUCUUGCCACCGGUGCAAAGGUUUCACUGAAGUCAAGACCUUCCACUUGUGAAAAGCCUUUUGCCACAAGCCUUGCCUUGUUGCGUACCACUUUGCCUUUAUCAUCCUUCUUGUUCCGGAAGACCCACUGUGUUCCAAUCACUCUUGCAUCUUUGGGUCGCUCUUCAAGUGUCCAUGUUGACGGUCCUUAAGUAUCAAAUUUAAUUAUCAAAUAAAUAAAGAAAAGGAUCCAAAUGAAAUCAACAUCUAGAUUUAGGGUUUUAUCUGACAGAAUUCCAUGAGUUUUGGUGUUUGUCUAUUUCUGCAGGGGGUUAUCAGGAAAUACGGAAGAAAGGCCCACACGUCGGGAUUACAUAGAGAUAUUAACGUGCCGCACAAUUAUCUUACAUCUAGAAGACUCCAGAAGCCACGAGACCGAAGCGGAGGCGAAACGGGGCCACAGGCAGGGCGCCCGCCCUCCUGCCCUGGGCGCCCGCCCCCUCUGGGAGUCCAAUCAGGACUCUGCUUCGCGGGAGAUCUCCACCGACCUAAAGGAUGAAUCUAAACCAUACAAUCUAUGUCGGUUUGAUCCAACGGCCCAUAUUCGCUUUAAGGGACUAUAAAACCAGACCCCCUGGCCCCUGGAGGAGAGAGCCUCUCAACCCUAAUUCAUUGUUCCAUCAAGGGAGAAGAAGCCUCUGAUCAAGAUUAGAGCCACCACAUCAAUUAGAUAUCUAGAUUAGCAUAGCUACAUAGGAUUAGAACUAGAAGGAGUCAAUCUUCGAUUGGUUUCCGGAUCUGUCAAGAGGAUUCUUGGUAAUUCUCUAAUUGUGCUUUUAAUUGCUUUCUAAUUAUCUUUGUUCUUCAAUAUUAUGAAUAUGACUUUGUUCUACUUCAAUAUAUUGCUUAUGACUUUGCUCUACUUGCUUAUAUUCAAGAUUAUAUUGUUCUUAGUUUAUCAUAGUUAUGUACUUGGCUUAGUUAGAUUGGAUCUAUAUACAUGCUUAGGAUCGUAUAGCGUUUAUCCAUCGGAUCCAUGGGUAAAUGAUAGAUAUUGUGUAGGCGUGGUGCUUAUACCGUAUUUAUCUGCGAUUGUACCCAAUAUGCCAGAUCGUGGGGUGGUUCGUGAUAGUGACAGCUUCAUUGAUUCUUAUAUAGUCCCCCUCUCGUGUAUUGGGCUGGCAGAGCAACAUUAUUACAGGGGAGUGAUUGCUAUGUUUCUCAUAUUCCUUGCUAAUAUCACUAUGCAUGGGCGUAGUCUUGUCUCGCAAUGAUUGCUAAGUAUGCUUGCACUAACUAUGAUAUGCUAGACUAUAUAGUUGAGAAUAACUUAGGGAAUAUUCUUGUAGUUCGUUCUAAUACCAUGCUAAUGACUUUCUAGAGUAUCUAAUUGAGGUGCUUAUCAUAUUUAUUAUGUGGCUAGAUCAGAUUAAUUAUCCUUGUCACUAUUCAUUAUUUCAUAUAUCUUUUAUGUGACACUUAUCCCUGUAUGAAGAGUUAGAUAUAAUGUUCUCAAUUAUACAUGCAAUGAUAGAUGCUCAAUCUCAUAUUCUAUUCUGUAAUCAAUAUUGAUGAUUGCUAAUCCCUUCCCAGUGGUAAAAAUAUAAAUAACGAUACCUGGAAUACUUCCUGGUUAAAAUGCUACAUCGGUAUUAAUCUGUGCGCUUGCAGAUCCCAUUCAUUAUUUAUUUAGAAGAGUAAUUGCAUAUUUCAAUACCGCGUCUCUUAUAUCAUGCUGGGGAUGACAACUUGGCUUAAGUGGUGUGAGGGAUAGGUUUGGCAUUUUUGGCACCGUUACUAGAUUUAGAGAACUUAGUCUACUUUUGGUAAUGAUGUUAACAAUACCCAACAAGCAUUUUUGGCACCGUUGCCGGGGAAGGUUGAUUACUAAUCAGGAAUGGAAUAAAAGAUUUUGAGUUAUCAUUCGCAUCACUAAUAUGAUUGAGCUUAUCUAUUCUCUCAUACAGUUUUACCCCGAUAUUUUCCUAUUUCAUCUUAUGCAGGGGAAUGUAUGAAUGGAAGACAUCUUCUAGAAAAUUUUGUUGACAAUCCCGAAGCAUUAUUCAAGAAGACGAGAGCCAUGCUCAAGAAGAGAUCAUCAACACUUCAGCAAGAAGCUUCAUCCAAUCAAGAAGAUCACCGGAACUUGUCUUCACAGUUCGAGGCCAUGGCGAACAAAUCAAUCCGCGAGUUCUCAGCUCCCACUACGGACAACAUCCGCACUGGACCUACUGUAGAGAUUGAUGGCAACUUUGAGCUCAAGCCUGGACUUAUCAACAUGGUGCAAUCCAACCAGUUCUGUGGGAAGGCACAUGAAGAUGCUAGUGCUCAUUUACAACACUUUCUGGAGAUUUGUAACACAUUCACCAUAUCAGGAUUUUCUAAAGAUGCUAUACUACUUCGCCUCUUCCCAUUCUCACUGUUAGGAAGAGCGAAGCAGUGGUUCUACGCUACAAAGGAGAAGAAUACUACGUGGGCACUCUGCUCAACAAACUUCCUGACAAAGUUCUUUCCCAUGGGCAAGACCAAUGCUCUCCGUGGGAAGAUUACGAGUUUUCAGCAACAAAAUGAUGAAUCUGUUCCAGAAGCAUGGGAGCGCUUUCAAGACUACAUCCUAGAAUGUCCCCAUCAUGGAAUGGAGAGUUGGCUAUUGAUGCAGACGUUUUAUCAUGGGCUCGGCAACAGUGCCCGAGAGACCAUGGAUGCUGCAGCUGGAGGAGCAUUUUUAUCACUUACUAUACCACAAGCCAUAGCUCUUGUGGAGAAGAUGGCGUCCAAUCAAAGCUGGAAUGAAGAGAGGACCCAGACACGCAAGAGAGGUGGAGGUAUGCAUCAGCUGAAGGAGGUAGACAUGCUGUCUGCAAAGCUAGACCUGCUCAUGAAGAAGCUCAACGAUAGAGCUGGAGAUAAGAAAGAAGUUAUGCACAUCUACGACUCUCACAUGACUUGUGAGGAGUGUGGAGACACUGGACACUCAGGCAAUCACUGCCCUGAGAUGCUUGAGGAUGUGAACUACAUCAACAACAACAACUACUACUACUACAACCGUCCUCAACAAAAUCAAGGUUGGAAUCAACAGAGGCCUAACUACUCAGGUAAUUAUCAAGGUAACAAUUCUUGCAACAAUAAUAAUAAUUUUCCACCUUUGAGAGAGUUAGUGUCUAAUCAAGGAAAGUUAAUGGAUAACCUAUCUAAGAAAUUGGCAUCUAAUGAUAAAAUACUAGAAAAUAUAAAUAAUAGAAUGGAUAAUUUCUCUACUGCCAUCAAGAAUCAAAUUAGCUUUAAUAAAAUGAUUGAAUCUCAGUUAAAUCAAAUAGCUGCUGCUGUUCCUACUACUAACCCAGGUAUACCAUCACAACCGGAAGGAUUAGAAUCUGCAAAUCUUAUAGACACGUUUGAUGCAGGUAAUUGGAGUAACCCCGUCAAUGAAUUCUCUACUGACCUUCUACCGGUCAAGAGAGGCGAUCCAGGACGCCCCGUCAUCCCGAUCUCUAUCGGCAUGGUGGACGUUCCAGAAGCACUCUGCGACUUUGGCUCCAGUGUCAACAUUAUACCCAGGGUACUCUAUGAAAAAUUCUUUACAUAUCCUUUAUUAGAAACGACCAUGUGUUUGCAGUUUGCAGAUCAGACGAUAACCGUUCCAAAAGGAAUAGUAAAGAACCUUUGUGUCCGAGUUGGUACCUUAUAUGCCCCAGCAGACUUCGUAGUGGUAGAGACCGGAAAUGAUGAGAGAGCACCUAUCAUCUUAGGGAGGCCAUUCUUGAAUACCACGGGAGCUAUCAUCUACGCUAGUGCUGCCAAGAUCAGUUUCUACGUCAAAGGGAGGAAGGAGAUAUUUUUCUUCAAGAACAAGACUACACAAAUUCCAUAUCAAUCCAGACGUGAAUCAAGGAAGAGGACCAACAGGAGGAACAGGAACAAGCAAGUGUGGACCGAGUCAGCUAAGAUGGUCACUGUAGUUCAUGGAGGCCAAGAUCACCAACUUAAGUCACCGCUUUUGACCAAGAAGGACGACCCAGGAAUGCCAAGCAUUUACUGCUCCAUAAAUGGAUACAACUUCUACAAGACAUUUUGUGACACCGGAUCGGGCGUCAACAUAAUGGCCGCAGUCACCUAUCGGCUCUUGUUCGGGACCAUGCCACUAAGACCAACAUACAUUCAGCUCCAGAUGGCAGAUCAGACAUUUCGAGAAGUUAAAGGAAUAGUAACUGAUGUCCCAGUCAAAAUAGACGAUCACUUUGUCUACACAGACUUUCAAGUUAUUGACAUGGGAGAAGAUGAGUACGAUCCACCCAUCAUCCUUGGAAGACCGUUCCUCAGCACCGUUAAAGCAAUUAUCUACAUUGGAACCGGAGAAGUCCAUAUGCACUUCCCCUCAGAGAAGGUACGCCGUUAUGUUACUGACCCUAACUAUAUCGUUGAAGAAUCUAAGCAGGUCAGAAAGAGACGCAACCGCAACCAGAGGAGGCAAAUCAUCAAGGACGGAUGGGCAGACUACGAAGGAGAAGUUGUAAGAUCAGAAGACGUUGAGUUUAAACAGAAUUAUCCAGAGGAGACUGAAGCACCAAAUCAGGUGUGGAAAAUAAAGAUAACUAUACAUGAAGAGGAGGCACCGCCAGAAGAACCGACUACGCCACCCGACGAACCUCAGGACAAUUAAGAAAAUGGAGAGUCCCGUUCGGAGGACUUAAAAACACCGAACGCCUUGCCAAGAGGUAAACUUGGUAGUUAUCUUUUCCCUUUCAAAUUGUUUAAAAUAGUUUACUUAGUUAAUCAUGUUCAUACUAUCUUAAAAAUAAAAGAAAAUAAAAAUGUGAAAAACAGUAAGCCCCAUGUGAGUAUACAAGUGGCAUAAAACCCAUAAGUACAUUUACUGUGGUGGCAUAAAAAUAAAAUAAUUUUUUUUCUGCUUUAUAAAAUAAAAAAAAAUAUAUAUAAACAGGGAGUAAUAUUUACUAAGGAGUCUCAAUAUGAUAAAGGCUAGAUAUUUAUGCUAACACUUAAUCAGUUCCACAAGCUUUGUUGUCUAUUUGAGCUCCACAGAAUUUAAGAGUCAAGAAGACUAGCAGACGGAGGACAUUCUAAUCGCUGUCAGAAUGCUGCUGACUUUCAAAUACACCUCUGCCACCUGCUAGCUACAUCAAGAGAAAUUACGUCAAAAUUCAGCUUGGGGGAGAGCACCCCCAUUUAUCUCGAUAAGUAUUUCUAUCUAUCUAUCUUUAUACUUAUAUUAUUUUAGAAUAUAAAUAUAUAUAACUAUGGAAAACCAAAUAAAGAUUUUAUGCUUAUUUAUAUAUCUUUUGCUUAGUGUGUUUAAUAAAUAAAUAAAGUGGCUAUGCUAAUCUGUAUCUAAAUAAAACUUAAGCAUGGAUAUGAUGAAUAGUUGCUCUGCCUAAUUUGCACAUUUUAAGUUCUCUCUCAAGUUUAGAUAUAACUGUUAUAAUUUAAAGCUUGCUCUAGACCUAAACUUGUGGGAUGAAAACUUGAUCUGAAGACUAAGUUGUUAACGGAUACGAUAUGGGAAGGUUGAGCUGCUGUUUAUCUGUUCCUAGAGAUGCUAGAAUUCUGGAGAAUUUUAUCUUUGAAAAUCUUUAAAAUGUUGCAUGAUGAGUUCCUGUAUGAUGAGAGUUUAAAUUCCUACCACAGCCAUAUAUAUAUGCUUGCUAGACUUUGAGCUACACAUUUACUAUUUACUGCUUAUGAGCAUUGAGUGUGGUCAAGCUGUGUAGACCCUUAGGAACUUGUCAUGUGGUUAAAUCAAGAUUUCACUUGCACGUUCACUCAUAUAUGCUACUUCUACUCCGGAAGUACCAUCCACAUAAAUCCAUCCAUUUUCAACUCCAGAACCACCUAAAAAUAUUCUACUCCUGAUCUAGGAGAGAAUAACCAAAAAUAUUUUUGUUUUUCCCUUGUGAAAUAAAUGCUCAAGUUAUCUUGUUACUACCACUUGCUAUAUUGUCUCAAGAGAUGAAUGCUCAAUAAAAAAAAGAGAGAAAUACGAGGAAAUAAAAAGGAGCAAGUGCUCGGAACCUCGAAAGAAAAGAGAGAGUGAGACGAGAGGUAAAAAUGGACAAGUGUCCGACAGUAGAAUUAGGGGUGCAAGAUACCCACCUGAGAGAAAACAAAAAGAAGAGCAUCUCAUUCUCCUCAUAAAGUUUCAAAAAAAGCAAGGAAGGUAUGUAUACUUUAUUUCCCACCUAUGAGCUCCAGAUAUUAAAGCCUUAUUAGAGUAGGGUGAGAGAGAAGGCAAUGUCACUAUGCCUUAUACCACAAAUACUACAUAUCUUGAGAGAAGGCAUAUACCAUCACUGCCUUGGUAAGGAUCCAGAAAUACCACAAAAGAGAGACCUGAGAGAAUCAUACAAGGAAUCUCUGAGUUUUAUUUGAAAAUCUGCAAAAACCCCGGAGCUAUAGCUGAUCAAGAAUAAGAGACAUGGCACUUGACUAGACUGUUCUAUCUUUUAACCUCUCAAGACAGAAGUGACAGUUACAAGUCCCAUGGUGAAGGUAAAGUAAGUAAGUUUUAAGUCUUGACAGUUUACUCUAGCUUAGAGAUGAGAUCUUAUUUAAAAAGCAUGUGUACCGUCAAUUUUUAAAUAUAUUGCAAUAACUUAUGAUCCAUAGCUGAGUCUAUCCUUGCUCAGGGACGAGCAAGAGGUAAGCUUGGGGGAGUUUGUUGACGGUCCUUAAGUAUCAAAUUUAAUUAUCAAAUAAAUAAAGAAAAGGAUCCAAAUGAAAUCAACAUCUAGAUUUAGGGUUUUAACUGACAGAAUUCCACGAGUUUUGGUGUGUGUCUGUUUCUGCAGGGGGUUAUCAGGAAAUACGGAAGAAAGGCCCACACGUCGGGAUUACAUAGAGAUAUUAACGUGCCGGGCAAUUAUCUUACAUCUAGAAGACUCCAUAAGCCACGAGACCGAAGCGGAGGCGAAACGGAGCCAGAGGCAGGGCGCCCGCCCUCCUGCCCUGGGCGCCCGCCCCCUCUGGGAGUCCAAUCAGGACUCUGCUUCGCGGGAGAUCUCCACCGACCUAAAGGAUGAAUCUAAACCAUACAAUCUAUGUCGGUUUGAUCCAACGGCCCAUAUUCACUUGAAGGGACUAUAAAACCAGACCCCCUGGCCCCUGGAGGAGAGAGCCUCUCAACAAUAAUUCAUUGUUCCAUCAAGGGAGAAGAAGCCUCUGAUCAAGAUUAGAGCCACCACAUCAAUUAGAUAUCUAGAUUAGCAUAGCUACAUAGGAUUAGAACUAGAAGGAGUCAAUCUUCGAUUGGUUUCCGGAUCUGUCAAGAGGAUUCUUGGUAAUUCUCUAAUCGUGCUUCUAAUUGCUUUCUAAUUAUCUUUGUUCUUCAAUAUUAUGAAUAUGACUUUGUUCUACUUCAAUAUAUUGCUUAUGACUUUGCUCUACUUGCUUAUAUUCAAGAUUAUAUUGGUCUUAGUUUAUCAUAGUUAUGUACUUGGCUUAGUUAGAUUGGAUCUAUAUACAUGCUUAGGAUCGUAUAGCGUUUAUCCAUCGGAUCCAUGGGUAAAUGAUAGAUAUUGUGUAGGCGUGGUGCUUAUACCGUAUUUAUCUCCGAUUGUACCCAAUAUGCCAGAUCGUGGGGUGGUUCGUGAUAGUGACAGCUUCAUUGAUUCUUAUAUAGUCCCCCUCUCGUGUAUUGGGCUGGCAGAGCAACAUUAUUACAGGGGAGUGAUUGCUAUGUUUCUCAUAUUCCUUGCUAAUAUCACUAUGCAUGGGCGUAGUCUUGUCUCGCAAUGAUUGCUAAGUAUGCUUGCACUAACUAUGAUAUACUAGACUAUAUAGUUGAUAAUAACUUAGGGAAUAUUCUUGUAGUUCGUUCUAAUACCAUGCUAAUGACUUUCUAGAGUAUCUAAUUGAGGUGCUUAUCAUAUUUAUUAUGUGGCUAGAUCAGAUUAAUUAUCCUUGUCACUAUUCAUUAUUUCAUAUAUCUUUUAUGUGACACUUAUCCCUGUAUGAAGAGUUAGAUAUAAUGUUCUCAAUUAUACAUGCAAUGAUAGAUGCUCAAUCUCAUAUUCUAUUCUGUAAUCAAUAUUGAUGAUUGCUAAUCCCUUCCCAGUGGUAAAAAUAUAAAUAACGAUACCUGGAAUACUUCCCGGUUAAAAUGCUACAUCGGUAUUAAUCUGUGCGCUUGCAGAUCCCAUUCAUUAUUUAUUUAGAAGAGCAAUUGCAUAUUUCAAUACCGCGUCUCUUAUAUCAUGCUGGGGAUGACAACUUGGCUUAAGUGGUGUGAGGGAUAGGUUUGGCAUUUUUGGCACCGUUACUAGAUUUAGAGAACUUAGUCUACUUUUGGUAAUGAUGUUAAGAAUACCCAACAGUCCACACUUGGUUGCGAGAGAAGUUGUUCCACUCCUCUUGCAUGGCAAUGAUCCAAUCCGCAUCACAAAGAGCUUCCUCUAUAGUGUUUGGUUCAUCUUGAAGAGACACAAAAGCGUGAUGUUUAAUAAAUAAAGCAUGUCUAGAACGUGUAGUUACACCACAUGAUGGACUCCCGAUGAUGAGAUCUUGAGAGUGAUCUUGAAGUAGAUUUGAUGAUCUUCUUGGCGCCACUUGAGGGGUUGGUUGGGGAGCAUCAACAUCUUGUGCUUGUGCCACCGCUUGCUCAUGAGUGACUUGGGUGUCUUCAUGAGCAUCUCUCACAUCCUUGUCUUCAUCUUGUGGUGCAUGUGAGGUGGAUGGUGGCUCAAUGACUUGCACAUCAUCAUCUUCUUUUGGCUUGAUGUCUCCCACCGGCAUGUUCUUCAUGGCAUCCCUCAAUGGUUCACCACCUACAUCAUCAAGAUUAUCACUUGCUCCUUGGGAGCCAUUAGUUUCAUCAAAUUCAACAUCAAAUGUUUCUUCAACCAUAUUUGUGGCAUGGUUAAAGACCCUAUAUGCCUUGGACUUUGAUGAAUAGCCAACCAAGUAGCCAAUGUCACAUCUUCUUUGGAACUUGCCCAAGUGUUGGCGCUUCUUGUAGAUGUAGCACUUGCACCCAAACACUCUUAAGAAUGAGACAUCGGGCUUCUUCCCAUUGAGGAACUCAUAUGGUGUCUUCUCUAGGAACUUGUGAGGAAAGAGCCGGUUUGAUGCAUAGCAUGCGGUGUUGAUUGCCUCGGCCCACAUCUUCUCCGAAGUGUUGUACUCAUCUAGCAUUGUUCUUGCCAAGGUGAUCAAUGUCCGGUUCUUUCUUUCUACAACCCCAUUUUGUUGUAGUGUGUAUGUUGAGGAGAACUCAUGUUUGAUUCCCACUUCAUCACAAUACUCUUCAAUGUUGGUGUUGUCAAAUUCUUUGCCAUUAUCACUUCUAAUCUUUUUGAUCUUGACAUCAAAUUGAUUUUGGCCAUUCUUUGCAAACUUCUUGAAUAUUGAUGCAACUUCGGCCUUGUCUUGCAAGAAGAAUGUCCAAGUGUACCGUGAGUAAUCAUCAACUAUGACCAAGCAAUAUUUGUUGCCUACAAGACUAGCAUAUGUGGUUGGUCCAAACAAAUCCAUGUGGAGUAGCUCAAGCACUCUUGAAGUAGAGAGAUAGGCUUUGGUUGGAUGAGUGUUUGCAACUUGCUUGCCGACUUGACAUGCACUACAAAGCUUGUCUUUUUCAAAGGUCACAUCCUUCAAACCUCUAAUCAAUUCUUUCUUCAUCAACUUCUUGAGUGUGCCCAUUCCAACAUGUGCUAACCUUCUAUGCCACAACUACCCAAGUGAAGUCUUGGUGAAUAAGCAAGUCUUGACAUCAACUUCAUCGGAUGAGAAAUCAACUACAUAUAGGUUGUUGUGUCGAAAGCCUUUGAAUACCAUUUCAUUGUCAUCCUCCUUGGUCACUAUUACUUCUUUCUUCUUGAAUAAGGAUUCAAAACCAAGAUCACAAAGUUGUCCAACCGAGAGCAAGUUGAAACUCAAUGAUUGCACAUAGAGCACAUUGGUGAUGGAGUUGUCAUUUGAUAUAGCAACCUUUCUUAGUCCCUUGACCUUGCCUUUUGAAUUGUCACCAAAUGUGAUCUUCUCUUGGUUGUCAACAUCUUCAUCAAGAGAGGUGAACAUCCAGGGAUCUCCGGUCAUAUGUUGAGUGCAACCACUAUCAAUUACCCAAUGUGAUCCACCGGUCUUGUAGUUCACCUACACACAAGAGAUUAAGCUUGAGAUUUAGGGACCCACAUUUGCUUAGGGCCCUUGACUUUCUCUACUAGUUGCUUUGGCACCCAAAUCUUCUUUGGCCUUUGCUUGUUGGGCGGCCCCAUGAAGCUAACCUUGACCUUGCCACUAUUGUCUUUCCUUACAAUGUAGUGAGCAUUGAAGGCAAAUGGUCUAGCAUGCUUCGGCAAUGGUGGUGGUAGUGGUGCCUUACACUCAUGAGCAAAGUGUCCUUCUUGACCACAUUCAAAACAUCUCUUUGGCUUUGGCUUGCUUGGUUGAUCAUGAGUGGCUAGUGACUUGAUGAGCUUUGUUUGAUGAGCCUUGUAGCCAAUCCCACUCUUGUCCAUCUUCAUGAUGGUGUUCAUGAAUAGCUCACUUUGAAGGUCCUUCCCUUUUGUGAACUUUGCUAACCCCAUAGUUAGAUGUUCCUUCUAUUUCUUGAGCUUGUUAUUUUCUUGAGUUAGCUUCUUGAUGAUUGGGUCAUUGUUGCUAGCUAACUCAUCCAAGAUGAAUGUCUCAUCUUCUUCUUGCUUGUCAUACAUCAAACCAAGCUUGAGAUAUUGAUUUUCUUCCUUGAGCAACUUGUUCUCAUAUGUAAGCUUCUUGUCUUUAUCAAGUGACUCAAUCACAAUUGUCUUGUGCUUGGCUUGCUCUUGCAACUCUUUCUUGAGCAUGACAAUUUCUUCCUUGAGCUUGUGUUGACGCCGUUUUUGGACGCGUACCCGGGAUCGGUAAAGUAUAGAUUGGCAGAUGGAGCAACGGUAACUAGUUUGCAGAGAAGUUGCCGAUGAAGGUGGUUGCCGAUGAAAAGAUAAUUGAAUGUGACUAAGUCCAGAGGUGGUGACGUACUCGUGCCGAUGAUCAGUAUUAGUGUUUGCCGAUAGCCAUAACAAGGGGUCUGCCGAUGAUUCUGAAGGGAAGCGUGGAGAUUGUCGGUUGUUCUGCGGUGGUGUCCCGGUCGGUUACAGGGGGAUAGUUUUAUGUUUUCCUUAGUUGUUUAAAUUCGUUUUGUAUAAGGAUUCCGUUUAAUUUGGAAUUUGAGUCCUAGUCGUGUCUGAUUGUAGCUCUUUGAGCAGCGUAUAAAUGUAGACCCUAGGGCCUUGUAAUAAGACAUCGAUCAAUCAAUCAAACCCAAGUUUUUACUCAUAUUCUAGUAUCUACUUUUUCAACGACUUCGUCAUAUUUUCCUUUUUAUUAUGAGUUCUUAGGAAUUCAACGACUUAAGAUUGGUGCGUUCUCAAGUUCCGCGUGAUCACCUCUUGGCUGUGACAUCCGGGCGCAUCGCUGUUGUCGGGACCAAAGUGGUCGAGUUACCACCUUUGCCGAUUGUAAGGUCAAAUCGGCUGGCACGCCUUAACGUUUAAAUUGGGUAUUAGCCCUUUGUGUUUCCAGAUCAGUUUUGCAACAACACAUCUUUACGCCCAGCUCUCAGAAGAGAUGAUGAAAGUAAAGCUCCUUGCCGAUGAAAAGCAUAAGAGCAUCGGCAUUCUGAAAUCCUCAGGAGACAUGCUGAAGCAAAAGAUCUCUGAUCUAUCGGCAAAGAGAGAAGCCCUGUUGGCAGAACUCAAACUAGUGGAAGAAGCUCUGUCUCAAGCUCAACAGGAAGAAAGCCAGCUGCCCGAAGCAAUCAAGACCCUUGAACAGGAACGAAACAUUCAAGCUCGCAAGGCACUGCAGAUGAAGAAGAAACUGCAGCCAGUGGAGGGUUCUGCCGAUGAAGACAUGAAGGAGAUAGAAGAAUCCGAUCAGAUUCAUCUGCACGCCAUAUCGACGAUCCAGGCUCUGCUAAACAUGUAAACUCUUCAUCGGCGGCGUGUCCUGCUUUUUUCUUUUAAACACUCCUAAUUAUUUUGGUCUAGCCGAUAGGACUGUUAUCGACACCUUCUUAAAACAUUAAGUCCGGCCCCAGAUACACUUUAAUCCAGCCGAUAGGAAUGUUAUCGGCACUUAGACUUUCAUGCAUCAAGCCAUAUGCUAGGAUAAUAUUUCUUUAAGUAUUUGCCAUUCAAUGCCCUGGGGAAUUCAACUCCUUCGAGAGUUUCUAAAAUAUAGGCAUUGCCAGGAGCAGAUCGGUUUAUCCGAUAAGGACCCUCCCAAUUGGGAGACCAUUUCCCAAACUUUGAACUUUUAGUCCCGAUCGGGAAGAUUAGUUUCCAUACUAAGUCUCCAUCGGCAAACUCCUUAGCCUUUACUUUUUUAUCAUACCAUCUAGCAACUCUCUUUUUAUUCUUCUAUGCUUAUCAAAGCCCUCAACCGAUGCCCUUCUAAAUCAUCCAAUUCGUCUGUCAUCAAAGUGGCAUAGUCAUCAGCAGUCAAUUGAUUCUGAAAAGAUAGUCGCCUAGAUCCAGUCUUAAUUUCCCAAGGUAGCACUGCGUCAUGUCCAUACACCAACUGAUAAGGUGAAACUUUGGUCGACCCAUGACAAGCCAUCCGAUAUGACCAUAAAGCCUCAUUUAACAAUGUAUGCCACCUCCUAGGAUUCUCUUCAAUCUUCCGUUUAAUAAGUUUGAUAAUCCCUUUGUUGGACGCCUCGGCCUGCCCAUUAGCUUGAGCAUAAUAAGGAGAAGAAUUCAACACUUUAAUCCCCAUACCGAUUGCAAAUUCGUCAAACUCGCCCGAUGUAAACAUAGUACCCUGAUCGGUAGUAAUCGUUUGAGGGAUACCGAAUCGGUAAAUAAUAUGCUCUUUUUACAAAAUCAAUCAUAUCGGUCGAUGUUACUUUUUUCAAAGGAAUAGCUUCAACCCACUUGGUGAAAUAAUCAGUAGCAACCAAGAUGAACUUGUGUCCUUUGCUAGAAGGUGGAUAAAUCUGGCCGAUCAAAUCAAUAGCCCAUCCCCGGAAUGGCCAAGGUUUAAUAAUGGGAUUCAUGGCCGAUGCGAGUGCCCUUUGAACAUUGCCAAUUUUCUGACAUCCUUGACACCCCUUGAAAUAUUUAAAGCAAUCUUCAAGUAUGGUUGGCCAAUAAUACCCAUUCCUCCUAAUCAUCCAUCUCAUCUUAAAAGCCGACUGAUGUGCUCCAAACACUCCUUCAUGGAUCUCUCCCAUCAAACCUUUAGCUUCAUCAUCGCCUAAGCACCUGAGAAGAACUCCAUCAAUUGUUCGAUAAUAUAGUUCAUCUUCGAGGAGCACAUAUUUGGUAGCUUGAAACCGAACACGCCUCUCAACCUUCUUUGAUGGAUCUCUUAAAUAAUCAAUAAUUUUUUUCUCCAAUCAUCGGCACUGAUUGCCAAUAACGUGUUCAAUAUGGGUUGAUAUCCCGAGGCAUGCUGAGCCAACCGAUUAGCCUCCUCAUUAUGUAACCGAGGAAUAUGCUCUAAUCAGAAAUCGCUGAAUUCCCAUAACAGUUGCAUACUCUUUUCGUAAUAAGUUAUCAGGACUUCGCUUCGGCAUUCGUAGCUUCCAGCCAAUUGAUUUAUAACCAGCAUAGAAUCCUCGAAGAUUUCAACAGCAUCAGCACGAACUUGCUUUAAUAACUCCAACCCCUUGAUUAAAGCUUGAUACUCAGCUUGAUUAUUUGUCGACGUGGCAACAAUCGGCAAAGAGAACUCAUACUUAUUUCCCUGAGGGGAAAUUAACACUAUGACGAUUCCUACCCACCGGUCACACGUAUAUCCAUCGAAGAAGAGCGUCCAAGGCACAAUUUCCAAAGUUUCCAUUGCACCACAAUGUUGAGUCACAAAAUCGGCCAUAAUCUGUCCUUUAACCGCUUUAGCCGAUUCGUAACGCAAAUCGAAUUCCGACAGUGCCAAAAUCCACUUACCGAUCCUGCCACUCAUGAUCGACAUUGAUAGCAUAUACCGGAGCACAUCAUCUUUGCAUAUAACAGUGCAUUCGGCCGAUAGUAAAUAGUGCCUCAACUUAAUGCAGGAGAAAUAUAAGCAUAAACAUAAUUUUUCAAUAGCCGAAUACCUGGUCUCAGCAUCAAUCAAUCUUCUGCUUAAAUAGUAAAUCACACGCUCCUUCCCUUCGAAUUCUUGGAUUAAAGCCGAACCGAUGACCAUCCCAUCGGUAGAUAAAUAUAAUCUAAAGGGCUUUCCUUGCUGAGGUGGAAUCAGAACUGGAGGAUUUAUCAAAUAAUUCUUGAUUUCAUCUAAAGCCAACUGUUGCUCUUUCCCCCAUAUGAACUCUUGAUCGGCUUUCAAUUUAUGUAAAGGACUGAAAGCACGAAUUUUACCAGACAAAUUAGAUAUAAACCGUCUGAUAAAAUUUACCUUGCCGAUCAAGGAUUAGAGCUCAGUCUUGUUAGUAGGGGCAACAAUUUUGUUGAUAGCAUCAAUAGAUCGUCUACUAAUUUCGAUUCCUCUCUGAUGCACCAUGAAACCAAGAAACUGCCCUGCCGACACACCAAAGGCACACUUAUUGGGAUUCAUCUUUAAACCAUGUUUCCUUGUGCACUUCAACACUUUUCGCAAAUCGGCAAGAUGCUUUGUGAAAUCUCCAGACAUAACCACCACAUCAUCAAUAUAAAUUUCCACUAGCUUGCCGAUGAACUCAUGAAAUAUAAAAUUCAUAGCCCUCUGAUAAGUAGCACCAGCAUUUUUCAAUCCAAAGGUCAUGACUAUCCAUUCAAACAACCCAACAUGACCAGGACAUCUAAAUACAGUCUUUGGAAUAUCUUCUUCAGCCAUGAAUAUUUGAUUAUAUCGUGUAUUACCAUCCAUGAAGCUUAUGAUCCGAUGCCCACCUGCAGCAUCAACUAACAAAUCGGCAAUCGGCAUCGAGUAUCCAUCCAUCGGCGUAGCCUUAUUGAGAUUCCUGAAAUCAAUGCAAACUCAAAGCUUCCUAUUUUUCUUGUAAACUAGAACAACAUUGGAAAUCCACUCGGCAUACUGACACUGCCGAAUAAAUUCAGCUUCAAUAAAUUUGGUUAUUUUGGCCUUAAUAUCAAGAAGAAUAUUAGGAUUACAUCGGCGAGCCGGCUGCUGAUGUGGCCGAAAUCCAGAUUUGAUAGGUAACCGAUGCUCAACAAUCGAUCGAUCUGAACCAGGCAUCUCGGUAUAAUCCCAAGCAAAGCAAUCUUUAUAUUCUUUUAACAAAUCGGUCAAUUAUUGCUUACACUCAGAAUUUAACUUAGCGCUAAUAAAACUAGGUCUAGGCUUAUCUCCACUACCUAUAUCUACCUCUACCAAAUCAUCUGCCGAUGUAAACCCCUAGCCUAAUUUUCCAUCAUCGGCAAACCUAUCCAUUAAAACUCCUCAUCAGAACCGACUGCUUGGAUCGGUGGAAUUUCAUAAUCGGCAACUUUGAGGAAAUCCUUCUCCCAAAUUUCCCCCGAGAUACACCUAGUCCUUUCAUAAGUGUCUGCCUCUGCCGAUGCAAUGACAUAAGAAGAAUAUACUGGGACAAUUUCAAUCUUGUCACCUACCCACUGAACCAAGCAUUGGUGCAUUGUAGAUGGGAUGCAAGAAUUGGCAUGAAUCCAAUCUCUCCCUAGCAGCAGAUUAUAAGCACCUUUUCCACUGAUCACAAAGAAAGUUAUCAGCAAGGUUUUGCUGCCGAUGGUCAACUCGACGCAUAUUGCCCCUUUAACUGGAGACACAUUCCCUUCAAAAUCUUUUAGCAUCAUAUCGGUCUUGGUCAAAUCUUGAUCUCCUUUCCUAAGUUUCCGAUAGACUGCAUAGGGCAUAAUAUUGAUAGCAGCCCCACCAUCGACUAAUAUCUUGGUCAUCGGCUGCCCAUCAACCCUUCCUUUGAUGAACAGAACUUUAAGGUGCUGCCUUUCUUUGUUGGUAGGCUUUUCAAAGAUAGCCGUCAUAGGAUCCAGAGCCAACUGAGCUAUCUGGUCGGAAAAAUCCAGCUCCUCAUCAUCACUGGAUGGCGCAAGGAACUCCAUCGGCAACAUAAAUACCAUGUUAACAUCUGCCGAUGGCCCUUUCCCCUUAGGAUCCGGUUGCUGCUGAUCCCCAGAUUAGCCAGAAUUCUCUCCCUUGACCAAAUUUUCUCGUCUUUUGCGCUGCAACCUUCUUUUCUGUGUCCUAGUCAACCCCUCCGGACACCAUGGAGGAAGUUGUGGUUGCCUUGUCGAUGGGUGACGAAUUUCCCUUGACUCCACUCGAUGGGUAUUGGCAUCUCUGCAAAAUAUGAACUCAUCGGGAACCCAUGCAUUGGCCAUCUCCUCAAGUUCCUCUUGGUUCCUGGGAAAAUACCCGGCACGAUCACCAAGCCUGUCGUGCACACUAAGUCUGCCCCCCAGCCGAUCAUGAACUAACGCUCUUCCCCUAAUCGGCCCAUUGAACCGUCGAUCAUCGUUCUGAUACUGCCGAUUAGGUUUGUCGUACCGAUCAUAACCAUUGCACUCAGGGCAAUCUUUAACAGUGGGCAAUUUGAUGUUCUGUUCCCAGCAAUGGAUGAAGAAUGGGCAGUUCCAGUGGUCCUUGUGCCGAUUCCACUCCCGUCGGCGUCUUUCUUCUUCCCGACGAUAGUCCUCCUGCUGGCGCUGAUACCGAUCUUCACGUUGCUGCCAAGUCUCCUGAUGUCUCCUAUGAGUUAUCAGAAUGCCGGAUCGGGGCAGCCUUUCUGAGCUAGUUCCUUCCUGGAUCAAACCCUUUCCCUUCGCAUCGGCAGUAGUGAUCUGAUGCUGAGGAUCCACCGAUGCACUUCUUUCAGUUGCUUCUGAUGUUAAGACCUUGGCUUUUCCCUUAGCAUCCAGCAUAUUUGUUGGGAAAGGAUGUUGAUCAAUCUUCAUCGGCUUCUGAGUUUUGGAAUUGUCAAACUUGAUUCUCCCAGAUUCUAUAGCCGAUUGCAACUGUUGCCUAAAAACUUUGCACUCAUUGGUGCUGUGAGAAGUCACAUUGUGCCACUUGCAAUAUUUCGUCUUCCUUAAUUCCUCUGCCGACGGAAUUACAUGAUUUGGUGACAAUUUGAUUUGCCCUUCUUGAAGUAGAAAUUCAAAUAUCCUGUCGACCUUGGUGAUGUCAAAUGCAAACUUUUCUCGCUCUUUAUGCCCAAAAUGGCAAGACAUCAGCUUCUUAUUCUUCACCCAUUCUACCAAGCCGAUGACUAGCUCUUCAUCUGAAUCUGAGCUCGCUGCCUCAUCAACAAAUGAUACCUUUUUGUUCCAAGCUCUCUUAGGUUCAAAGGGUUUGAUAUCCUGGUCGGAAAUCCUCUGUACCAAGUGACUUAGGCUCUCGAACUCUUGAGAAGCAUACUUGUCUCUGAUAUGUGGCAACAAACCCUGGAAAGCCAAAUCGGCCAGCUGUCGAUCAUCUAGAACCAGACUAUAGCAUUUAUUCUUGACCUCCCGCAAUGUCUGCACAAAACUUUCAACUGACUCAUCAUUGCGUUGCUUCAACCUGACUAAAUCGGUAAUUUUGUUCUCAUGAACUCCAGAGAAGAAGUACUUGUGGAACUGCUUCUCUAGAUCAGCCCAAGUGAUCACUGAGUUGGGAGGUAACGAUAUAAACCAAGUGAACACUGAUCCAGACAAUGAUGACGAGAAUAAGCGAACCCUCAAUUCGUCUCUGUUAGCAGCUUCGCCACAUUGGAUGAUGAACCUGUUGACAUACUCCAUAGUUGACGUAUCAUCCUGUCCAGAAAACUUAGUAAAAUCGGGUACCUUGUACCGAUUAGGAAGUGGAAUUAAAUCAUAUGCAGGAGGAUACGGUGUCCGAUAAGAGUAAGUGUUGACUUUGGGUUUUAUCCCAAAUUGGGCUCUCAUCACUUCAACUAUCUUAUCGGCCCAAUAAGCAUCGGCGUCUUGCCGAUGAGGCGGCUGUGGAUCUGGCACCUGCUGAUAUACUUCCACGUGUCUCUGAGGUGCACGAUCUGCAUGGACCAUUGGGUUAACCGUCUGACCACCAAUCUGCUGACCAAGAUUCAUCGGCUGGUUAAUCAACCCUUGAUUCUGAAACCCAGGUUGAAUUUUUCCUUGUUGAAACCCUGGAGCCUGAUGAUUCUGCUGAGGCAUCUGUGGAAAGACUGGCUGUCCUGUCCAUCCAUUAUUAGCAUUCAUCGGCAUAAACCCUACCGAUGGCUGAAGAUUGGGGAUCAUCAUUGAAUUGACAUACCCUGGCUGAGUCCUAAACCUCUACUACGUCGGCAUUGAAUCUGUCGAUGCGUUAGGCAUUUGGAACAUUGGGGCUUGAGAAUUCCCAGUGUUAGGUCUUGUAGUAGUAGUUGUAGUAUACUGGGGACUCUGAUUCAUCGGCAGAUUUGGCGGUGCCGAUGCCAUAGGUGCCUUGCCCGUCAUGUCAGUUGUUUGAGAUAUCCCAGGAGUCUUCAACAUCAUCUCUAGGGGCAUGCCAUAACCCCACCAGUUGGGAGGAACAGAUCCCGACAUUGCCGAUGCCAAUAGAUCUGUCGCAAGCUUGAUCUGCCCGUCAGAUGUUGAUGGAUUGGCCAUUGUUGAUGUAGAUUGCACAUCGAUGAGCCCUAAUGUGCUUGGAGGAGAAGUAGUUUCUACACCCGCAGCAGCUGUUGUAGCCGAUGAAGCUGUGACCACUGGUGACCCUGGCUGAUGAUGAGCAGGACCCACAUAAUUUGGUGGCAAUUGUCCUUCUGUGAAAGUUCUAGCCACGACAUUGAAAACCGUAUUGGACAGCACACCAGCUUGAUUCACCAAGGCACGGUUAAUAGCACUGUCAACCAUAUCUUGAAGUCUUCCAGGAUUGGCUUCAAAAGUAACCUGCCGAGGUGCCAGCAAUGCUUCCUUUUGGAUCACCUCGCCGCUCCUAUUGAUACUGAAGGAUUUCAAGCAUUGCUGCUUGUAGUCCUGCAUGGCUUUUGCAAUAGCUUGCUUCUGCUCAUCUCUGAGCUUGGCUUCCGUCACGGGGAUGACGUUCUCCAAGUCGAACUCGGUAGUCGCCAUGUCGAUCUUGAUCUUGAAUCUAGUCCCACUGGGCGUGCCAAAAGAUGUGUUGAUGCAAAACUGAUCUGCAAACACAAAGGGCUAAUACCCGAUUUAAACGUUAAGGCGUGCCAGCCGAUUUGACCUUACAAUCGGCAAAGGUGGUAACUCGACCACUUUGGUCCCGACAACAGCGAUGCGCCCGGAUGUCACGGCCAAGAGGUGAUCACGCGGAACUUGAGAACGCACCGAGCUUAAGUUGACGAAUUCCUAAGAACUCGUAAUAAAAAGCAAAAUAUGAAGUCGUCAAAAAAGUAGAUACUGGAAUAUGAGUAAAAAAACUUGUGUUUGAUUGAUUGAUCGAUGUCUUAUUACAAGGCCCUAGGGUCUACAUUUAUACCCUGCUCAAAGAGCUACAAUCAGACACGACUAGGACUCAAAUUCCAAAUUAAACAGAAUCCGUAUACAAAACGAAUUUAAACAACUAAGGAAAACAUAAAAGUAUCCCCCUGUAACCGACCGGGACACCACCGCAGACCAACCGACAAUCUCCAUGCUUCCCUUCAGAAUCAUCGGCAGACCCCCUGUUAUGGCUAUCAGCAAACACUAAUACUGAUCAUCGGCACGAGCACAUCACCACCUCUGGACUUAGUCACAUUCAAUUGUCUUUUCAUCAGCAACCACCUUCAUCGGCAACUUCCCUGCAGACUAGUUACUGUUGCUCUAUCUACCGAUCUAUACUUUACCGAUCCCCGGGUACGCGUCCAAAAACGGUGUCAACAGCUUGAUAGUGUCCUCAUAGCUCUCGGCCACUACCACUUUCUUGCCCUUGCAAUCAACACAUUUGCUUGUGCUCUCCACAAGUAAGUCAUCACAAGAUGUGGCUACAUCAAGCUUAGCAACAUGGUUAGUAGCAACAUGUGUUUCAUCAAUUGCAAGUUCAUAAGCUAUCUCAAGGUUGUCAUAGUUUGCUUUUAGAGUUGUAAGUUCUUCUUUCAUUGCUCUAUAUCUAGUGAUAAGCUCAUCAUGAACACUCUCAAGUUUAUCAUGUUUUUCUUUGAGCUCUUUUAGAGAGAGUUUGAGCUCCUUGAGCUUAGUGGUCAUGAUCUCAUUUUGAUCUCUAAGCUCAUCACUAGAUUUAAGCUUUGCGAAAAGUGUUUCAUUUUCAAGUUCAAGCUUUUCAUUUUCACUUCUAGACUUUCUUAUGAUUUUUGUAUAUUUGUUUAGCAAUUUUACAAGUUCAUCAUAAGAAGGUGAUUCGUAUUCACUAUGUACCUUCCGGUCACCUUUAGCCAUGAGGCAUAGGUGUGUAGAGGAUGUAGAUGGUGGUGAAGAUAAUGGUGAUGGAGCAUCGAUGGCAAUGGCGGCAAUCUUCUCAUCAUCACUCUCAUUGCCGGAGGAGUCACCACUUGAGCUCUCAAUGUCGGUGAGCCAAUCACCAACAAUGUAGGCCUUGCCAUUCUUCUUCUUGUGGUACUCCUUCUUCUUGCCACCUUUCUUCUUGUAUGACUUCUUGUCAUUCUUCUCAACAUCGCUUGAAUCAUCUUGCUCUUUGUUUUUCUUCUUGUACUUGUCCUUCUUGGGCUUGGGACAUUGGUGAGCAAGAUGACCAAGUUCCCCACAAUUGUAGCAAUCCAUCUUGGAGAUGGGCUUCCUCUUGCUACUUGUGAAGAACUUCUUCUUCUUCUUGGAGUCCAAGUUGACUCCAUUCUUGUUGAGCUUCUUCUACAUCUUAGUGGUUCUUCUCACCAAGAGGGCAAUGGAUGCAUCAUCAUCACUUGAAGUUGAUGACUCAACUUCAAUCUUCUUGGCUUUGCCCUUGUGAGAAGCUUUGAGGGCCAAGUCCUUCUUCUCCUUCUUGGCCAAUGAGGAGCCAUCUUGAGGGUUCAUGUGCAUAUACAUCUCAUGAGCAUUGAUCUUCACCAAUAUAGCGGUUGGUGUAGCGGUGGAGAGAUCGCCUUGAUGAAGCAUGGUUACUAUGUGCCCAUAUUUCUCAAUGGGAAGUACACAUAGUAUCUUCCUUGCGACAUCCGCCGCACUCAUUUGAGUGAGCCCAAGUCCAUUAAGCUCCUCUACAAUCACAUUCAAGCGAGAAUACAUUUUAUUAGCAUUUUCUUUGGGAAGCAUUUCAAAUGUAUUAAGCUUGUUCAUCACUAAGUGAUAGCGUUCCUCGCGUUCACUCUUGGAUCCCUCAUGGAGCGCACAAAGUUCCUUCCAUAGAGCAUGGGCGGUUUUGUGGUUCCGAACGCGGAUGAACACCUCUUUGCAAAGACCUCUAAAGAUGUGGUUUUUGGCCUUUGCAUUCCACUUCUUGUUCUCUUGUUCUUGUGGAGUAAGAACGGCGUAUUUUGCUGGAGGGGUAAACCCUUCGGUCGCGGCUUUUAGGCACUUUGAGUCACAUGCCUCAAGGUAUGACUCCAUCCGUAUUUUCCAAUACAGGAAGUCAUCCCCAUCGAACAUGGGUGGCGGUCCAUCCCCGUUAGACAUCUUUCUCUAGGCGGUGAAGCCUAAAUAAUGAGCACUAGGCUCCGAUACCAAUUGAAAGGAUCAAGAUGCCCAAGAGGGGGGUGAAUUGGGCUUCUCUAAAAAUUUAAGCAACCUAUAAGCUCUAAUUCAACCCCUUGUGCCUAGUGUGACUAGAGAGCUACCGGAUAAAAGUUUUGCAACCUAGUUCCAAUCCUAUUCUAGCAUGGUAAUUCUAAGAAUGUAAAAACACAAAGUAAAUGCUAGAAAGUAAAGGAGUAGUGGAAGAAAGUGCUCGGCGAUGUUUUGCCGAGGUAUCAAAGAGUCGCCACUCUCCACUAGUCCUCGUUGGAGCACCUGCGCAAGGGUCUUGCUCCCCUUUGGUCCGUGCAAGGACCAAGUGCUCUCUACGGGCUGAUUCUUCGACACUCCAUCGCGGUGAAUCGCCCAGAACCGCUCACAAGCUUGACACGAGCCACCCACAAGAACUCUGGGCGGUAUUCGUGCCUCCAAACACCACCGAACUGUCUAGGUGAUGGCGAUCACUAAGAGUAACAAGCCAAGAACUCUCACUUGACCCAAACAAGGCACUAGAGAGUGGUGGAUGCACACUUGACUCUUGGAAUUCAACUAGAGAAGGAUUCUCUCAAGAAAUCACUCAAAUCUCUAUCCUCUCUAGGCUCUUGCUUCUCUCUUGCUCCACAACAAAUUUCUCAGAUGUUCAAAUGGGAAAGAGACCUCUCAUGGAUGAGGUGGAGGAGUAUAAAUACACCUCACGAAGUCCAAAGGUCAGCCAACCGUUUUCCACUGAAAAUGGGGUCACUGGACGCUGUUGAUGUUGCACCGGACGCUCUGCACCGAGCGUCCGGUGAUACUUCAACGACUAACUGUACUGACUCUGACAGGUCACUGGACGCUACUUUCCAGCAUCCGGUGGCACCGUCCGGUGCUCCAGGGAGUUUUACAAACUCCCUGAGUUUAAGACCGGACGCUACCCGGUGCGUUCGGUGCUAGCAUCCGGUGCUCGGGGCAGGUUUACAACCUCCCUGGGUAUGGGACCGGACGCUGCCUGAUGAGUCCGGUGCCAGCGUCCGGUGCCUAACCCUAAGCACCGAAACCUCCCAACAGCUAAGGACCUCACCAGACGCACUCACAGAGCGUCCGGUGCCUACUUAGGCACCGUAACUUCGUCGAAACGCGAUCGUUCCAAAACGAAGUUGGUUCCUCUUGAUCUAAGGACUAACUCUGAGCUGCCUAGUGCUAGGUUUACCAAGUGUGCACCACACGUAAACCUAAAGCCUUGCCUAAGUCAAGCUACUAGAUCAAAGCCCCUCUUAAUAGUACGGUCAAUGGAAAACAAAGUCCUAAAGUACUCUAAGUGCCCUUCUUCACCAUAUGGCACUUAGACCUAGUUUAGUCUUGACGAUAUCCAUCCAUCCUUUGAAAACCGAAACGAUUUCCACUAUUAAGUAGGCAUGUACGUCCCUGUUCAUCGAGUACCUAUUACCAUGACCUCACUCGUGACUUUGCCUCUGCAAAACACACGUUAGUCAUAGUAAUCAACAUUGUCAUUAAUCACCGAAAUCAUUAGGGGCCUAGAUGCUCUUUCAAAUGGAAAAGGUGCAUAUAAUUUACUACUGGGGAGAGAUUGGAUUCAUGCCAAUUGUUGUAUUCCUUCUACAAUGCAUCAAUGCCUUGUUCAGUGGGUAGGUGACAAGAUUGAGAUUGUCCCGGGAGAUUCUUCAUAUGUCAUUGCAUCGGUAGAAUCAGACAUCUAUGAGCGGACUAGAUGCAUAUGAGGAGAGGUUUGGGAGAAAGAUUUCCUCAAGGUUGCCGAUUAUGAAAUUCCAUCGAUCUAAGCAGUCGGUUUCGAUGAAGAGUUUUAAUGGAUAGGUUCGACGAUGAUGGAAAUUUAGGACAGGGGUUUACAUCGGCUGAUGAUUUAAUAGAAGUAGAUAUAGAAAGUGGUGAUAGGCCUAGGCCUACUUUUAUUAGUGCUAUGUUAAAUUUUGAAUGUAAGCAGCAAUUAACUGAUUUGUUGAAGGAAUAUAAAGAUUGCUUUGCUUGGGAUUAUACCGAGAUGCCUGGUUUAGACUGAUCUGUUGUUGAACAUCGGUUGCCUAUUAAGUCUGGAUUUAGGCCACAUUAGCAACCAGCAUACUGAUGUAAUCCUAAUAUUCUUCCUCAUAUUAAGGCUGAAAUAACCAAACUCAUUGAAGCCAAGUUUAUUCGGCAAUGUCGGUAUGUCGAAUGGAUUUCUAAUGUUGUUCCUGUCUACAAAAAGAAUGGAAAGCUUUGGGUUUGCAUCGACUUUAGGAAUCUCAAUAAAGCUACGCUGAUAGAUGGUUAUCCAAUGCUAGUUGCCGAUUUGUUGGUUGAUGCUGCGGCUGGACAUCAAAUUAUUAGUUUUAUGGAUGACAUUGCAAGGUACAAUCAAAUAUUCAUGGCUGAGGAAGAUAUUCCCAAAACUGCAUUUAGAUGUCCUGGCCAUGUUGGGUUGUUUGAGUGGAUAGUCAUGACUUUUGGCUUGAAGAAUGCUGGCGCUACUUAUCAAAGGGCCAUGAAUUUUAUUUUUCAUGAAUUCAUCGGCAAGUUGGUGGAAAUCUAUAUUGAUGAUGUGGUGGUUGACUCUAGAGAUUUCAUAAAACAUCUAGCCGAUUUGCGAAAAGUGCUGGAGUGCACAAGGAAGCAUGGUUUGAAGAUAAACCCUAAUAAAUGUGCAUUUGGUGUAUCGAUAGGUCAGUUUCUGGGUUUCAUGGUGCAUCAAAGGGGGAUUGAGAUUAGCAGAAGAUCCAUUGAUGCAAUCGGCAAAGUAGUUGCUCCUACCAAUAAAACUGAACUUCAGUCCUUGGUCGGCAAGAUUAAUUUUAUCAGACGAUUUAUAUCCAAUUUGUCGGGUAAGAUCCGAGCUUUCAGCCCUUUGCUUAAAUUGAAAGCCGAUUAGGAGUUUGUGUGGGGAAAAGAGCAACAGCUGGCCUUGGAUGAAAUUAAGUGUUAUUUGGCGAAUCCUCCAAUCUUGGUUCUACCUCAGCAUGGAAAGCCUUUCAGAUUAUAUUUAUCUACCGAUGAUGCAGUCAUCGGUUCAGCUCUCAUUCAAGAAUUUGAAGGGAAAGAACAUGUAAUUUACUAUCUGAGUAGAAGAUUUGUGGAUGCUGAGACAAGGUAUUCGGCCAUCGAGAAAUUGUGCCUGUGCUUGUACUUUUCUUGUAUCAAGUUAAGACACUAUUUGCUAUCGGCCGAAUGUACUAUUAUAUGCAAGGAUGAUGUAGUCAGAUACAUGUUGUCGAUGUCGAUUAUGAGUGGUAGAAUUGGCAAAUGGAUACUAGCAUUAUCAGAAUUUGACCUACGUUAUGAAUCGGCUAAAGCAGUUAUGGGGCAAGUUAUGGCCGAUUUUGUUACUCAGCAUUGUGGUGUGGUGGAUGCUUUGAAGAUUGUUCCUUGGACACUCUUCUUUGAUGGAUCUACAUGUGAUCGAGGGGUAGAUAUCGGUAUAGUGUUGAUUUCUCCUCGAGGAAAGAAAUAUGAAUUCUCUUUACCGAUCGUUGCUACAUCGAUGAAUAAUCAAGCUGAGUACCAAGACCUAGUCAAAGGGUUAGAAUUAUUAAAAGAGGCUCGCGCUGAUGCUGUCGAAAUCUUUGGUGAUUCUAUGCUUGUUAUAAAUCAGUUGGCUAGGAGUUAUGAAUGCUAAAGUGAAGUUUUGAUAGCAUAUUAUGAAAGGUGUGUACAAUUAUUAAAGGGAUUCAGGGAUUUCCGAUUAGAGCAUAUUCCCUAGUUGCAUAAUGAAGAAGCUAACUGGUUCGCUCAACACGCCUUGGGAUAUAAACCCAUCUUAGAAGUAUUAUCGGCAAUCACUACCGAUGAUUGGAGAAAAAAAAUUAAUGAUUAUUUGAAAGAUCCAUCUAAGAAAGUUGAGAGACGUGUUAGAUUUCAAUCUACAAAGUAUGUGCUUCUUGAUGAGGAAUUAUAUUAUCGUACAGUAGAUGGAGUUUUGCUUAGGUGUUUAAGUGUUGAUGAGUCCAAAAGCUUGAUGGGUGAAAUUCAUGAGGGAGUAUGUGGAGCACAUCAAUCAACUUUUAAAAUGAAAUGGAUGAUUAGAAGGAACAUAUAUUAUUGGCCGACUAUCCUUGAAGAUUGUUUCAAGUAUUUCAAAGGGUGUCAAGGAUGUCAGAAGUUUGGCAAUAUUCAAAGGGUGCCCGCAUCAGCUAUGAAUCCUAUUAUUAAACCUUGGCUGUUUCGGGGUUGGGCUAUUGAUCUCAUCGGUCAAAUUUAUCCGCCAUCCAGUAAAGGGCAUAAGUUUAUCCUUGUUGCCACUGAUUAUUUCACUAAGUGGGUUGAGGCUAUUCCUUUGAAGAAAGUGACAUCGACCAACAUGAUUGAUUUUGUAAAGGAGCAUAUUGUUUACCGAUUUGGUAUUCCCCAAACAAUCACUACCGAUCAAGGCACUAUGUUUACGUCAGGGGAGUUUGAUGAAUUUGCUAUCGGUAUGGGGAUUAAAAUGUUGAAUUCUUCCCCUUACUAUGCUCAAGCUAAUGGACAGGCCGAAGCUUCCAAUAGUGGAAUUAUUAAGCUCAUUAAGCAGAAGAUUGAGGAAAAUCUCAGACGAUGGCAUACUCUGUUAAAUGAAGCCUUAUGGUCAUAUUGGAUGGCAUGUCAUGGUUCAACCAAGGUGUCACCUUAUCAACUAGUGUAUGGACAUGAUGCAAUACUACCUUGGGAGAUUAAAACUGGUUCCAGGCGAAUGCUUUCUCAGGAUCACUUAACUGCCGAUGACUAUGCUACUCUGAUGAAAGAUGAGUUGGAUGACUUGGCAGGGCAUCAGUUAAAAGCUUUAAUUAACAUAGAAGAGAAUAAAAAUAGAGUGCCUAGGUGGUAUGAUAAAAAGGUAAAGACCAAGGAAUUUGCUGAUGGGGAUUUGGUUUGGAAGUUGAUUCUACCGAUUGGGACUAAAAGUUCAAAAUUUGGAAAAUGGUCUCCUAAUUGGGAAGGUCCUUAUCGGAUAAGUCGAUCCGCCCCUAGCAAUGCUUAUAUUUUAGAAACUCUUGAAGGGGUUGAAUUUCCCAGAGCAUUGAAUGGGAAAUAUUUAAAGAAAUACUACCCUAGUAUCCUGAUCGAUGCAUAAUAGUUUAAGUGCCGAUAACAAUCCUAUCGGCUGGACAAAAUAUCAAUGUAUCUAAGACCGUGCAUAAAUAGUUUAAGUGCCAGUAACAGUCCUAUCGGCUGGAUCAAAUGACUGAAGUUUUAAGAAGACUACCCAUGCUACCAAUGAAAGAGUUUAUAAAUUCAGCAAGGCUCGGAUGGCCGAUGUUGCACACAGGCGAAUCUAGUUGGCCUCUUCUAUCUCUCGGGUAUCUUCAUCGGCGGAACCUUGCACUGGCUUUAGCUUCUUCUUCAUUUGUAGCGCCUUGCAAGCUUGGGCAUCCCUUUCUUGCUGGAGAUUCUUGAGUGCAUCGGGCAGUUGACUUUCCUCCUGUUUGGCUUGGGUCAAAGCUUCCUCCACUUGUUUGAGUUCAACAAGCAAGGCUUCUCUUCUUGCCGAUAGAUUGGAGAUUUUCUAUUUUAGUCCAACACCUAAAGUUUGCAAAGCGCUGAUGCUUUUGUGCUUCUCAUCGGCAGCACGCUUCACUUGCAGCAUCUCCUCUUUAAGUUGAGCAUGAGUGGCUCUAUUAGCAAGGUGUUGAAUGGCCUUCUGGUACUGAAGUUGGUGGCUCUCUAGGUGGGCAGCUUGAAAGAGAAUUUCUUCAGCAUCGACAGGGAUCUGACCACGAAGAGCCUUGAAGAUAGCUUUGGCUGGAUCGGAAUCAUCGACUAGCUGGGCUGUGUCCUGCUGCAACAGAGCCAGAAAUCUUCUAGCUUGGACUUGACUUCUGCCGAUGCAAUUCCAAGUGCCAUUGAAGAGCUUGCCUCUUCACCAUCGUCAUCAGAAAUGUCGAUGGCAAAGGAGAACAAGCUAUCAGGAGAGUCUUGUUCCUGGAAGCAAGGGAGAGUGAGUUGCACGGCAUAGGAUACCGAUGAUAUAAAAUCUAAUGAAUUGGGUGACUUACUUGUUUUAGAGCAAUCUCUUGUAUCUGGUGUGGAGAUGGAGCUUGCGCUAUAAUUUGACCGGCUGGAGCUGCUGAUGGAGUAUCCUCAACUAAAAAUUACCAAGAGUGAUGAUGGUACUUAUAAAAAUCAUUGGUAAUAAUUUUGUGAUCGAUAUCUUACCUUGAGGAGGGAUAGCAACUGUUUGCUCAGGGGAAACGGUCGAUGAUGUGCCCAGAUCGACUAGGUCGGUGAUCUGUUCAAAUACAUCAGCUGGGUCUACUUGCGUCUGGGGCACUGAUUGAGGAGGAGAAGGUGCUGCUUGGAUCUAGGGUGCUGGAUGAGGUGGAGAAGAUAGUGGUGUCUUUUGCCGCUUUGGCUGGGUCUUGGUGCUUUUUGGGGCUUUCCUCUUGGGUGGAGCUUGACCAGACUGGGGGGCAUCGACACCCGAAGAUUGAGUGCUUUUGGUCUUUGCCGCUGCGCCGGUCUGCUGUCACAAAAAUCGAAGUUUUAUGGGUUAGAUAUAAAAGUAGAGAGAUAUUGCUGGGAUUUGAGAGAAUAAAGUGCUUGGUACAAGACAAAGUUACUGAUGACGUUCCAAUCGUAGCUGAUGCACCCUGAAAGAAUAAUGUGAAUAUGAGAUGAAAUCGGCAUAAUAAAAGGAAAAUUUGAAGAUUUUACCUUAAAGGCCUGAGCCAGUGUCGCGGCAGCUACCGAUGGGGAUGUUUUUGACCGUUUGGUGGUCUUCUUGAAGCGAAUGUUUCGGUGCAUCAGAACUGCUAAGCUCGAGGCGUUGUGACCGAUCAGAGAGACUGGACCUGAUGGGAGAAGGUCAAUCGGCCUCCCACUUCUACUUACUAUUGGUGCUGGGUCGUCAACCUGUUAAAAUAAAAGGGGGUAAGUUACCGAUCAAGUUAAAGUUAAACAAAAGGACUGAAGUAUCGUGAAGGGACUUACAACGUCAUCGGGGACUUUGUGCUCGGGAUCGACCAUGUUGCGGUACAUGUGAGCCGAUACCUUGAACAGAUGUUGUUUCCAUUUUUUUUCCCAUCACUGUUUUGUAUGACUGAGUGAUGAAAAGGGAUGGAACCCAAGCCGAUAGAUCAAUAUCUAUUGUAUCAGCAUCUGGCUGGAGCUGAGCUAUUCUGAUCCACUCAAGUCCACUUGUUAUUACCUCCCUUGGCUUAACCACAUCGGCAUAACAAAGUUUAAUCGGUAGCUUACCAAAUGCCAUCUGACGAGCUAGUGCCAAUGGGUUGUAGAACUCAUAGGUUGUGUUGGUGUUCUUUCCGCUACCCAAGUUGUUUACUAGGAUUUCUCUUCGGGUAAUGUGCCAUCAUCAGAUCAUUGUCCUUGUUAAGAGCGUCAUCGGUAGGAUGGAAAGUGAGUGGGAAUCUAGACUCUGCAUCUUCGUAGGGCAUCCAGGCUUGUUGAUCUUUGGAAAGGACAUCAUAUAGUGUUUGAAAGAAUCGACUGAUCUAGUUCUCAUUUGCAUCGGUACCAGGGCGAACUAUGAUGGCUUCGCCAUAAUUGAGGGGCGAGCGUGUUGCCGAUUCAUCCUCUGCUAGUUCAUCAUCCUCGGCAAUAUCUCAUGGGAACCACUGUGUGAAGAAUCCCACCGAAGGCGCUUAUGCAUAUGAGCGUUGGGCCACAUGUUAAUAAAUCACCAAGGACCUCCUAGGUUGCCGAUGGGUUAACCUAGUAGGAGUUUCUCGGCUACUUAGUGGAGGAGGUGAUAGACAGAACCAAGCAGAUGUCGGCCAAGGGGGAAUUGGUUACCAUUAGCUAGUCGCUCUGCUGCCGAUAAGUAGCCACAGAAGAUGAAUUUGUCUAACCACAUAUUCAGAAAGAUGGCGUGCUCUCUGUGGCCGACCGAUCUAGUUUGCCGAUAUUUCUGGACAUAUCCUGACCAACCGCCGAUGUUACGAGUUUCUACCUUAUAUUCAGAUUUGUGGUUGAAGAUACCACCGUCAUCAGCAAGGAUGAUGUCCAAGCCAAUAAGCAUAACAAUAUCAACAAGUGUGGGGGAAGCUGGGCCGUGUCCAAAAAUGAAGGCGUUGAAGGUAUAUGACCAGAAGUAUGAGGUUGCUAUCAUCAUUGAUUCAUUCUUUUCCAUAUCGGCAAUGGAAAGCCUGACGCAUUGGUCCAGUUUGCGUUCACCCCAGUAUACUUCGUUUGUCUUACUGACUCUCAGAAACCAGUCUUUCCAUCCCUUAGUGGGUUUUGGCCAGGAUCGGAAAGUAUCAUUCCAUAGAUCUAAGGAAAAGUUCUCGGCUCUAAAAGUAAUCCUAUUAGUUUCUGCAUUAAUUAGAUCGGUGGGGUCUGGAUUACCCAUUGGGUCGAGACAUUGGAGCUGGGGUUGUUCAGUAGGAAUAACAAUUUUUUCACUCAGAUCCUAGUGUUUGGAGAUCAAAAGAACAUGAAAAAUGGGAAGAAAAUGCUAAGUAAAUAAAGUUGCAGAAAGGAAAGAGUUGCAGUAAAAGAAAGGAGAGAUGGGGGUGGAUUAACCUCAGGAACAAUAAAGUUGAUAGCCAUUUCCUGCUGAAGAGAAGAAGAAACCGAAUAUUUGAAGACUCUAGGAGGGCUUUGCUGUAGGAGAGCUUUUCCACUGCUGAGGUCCUUGAGCUCUUCGUCAAUGUCACCGCCGUGAAGGUGAGCUUGGGGAUGGAGAAUGGCAUGGUAAAGAAUGAAUACUAGGGAAGGAGGUAUUUAUAGGUUGAAAUGAGCAGGGGCAUUUUUGACUUAUCUCUUUGCCGUAUCCGUGAAGUUCGAGGUUGUUCAAAUGGAUAUAGUAACUGUUAGCGCGAUAAUCAAGGGAUGGUACAGGUGAUUUGACAGCAAGUAAUCAUGAUUUUAGGAGAUAUUCCACUGUACAUGAUCUUUUGGUUGGUCCAUCGGCAGUCAACCCUAACAGAACGGUUGUCGAUGAGCGUGUUUUUAUGAGUUUCAGUUCGGAUGGUUAAGGAUGUGAGAUAUUCACUAGGAUAUGGAAGUCAGAAUUGAGGUUGUUUAGGAUUUGGUAAUUAAUUGUUACCAGAAGGAAAUAAUUAUGAAAAGGUCGUCAUCAAGAGAUAAUUUCAGAGCAUUAAUGAUUUCAUACUCCGAAAUUGGGGGGCAUGUGUUGACACCGGUUUUGGGCACAAGUCGGGAUGGUCAGAGAAACUUGAUCGAUAGUCAAGGAGGUGCUGUAUCUAGCUGAUAAAAAGAUUAACGAUAGUUGAUGAUGCCGAUGACGGGAUGAUGGAUGGAAGAUGAUGCUAAGCUUGACGGUAGCCGAUGAUCAUUGCUGAUUGAUUACCGAUCUUAGUGAUUACCAAUGCCGAUGAAGAAAGGUAUGUCGAUGAUGAUGAAAGGAUACAGGGAGCAUGUCGAUGGUAAUGGAGAAAGAUGGCGAUGGUGAUGUGCCGAUCACCAGGAUAGGUAGGUGGUUAUUUUCCAUAUUUGUUAGAGUUUCCUUUGUGUAGGAGUCCUGUUUGGUUUAGAAUUAAAUCCUAGUCAUAUACGGUUGUAAUUCUUUAGAAUAGAGUAUAAAUAUGGGCCUAGUAGCAAUGUAAGAAGACAAUUGUAACAUCCCCGAUGUUACAGUUAUUAAAACUGGAUCAUGUCAUCAUGAGCAUUGCAUCGCAUAUUGAUUAAGCACCAUUUGAUGCAUCAAAUUAAAACAAGUUUACUUUGAUUGCUUGUGCUUAGGGAAUUAAAGUGUGUUUGCCAGGUGUAUUGAAGCUAGUGUGGUUGUGAAAUUCCUAGGGUGGAAGGUUUCCGAGAAAAUAGGGGGGAAAAACCCUGAUUUUAGAACCCUAGAUUUGCCCCCUUUUGCACAAUUUAAAAACCAAGAAAAAUUUGAGGUUGAGUUCAAAAGCAAAGUUGUAGAUCUUGUCAAGAUGUACAACUUUGGUGUUCUGAGUUUUUGAAGUUUCAAUACAAAAUUCAAAGUAAUUUUGAAAAUACAGAUUUCUAGAAAGUGUCCCCCUUUCCAAUUUGAAUCCCCAAUUCAAAAUCUAUUUGGAAUCUUGAAAAGUGACCAACAUGAAAGUUGUAGAGCUCAACAAAAGGAACAACUUUGAUUUUGGGAAUGUUUCAAGUUAUUGAGAAAAAUCAAAAGUAAUUUUAGAAUUUCUAAUCUGCCCCAAUUCAAAAUUGGAAUUUCCCCAAUUUGAGAUUUGAAAUUCAAACUGUUUUGCUAAAUUCAAGCUCUUCCACUCAGAAUUAGUUUUGGGCACUUAAAGAUGUUUUGUAGCUUGUAAAAUUCUGCACAACUUUCAUUUUGGUGAAAAUUUGGCUCCAGUUCAACUUUUGGGAGAAUUUUGCAAAACAACAAAAUAAUUGGAUAUGGCUUGCUACAGUGCUCGAGCAGGGGGGAUGCACUGCCGCCGGGGCAGAGCUGCUGCGUCCAGCGCCGCCACGCACCUGGCCACACAGCUGCUUGCUUGCUGGGCGUCGCCCUGGCGUCCUCAUCCGCAGCAAGCACUUCGUCGCGUGGAUAAAACCCCGAGCCGCCGUGGAAAAACUUCCUCUCCCUCUGAACUCCGACAGCGACAAGCUCACUGCGCUCUCGAAAUUCGUCUUCCUCGCUCCCUUGCAAGCCACCAGAGACCCCCCAGCAGCUCCGCCCUGAACCCAGCCACCGUUUGUGUAACACCCCAGUGUUAUGGUUGCAUCAAACAUGUGCAUAGCAUGAGCAUCAUCAUUUAUUCAAAGCAUCCAUGAUCAUCAUCUAUCUUGAGACAUGUCAUUCUUUGCAAAAAUGUGUUUUAAAUUGCUUAAAUAGGCUUCCUAUGCUUAUGUUUGAGUGAACAAUGCUUGUGUUUGUGCUUAAUGCCUUGGUAAAUAGCUUAUCUAUGCUUAACUUAACCUUGGGAACAAUGUUCAUGUUGAUCACUUCUCCAAAAUAAUCACUUAAGUCAUACUUAUGCAAAUAGGCCCUAGAAACCUCUUUUGCUUAGGCUUUUAAAAAGUGUUUCAUAAAAUGUUUGCAUGUCAAAACUUCCUACAGCAAAGUUGUAGCAAAUUUUAUAAGGAACAAAAGUUGUUUUAUGGCCAUCUCAUGAAAAUGAUCACAAAUAGCUCAAAAGUGGCCCACAAGGCAGAUUUGGGGCUGUUUUCAACACUUAGAAAAUUUUCUAAGUCCUGGGUGCUUCGCAGUUUGCUCGAUCGAUUUUGGAAACUCUAUAUCUUUCAAUCCAGGCCGAUCUGGCCUUUGCUCUAGUUGACAAAGUUGUAGAUCUCGCCUAGUACUCCAAGUUUGUCAACUACGCCAUCUCCUAAUUCGCUCUGGUUUGGGAGAUAAUCACCGGUGAAGUCGCUCUGUCAGUCGGCCAAUGCUCUGCCUGAAUCGUUUUGGACCUCGCCGACGUGGCCGACCGGCGGCAGCACAACGGCGACAAUUGGCACCCGUACGCCGUUCCUGGCCCCGCCUGUCAGCCCUCAUCGCGUGCAUGACCUCCACGGCGUCGCCCGCGCAGAGUGGACGCGUCCACUUCGCUCCUCCUCGCCUCCACUCGCCUGAACCUCGCCCGCAGCGAGCUCUCCGCCGCGAGCUCACUCCGGCGAGCUCGUGUGCGCUCCUCUCUGCGUCUCCGUCCACCAAACUCCACCCAAAGCUCCGCCGUGAGCCGCUCUCCAAGCUCCACCCUCUAACUCGCCGAGAAACCCACCGGUGAGCCGACAUUUCUUUCUUCCCCCAAAUCGGUCCGCCGUGACCAUCUUCUCCGGCGAACUCAAUGCCGAGCGCUGUGAGGCUUCUCAUCGUCUUUGGUUAGGUCCUAGAGGUAGCUUAGGUCAUUAGCGAGCUUUUGCACCACCUGGUGGACGCUCUACCGGGUUCUCCGUCGCCGGACACGGUGCGCAGCGCCGCCGUGCUUCCGCCGGAGUUGGGUGCUCUCGUGGCCAGCGCUUUCCACGGGGAUCCAGGCCAAGCCGCGUACCUAGGAAGCUUCGCCCUAGUCUGCUGGUGCUGUAGAAGGCCUUAGGUCACGCUCUACCGGCCUGAGGACUCCGGCGUAACGCCGAGCACCUCCGCCGAGCCGCCAUUGCCGACGGUGAGCCCCUUCCGGUGGCUCCGCCGCGGCAAAAGUGGGGUCAAUCGAGUCGUUAGGGUUUGGGGAUCACGUUGAUGCCCUGGGUUUGGCCGGAGACCUCGCCGUCGCGGAGAAAUCGCCGGCGAAAGUCGCCUCGGCCGUGAGGAAGAAGAGCCUGACGGGUGGGACCCACUGUCAGCGUCUCUCUUUCCCUCCUUUUCUUUUAUUCAAAAUCCUGAUUUUGGCUUUCUUGCAAAAAUCAUAUCUCCUGUUUCUGAGAUCCAAAAAUUGUAAAACAAAUUUUGUGUUGUUUCUUGAGAUGGCUAGUAUUUAAUAAAAAUAUAAAAUGAAUCAUGUUUUCUGAGAAAUUAUUUAUUAAGAAUUUAAUCUUGUUAUUUAUGGAUAAAUGCAUAUCUCUGGUUUUACUGAUUAGUUUGCUCUGAAAAUUUUAUGGUGGCCUUUGCAUGGCAUUAGCGUGCUCUGAUAAUUAUUUCAUGAUUUUUGGAGCACUGCAGUUGUGAUAUGUAAUUUGUGUUUGAAAUAGGGCUUGUUUCUUUGAUUAAAUCACAUAAAAUAAUUGGUGCUUAUGCUGGUGCUCUAUUUUGGUGGUAAACUUGUUUAUGGUAUUCCUAAGAUAUAAAUAAUCUGAAAUCUGUUGUUUGACACUAUAUAAGUCAUGUCUAUGAAUUUAUGAAAUAAAUGCCUUGAUACAUGUUAAAUGCAUAUCUUUAAUUUGGCAUGUGCAUUGGUCCUGAAAUUUUUAUGGUGGUAAUCUGAGGUUAUACUUGUGCCUCUGUAAUUUUUGUAGAUUUUUCUGAGCACUUUAACUAAUAUCUUGUAAAUAUGCCUUAUCUAAAAUUAAUUAAUAAAUGCCUUGUUAAGUAAUUGUUUUGGGGUUUUCAACUGAUGAUCUGGUGACCUUGUAAUAUGUUUGUGCUCAUGAGUCAUAUGAUUGGCAUAGUUUGUGUUUUGAUCAUGUCUUUAAAUAAUUAACUAUAGGGUUAAAUGCUGUUCUGGACAGCAAGUGAGUAAUUUAACUUUGCUUAAUGAUAACUUGACUUUCUGUGAAACUUGUAUAAAACAAAGUUGUUUUAAACUUGUUGAACUAACUGUGGUUUAAAUUUGAGGUCAUUUGGCCAAGUAGUUUAAAAGUUAUAGCUGUUCCAAGUUGGGUUCCAGAAAUAGUGGUUCUCUGUUUUUCUGGGACAGAACCUGGAACUUUGUUAAAAUGACUAGUUUAAUGUUUGAAUCUUGCUGUCAUGUUUAAAGAUGAGUUGUAGACAAUUUCCUAAGCUUUCCAGAAUGUCCUUACUCAUGUUUGUUGGACCUGUCUAUCUAUACUUAUGAUUUAUUUACUGAGCAUACUUGUUUUGUGUCGUUUGCUGCUUUGGUGCCAUGAUAGGUUUUGGGUUAUGUUAACUUGUUUAUUCAUGUGAGUUAGUAUAACUCUUGCUCCGUAAAUGAGUGUCCAGUGAGUUGCUUGUGUUAUUAAGCAUUCAUCUGUAGCAUGUGCACCUUCUCAUUCAUCGAGCAUGCAAUAGGUGCACCGGACGUGGCAGUUUCCUUCGAGCUCCAAGCGAACCCCGAAGGCCAGGAAGGCAGCCAGGAGGUGGAGGUCCAGCAAGCCGGACUCGAGGAGCCCGAAGAAGAAGUUGAGUGCCCGAAUCACGAGCCGGCAUCGUUUGUGAAAGGCAAGCCCCGGAGCAUUCUAAGCCUCCUCUAUUUUCGAAAGUUUACUUAAUACGUUAUAUCUAUUGAUGCAUUACGUAUAGGAGUUGUGAUGAAACUAUUGCUGCAUUCUACUCUAUCCUUGUCCAGAUAACUCACCCUCCCUGGUUGUAGAGUUAGGUUCGAGUAGCAGCUUAGUUAUGCUUUAAUCGGUAGAAGUCGGGUGAUAUCCUGUCAUCCGCGCGAUAUAGGGUUGUGUCGGGUCACGAUGGUCUAUAUGUGCUAUCGUGGAUGGAACCUGGUUAAAUUGACUUAAGCCGGGCGGAGUUUUGCAAGUAUGUAGUAACUCCGUCUGUGGCAGCUAAGGACCGAUCGUUGUACGUCCUCUUGUCAUGUUGAACGCAUGCCUGACACUUAGUUGGCCGGAUAACUCGUUCCGACCGCGAAGCCGAGUAGUAUGACUCAGGCCGGAAGACCGGCAAGUAUAAAGUGCGCACUACCGGAGGAAGUGCGGUGUGCGGGGGACCAUUGGCGUAUGUCCAAAGGCAGGUGAGUUAAAAUUCCUGACCUCCCUGGCAGAGUGGUAGCCCUGGGAGUGCGGCGCUGAUCGGAGCCGCGAUUCCUGAGUUGUACCAAAGGUGACCCGUUGGCUCUCCGGCAGGGGAUGCCUGGGUGAGUGCUAGGAAUAAUCCUCCAGCUGGAUAGGAAUUCGAUUCGAAUCGCCGUCUCUCCCGGUUAGUGAGAACUUGACAGAGCAGCGGCAAACGUAGCAUUCACUAAUGGACUUGGUUCAUGAUAAUGAUGAUAGCAAGAAGAACAUAUGAUGAAUUUGGUAUGGUUAUUAUUGUUUGUAAUAAUCAAAUGAUGUGUUGUAGUACAGGUGCUAAUCUAGUGGUAGGCUGAUGAUAAAUAAAUUUGAUGCUCUUAAAAUGAUUUAGUUGUAAGUUAAGCUUUUGGCAAAAGGUGAGUCAACCAGCUCCACUUAAAAUUCAGCCUUGCAUGAUCCUUGGUGUCUUUUGUGUUUUACUAGACGGGUAAGUCUAGCUGAGUACAUCCUCGUACUCAGGGUUUAUUCCCACCUGUUGCAGAUGAUAUCUUCUAUGACGGUUUCUGCAAGACCUGUCUCCAUCCCGCUGGGGAUGAGGACUAACCGUUGGGCACGGUUCUCUACUCUUCUCGUCUAUGAUGCUUUUGGAAGGAUGACCUAGACUCUGGCAGUAACAAACUUGCGAACUGAACUUUGAACAAGUGUGUGUAAUUAUUUUGCUUCCGCUACUUCGAACAAGUGUUGUAAUAACUUAAUACUCCGAUGUGGUGCCGCUUCGACGGCAAUGAAUGACUAUGUAACAUUCGUUGUGUUUAUGUUGAACUAUUACGAUCUUGGUUUGUUGCGAGUUGGUUUGAAGUCCUUCGUGAUUUCGAUUGACUACCGGGAUUAUAUGGGCUCAAGUUUAGAAACUUGAUUGUUUGACGAUCGUUUCUGCACUUGAACUCUUAUAAUUUGGUCGGUUCUGUGACAGUUUGCGCCCCCGAGCGCAAGCUCUAACCUGUCGUAGCUCCAACCCGAGCCACUCCUCUCCAAGUCCGGCCGAAGCGCCGUCGUGGGUAUUUCACCGCGGCCAGACCUGCUCCGAGCCUCCCCACCGCCGCUUCUUGCUCCGUUGAAGUCGCGGUGAGCCCCUGAAGCUUAUGCGCUGGUUGGUCCACGUUCUACCCGCUUGUGGAGGUCGGUGCUCGCUCGGGUAGUGUCACCGUCCACCGUGGACGCGAGUAGGAGGGUUAGGAGGGAGUAGGGGGUGUCCUGUGUGUCCUAGGCAAUGCGCAAGAAGGCGGAGAUGCUAGCUCGCCCUACCGCGGAGGCCGAGAGCUCACCGGCGGCAGGCUGGGCGAUCGCUGGAGCCACGGCGCGAGGAAGAAGACGGAGCUGACGGGCGGGACCCGCCCGUCAGCGACCGCGUGAGAGAGGGUGGUGUCCGCGCAGGACGCGGGAAGCGCUUGGGCCGGCUUGGAACGGGCGUAAGCGGGCCGGCCUCUUUCACACAGUGACUUUUCUUUUUCCUUUUGUGCAAAAUGGAGUUAUGUUUGAUUUCGAAUAGAAAAAAUUAUGCAGAUUCAAAAAUUAUGGGGAUUUUUAUGUAGCCUCUAUAAAAUGAGUAGAAUGCAGGAAAAAUAUUAGACUCCAUUUUCUGGUAGUUUACAUGUAUAUAAAAAAUUUCAUCCUAUAAUUAAUAAAUAAAACUUCCUGGAAUUUUAAUAAUUUAGGGGUAUAUCUAAAAAUCACAAAAAACUGAGAGACACCUCUGAAUAUUAUUCCCUGGCUUCACACAAAAUUUGGUGGCAGUUGGAUAAUGUUUGAAUAAAAUAUCAUUAAACCCUUAAUUAGUAAUUUCGUAAUAAUUUCAAAAUAAUUAAGUAAUAAUUAUCUUAAUCUCUCAAAAUAGAAUUUGAGUGCUUUUGGAUUGUGUGAUGCUUAGCCCUGCUACUAGAUAUGUUUUCAAACGAGAAAGUUUGAAGGGUUGUUAUGGAAUACUCUUAUGGUCAAUGAUGUUUCAACUUGAGACCGGUCGGUGGACUUGUUUUAAGAAUGGAGUCUUAAAGUAGUGUCUCCAACUGUGUCGAUUAAGGACCGGUCCGUUGAUGGCCUGCUGGGUUGAGAACUUAUAGUACUAGCCACUUGCCCUCGGUAAGCCCGGUCUUGUGAUCCCUCGACGCGAACGGCUACUCGCGCACUGGGUGUAGAGCGAUGGCGAGAGUAGCGUGUAUCCUCCUGGCAAAUGGGCUGGGUGGUGGGGUACUGUGCUCUCGGGUGCCGCGAACCUGGUCAAAUUUGGGGAGAGCUAGAUUUGGGUCGACAUAUGCAAGAUUUGGUUCUACAUAUGUCGGGUGGUUAGGAACUCCAGCUGGAUUGCUAAGCCAUUCGAAUCGUCGUUGCUCCUCGAUUGGGAGACUCAAUUCCUUCGAACCUCAUCGUAGUUAAAUAUGCAACUAAGUGGUAAAAUGAGAAAGGGGGAAAUGUCUCAUGAGGUUCGGAUCCCAAUUCCCAGACUCAGAGUGUCACGAAGCUAUGGCCGUUGGAUAGAUAAUACUUUGAUUAAGGACUAGGAACUUACAGACUUGUCUGUGAGAAGCAACUAGAUAGACUGUCCUCGGACUCCUCGACCUCUUAAGGAGAGGAAUUCGUGGGUAAAAUUUGAAAGUAAGGAUGCACUAUUAGUAAGCUUUUUGGCAAAACAAUUUGGCUCCUUGCUCAGCCACUCCUUGUCUACCCUAAGCCUACAUCCCUAAUUUCUCCUAUUUUUCUGCCGGGUAAGUCUUGUUGAGUACUCCCGUACUCAGGGUUUUAUAACCCCUGUUGCAGGUGAAGCUCAGGAGCCGACAUGUUUCGGACCCUGUUGUGUGACCGUCGUCGAGGUUGACGACGAGGAAGAGUGUGGGUGACCCAUGGGCAGGGUCUGUAAAUUUGUAAUCUGUGUACUAAAGUUUAAGUUGCUCCGCUGGACCUGGCUUGUAAUAACACUCUACUACUUAGAAGAACUACUUUUAUGAAUUAAGUUACGUAAUGCUUCUGUUGUUUCACUCUGAAAUAUUAUUUUGGUCAUAUGUCAUUUGCGAUACUGCAAUGUCUUCGUAACGAAUGAUCCUGGUGUUAAGGUGGCCACUCACUAUGCUGUAAGGGCGAGAAGAAGUUCUCGUUAAUUGACCAUCAUGAGUGGUCAGGACGAGCUUGGGUGAUACGCCACAGGUAGCGGUGGAACGAGCGUCCUGAGAUGCUCAUCGGACUUCUAAAGUGGGGGGAUCCCCGGCAUCACCAUCAGAGGUCCUUAGGACAAUAACAGGUGUCGGUGGACCCAAACACUUAGGAGGUUCCGCCACAGCUGGUAUCAGAGCAUUCGUUGCUAAGAUGACUGCUGUAUCUUUGAAAAACUUCAAAUCCAUUUGGAUCCAAUAGCUAUAAACUUGCCUAUUUUGAGUCCAAAUGCUCUAGUCCUACCUUACCCUUGUCUGUAGGUUUUGCUAGAAUUUUUGAGGUCAUGUGGAGGAGCAACAUAAAGUAUCGCCCUAUGUUGUAAAAGUUUUAAGUGAUAUCGUUAUGAAUUCCUAGUACGAAUCGUAAGUACGUGCAUGCAUCAUGAUAUGUCACUUGGCUAAAUUCCUCCCUCUUUAUUCGGGAUGGGUUGUAUAGAAUCAAUCCUAUUCUUGCUAACCUUUAAGGUCUCUCUUACUAAUCCAAACUUACCCUCUACAGGAUGGGCCGUUGGAAGCAAACCCCUCGCAAGAGAACUGGUCCUAAAGGGGUGCCUCGACACAAGUUGGCCCCGCGAAGCGAUCAAGCUAGCAGUAGCCGUUCCCCAUCUCAGCAGGAGAUGGAAAGGUUGUCAGCCGAGCUGACCGAAGUAACGAGAGAAAGGAUGUACAAUGUUAUGGAAAUUGGUGAACUCAAAGCUCAGUUAACAAAACAAAAACAAGCCAUCGAGAAUUGCGAGGCGAUGCUAUCCCGCAUGGUGGAAGAACGAAAUGCAGCUAUUGCUCGGGAAGAGGACGCCAGGAGCGCACAUAUGCAUGAGCUGACCAGAAUGAAGGCCAAGUUGACCAAAAACAAGUACACUAAAGAUCUGUAUAUAAAUAUGGUGGCCACUGUCACUACACAGAGGGACGUCGCAUGGCAGCGGGAGGAUCAGCUGCAGCUGGAGAAGCUCGAGCUGGCGCAUCAUCUAGACACCGUCAACGACAUGGCGAUGCAGUACCGUGAUAUUGCAUUCAACUUAUACCAUCAGCUUCAUCCACCUCUAGGUGAAGGGGAGAUGGACACUGACGGAGAGUUGGCAGAUGAUGGAGAGCCCGACCAAGAACCCAGCGACGAAGAGGAAUCUGACUCCGGCGACGACAACCCGGGGGAUGACCAUGGCGAUAACAACGACGACCCGGGCUACGGCUCUGACCACACCGACUAGUUCGGUGAAGUUGCGGGUGACGUCGUUAUAGGGUUCCUAGUCUACCGUAGUUGGGUCGGGUCUGUAGUAUAGUGUUUUUCUUUAUGUUCAAGAAGUUGUACUCGUUUGUUUCCAGUGUGCCGAACUGAUGUUUGAUAAAUAAACUGAAGUAUGUAAAAUAUGUUUUUGAGUAUGGGUUCCAAGUAGUAACGAGUACAUAUAAUUCUUGUAGCAGAUGCCGAUGCGCACACGUGGAUCUGAUGGAGCCGGGUCUUCUCAUGGAGGAGAGGACAUACCUAACCCUCCACCUGCUCCGCCUUCCCUAGCAGAUGCAAUUGCUGUUCUUUUGAGCGCCACUACCGACAAUGCUCGCUUGUUGCGCGAGCUAGCGCAGCGCCAACCCCACCCCGCCCCAAACUUCAGGGCACAACACAAUGGGGAGGGAGAAACUCGGUAUGUGGAUUUUACCGAGACAAGGCCACUAGUGUUCACCAAGGCUGAUGAGCCUUUAGAGGCUGAUGACUGGCUCCAGACAAUGGAGCAUAAGUUCGGCCUGAUUCGCUGUUUGGAGAUUCACAAGCCCCUGUUCGCAGCCCAACAGCUUCGAGGAGCUGCGGGGGCCUGGUGGGAAAAUUUCCUUGCUAUCCAAAGUCCAGGACACCAGGUCACCUGGGCGGAAUUUAAGGACGCGUUUCGCGCCCUUUACAUUCUAGAAGGGCUUAUGGCCAUGAAAGCGGAAGAAUUCCUCGCCUUGCAGCAAGGCGAUAAAAGUGUGCUGGAAUACGUGGCCAAAUUCAAUCACCUUUCUCAGUAUGCCAUGGACCAUGUGAACACAGAUAAAAAGAAGAAGGCCUGUUUUAUGCGUGGUCUCAAUACAAAGCUUCAGACUAUGAUGACCACAUGUCAAAAUGCUACUUUCUAUGAGGCGGUUAAUAUUGCCAUCGCCUCGGAAGAAAAGAAUAGAAAACACAAAGAAGCCAAGAAGAAGGCCACUUCUUCCUCCUUCUCUGGUCGCGGUCAAAAGCGCCAGAGGAUCAUUUAUCACCCACAGGGCUACGGACGCUUUCCAGCACCGCCACCUUUUCGUGGUCCCUUUUCUCCUCCACAGUAUAGACCCGAGCAGCGGGUCUAUCCUCGACCCACUGCCAUCAUCACUGCACCACGCCAGCCGAAUGCCACAGGUGUUCGUCCUACUGCUCCGCCAAACCACAAUUAUCCUUGCUACAAUUGUGGUAAGCCCGAGCAUUUCUCUAAAGAAUGCCCCUACCCUCGACACAAUAACCCCACUUUCCAAAGGCCGCCCAUUGGCCAACCCCAGCCGAGCCAAUUCAAAAAUGGGGCUCAGAAAGGACAGAAUGCACAAAGGGGUAAACCUGUAAAGAAGGUGGGACAAGUCUUCCAUACCGAGGUGGAAACAAUACCGGAAGGAGAACCGGUAAUGAUGGGUACGUUCCCUGUUGCAAAACAUGCUGCCUUAAUACUUUUCGAUUCUAGUGUAUCUCAUACCUUCAUCAACCGUACAUUUGUGAUGAAGCAUGCCAUAGACGUUCCCUGUUGCAAAACAUCCUGCCUUAAUACUUUUCGAUUCUAGUGCAUCUCAUACCUUCAUCAACCGUACAUUUGUGAUGAAGCAUGCCAUACCCAUUGGGGAAACAAAAGAUCAUUUUUAUAUACAGUCGCCAGGAGGAUGACUAAGUUCUAAAGAAAUGGUUCACCAGAUACCCAUCGAAUUUGGUGGGCAUAGUUUUCCCACUAGUAUGAUUGUCCUUAAAGAUCAGGACAUUGAUGUCAUACUAGGCAUGAACUGGAUGACACAACGAGGGGUUGUGCUAGACACCUUACAUCGAACCAUUAAGGUCCCAUUGCUCAAUGAGAAUUCUUACCUUCUGAUCCAAUUAGCUACUCCCAAAUGGGCAAUUGAGCAAGUUCAUGCCACUAAUGUGACUAAAGUCGAAAAUAUCCCAGUAGUUUGGGAUUUUCUGGAUGUAUUUCUUGAGGACCUACCAGGUCUGCCACCGGACUGGGAUGUCCAGUUCAGCAUAGAAUUGAAACCAGGGACAACCCCAAUAUCUCGAAGAGCCUAUCGAAUGGCACCGAAAGAACUGGCCGAAUUGAAAACCCAAUUACAAGAGUUGUUGCAAAAAGGUUUUAUUCAGCCCAGUUCAUAUCCAUGGGGUUGCCCAGCAUUAUUUGUGAAAAAGAAAUAUCAAACAUUAAGGCUGUGUGUCGAUUAUCGUCCCUUGAAUGAGGUGACGAUUAAAAACAAGUACCCAUUGCCCCGUAUUGACUUGCUAUUUGAUCAGUUAGCUGGGGCAAAGGUAUUCUCAAAGAUUGAUUUGAGGUCGGGAUACCACCAAAUAAAAAUCAUGCCGGAAGAUGUACCCAAGACGGCUUUUACAACCCAUUAUGGGCUGUAUGAAUACUUGGUGAUGUCCUUUGGGUUGACCAAUGCACCAGCCCAUUUCAUGUAUUUGAUGAACUCUGUCUUCAUGCCAAAGCUGGACAAAUUCGUGGUUGUCUUCAUUGAUGACAUCUUGAUCUAUUCCAAAACCAAGAAAGAACAUGCUGAACAUAUGAGGAUUGUGCUGACUCGUCUCAGGGAGCAUCAAUUAUAUGCCAAGUUCUGCAAAUGUGAGUUCUGGCUAGACAAAGUCCAUUUCUUGGGUCAUGUAUUAUCAGCGGAGGGAGUCGCUGUAGACCCAGGUAAAGUAGAAGAUGUUUUGAAUUGGAAGCCCCGACUACGGUACAUGAGGUCCGUAGUUUUCUAGGUAUGGUGGGAUAUUACCGCCGCUUCAUCCUGGACUUUUCAAGAGUCGCUAAGCCAAUCACGACCUUGCUCAAGAAUCAAACAAAAUUUGUUUGGUCAUCUGAAUGUGAGCAAGUCUUCCAGACUCUGAAAAGGUUAUUAACAACUGCACCUGUGUUAGCCCAGCCGGAUAUUGAAAAGCCCUUUGAUGUGUAUUGUGACGCAUCAGGAAUAGGGAUAGGCUGUGUGCUAAUGCAAGAGUGUCGAGUAAUUGCAUAUGCCUCCAGGCAGCUUAAACCACAUGAAGAGAAUUACCCGACCCAUGAUCUUGAACUAGCCACCGUAGUACAUGCUUUGAAGAUCUGGCGCCAUUAUCUGUUGGGGAACACUUUUCACCUAUACACAGAUCAUAAAAGCUUGAAGUAUAUUUUCACUCAAGCCGAACUUAAUAUGCGCCAGCGGAGGUGGCUAGAGUUGAUCAAAGAUUACGACCUCGAGGUGCAUUAUCACCCUGGCAAGGCGAAUGUAGUAGCUGAUGCCCUCAGUCGUAAGGCUCACUGUAAUUGUUUAACAGUGAAGCCUAAAGAUAUAACUUUGUGUCAAGAGCUAGAGAACUUGGGAAUAAAAAUGACUUCCCAAGGAAGCCUUGCCAAUCUAAAGAUUGAUUUCAAUCUUGAAGCUCAAAUCAUAGGGGCACAAAAAGAAGACAAAGGCAUGAAAUAUCUUAAGGAGAAAAUUUCUAACAGAGCACCCACAAACUUUAAAGUGGAUGAUGCAGGAGUAAUAUGGUUCAAAAACCGGUUAGUGGUUCCAAAGGUACCUGAGCUACAUCAGCAAAUCCUAGAUGAAGCUCAUACAACCAGAUAUUCUAUUCAUCCGGGGAGCAAUAAAAUGUAUCGGGACCUGAAGCAAAGGUUUUGGUGGACGAAAAUGAAGAUAGAAAUAGCCCGCUAUGUGGCCCAAUGCGAUACAUGCCAAAAGGUCAAAGCUAUUCAUCUCAAAUCCGCAGGAGAGUUGCAACCCUUGCCUAUUCCAACAUGGAAAUGGGAUGAUAUUAGUAUGUAUUUCAUAGUAGCAUUGCCCAAGACGGCCAAAGGCUUUGAUUCUAUUUGGGUCAUUGUAGAUCGUCUCACCAAAACGGCGCACUUCUUGCUUGUGAAGAUAUUAUAUCCUGCCUCCACCUAUGCUAAGAUUUAUUUUGAUCAUAUACUGAGUCUGCAUGGGGUGCCAAAGACCAUAGUGUUAGAUAGAGGCACACAAUUUGUCUCCCAGUUUUGGAGAUGCUUACAUGAAUCUAUGGGCACUAAGCUUUUAUACAGUACCGCCUACCACCCUCAAACGUGUGGGCAAACAGAAAGGGUGAAUCAAACCCUAGAAGAUCUACUAAGAUCUUGUGCCCUAAACUUUCCAGAUAAGUGGGAUGACUGUUUGCCUCUAGCAGAGUUUUCCUACAACAAUAGCUACCAAGAAAGUAUUAAGAUGGCUCCCUUCGAGGCACUAUAUGGCCGUCGAUGUCGGACUCCACUACACUGGUCGGAACCCGGAGAAAGAUGGUUCUUUGGAGUUGACUUAGUGAAGGAAACCGAGAACAAAGUUAGGCAAAUUCAAAAUAACUUAAAGGUUGCUCAGUCCCGACAGAAAAGCUAUACCGAUAAAAGACGUCGACCCUUAAGAUUCGCCAAAGGUGACCAUGUGUAUCUGAAAGUAUCCCCAAUGAAAGGAGUAAAUCGUUUUGGCGUUAGAGGCAAGUUAGCACCUCGUUACAUUGGUCCAUUUCCAAUCAUUGACCGGUGUGGACAGGUAGCUUAUCGCCUUAAACUGCCCGAACGAUUAUCCGGGAUACACAAUGUAUUCCAUGUAUCUCAGCUGAAAAAGUGUCUUCGAGUACCAGGCCAGGUUCAAGAUAUUGAACGUGUAGAACUUGAACCAGAUCUGACCUAUGCAGAAUAUCCUAUCUGAGUAUUAGACCAAAGAGAUAGAGUUACUCGAAGAACAACUACCAGGUGGUACAAGGUGCAAUGGAGCCAGCACUCUGAAGAAGAAGCCACAUGGGAAUCUGAGGAUUAUCUAAUGGAGAAUUUUCCUGAGUUCCAUGCUUCUCUUCAAGACAACAUCCGAUAAAAAGGAGGUGUACUCUACUGAAGGAAAAGGGUAGCCAAAGUCAUGUACUUAAUGUACAUAUAUGCUUAGAAUGAAUGAAGUAUUCUUCCCAAACUCCUUGUCUUAUGGAAAGGUUAAAGAUGAAAUAGCUUGACAAAUUUCCUUUUCCAUUACGCACCCUAAGGCUUUAAAUCUUGGGGACGAGAUUUAUUUAAGGGGGAAGGGCUAUAACAUCCCCGAUGUUACGGUUAUUAAAACUGGAUCAUGUCAUCAUGAGCAUUGCAUCGCAUAUUGAUUAAGCACCACUUGAUGCAUUAAAUUAAAACAAGUUUACUUUGAUUGCUUGUGCUUAGAGAAUUAAAGUGUGUUUGCGAGGGGUAUUGAAGCUAGUGUGGUUGUGAAAUUCCUAGGGUGGAAGGUUUCCGAGAAAAUAGGGGGGAAAAACCCUGAUUUUAGAACCCUAGAUUUGCCCCCUUUUGCACAAUUUAAAAACCAAGAAAAAUUUGAGGUUUAGUUCAAAAGCAAAGUUGUAGAUCUUGUCAAGAUGUACAACUUUGGUGUUCUGAGUUUUUGAAGUUUCAAUACAAAAUUCAAAGUAAUUUUGAAAAUACAGAUUUCUAGAAAGUGUCCCCCUUUCCAAUUUGAAUCCCCAAUUCAAAAUCUAUUUGGAAUCUUGAAAAGUGACCAACAUGAAAGUUGUAGAGCUCAACAAAAGGAACAACUUUGAUUUUGGGAAUUUUUCAAGUUAUUGAGAAAAAUCAAAAGUAAUUUUAGAAUUUCUAAUCUGCCCCAAUUCAAAAUUGGAAUUUCCCCAAUUUGAGAUUUGAAAUUCAAACUGUUUUGCUAAAUUCAAGCUCUUCCAUCAGAAUUAGUUUUGGGCACUUAAAGAUGUUUUGUAGCUUGUAAAAUUCUGCACAACUUUCAUUUUGGUGAAAAUUUGGCUCCAGUUCAACUUUUGGGAGAAUUUUGCAAAACAACAAAAUAAUUGGAUAUGGCUUGCUACAGUGCUUGAGCAGGGGGGAUGCACUGCCGCCGGGGCAGAGCUGCUUGCUUGCUGGGCGUCGCCCUGGUGUCCUCAUCCGCAGCAAGCACUUCGUCGCGUGGAUAAAACCCCGAGCCGCCGUGGAAAAACUUCCUUUCCCUCUGAACUCCGACACCGACGAGCUCACUGCGCUCUCCAAAUUCAUCUUCCUCGCUCCCUUCCAAGCCACCAGAGACCCCCCAGCAGCUCCGCCCUGAACCCAGCCACCGUUUGCACCCCCGAGCGCAAGCUCUAACCCAUCGUAGCUCCAACCCGAGCCACUCCUCUCCAAGUCCGGCCGAAGCGCCGCCGUGGGUAUUUCACCGCGGCCAGACCUGCUCCGAGCCUCCCCACCGCCGCUCCUUGCUCCGUUGAAGUCGCGGUGAGCCCCUAUAGCUUAUGCGCUGGUUGGUCCACGUUCUACCCGCUUGUCGAGUUCGGUGCUCGCUCGGGUAGUGUCACCGUCCACUGUGGACGCGAGUAGGAGGGUUAGGAGGGAGUAGGGGGUGUCCUGUGUGUCCUAGGCAAUGCGCAAGAAGCCGGAGAUGCUAGCUCGCCCUACCGCGGAGGCCAAGAGCUCACCGACGGCAGUCUGGGCGAUCGCUGGAGCCACGGCGCGAGGAAGAAGACGGAGCUGACGGGCGAGACCCGCCCGUCAGCGACCGCGUGAGAGAGGGGGGUGUCCGCGCAGGACGCGGGAAGCGCUCGGGCCGGCUUGGGCCGGGCGUAAGCGGGCCGGCCUCUUUCACACAGUGACUUUUCUUUUUCCUUUUGUGCAAAAUGGAGUUAUGUUUGAUUUUGAAUAGAAAAAAUUAUGCAGAUUCAAAAAUUAUGGGGAUUUUUAUGUAGCCUCUAUAAAAUGAGUAGAAUGCAGGAAAAAUAUUAGACUCCAUUUUCUGGUAGUUUACAUGUAUAUAAAAAAUUUCAUCCUUUAAUUAAUAAAUAAACUUCCUUGAAUUUUAAUAAUUUAGGGGUAUAUCCGAAAAUCACAAAAAAUUGUGAGAAACCUCUGAAUAUUAUUCCUUGGCUUCACACAAAAUUUGGUGGCAGUUGGAUAAUGUAUAAAUAAAAUAUCAUUAAACCCUUAAUUAGUAAUUUAGUAAUAAUUUCAAAAUAAUUAAGUAAUAAUUAGCUUAAUCUCUCAAAAUAGAAUUUGAGUGCUUUUGGGAUUGUGUGAUGACCUGAGGUCAUUAACCUUAAUGACCUUUGGCACCUAAUUAUUGUUUGAAGUUAAUACUUAAUUACUGUCAUUAGUACUUAAUUAAGAAUUAAUUAAGGUAAAAAGGUUUAAUAGUAGUUAAUUAAGGAUAAUUAGGAAUUGAGAAAAGUCUUAAUUUACUAAUGCAACCUCUUGGGUAAAAACACUAAGAUGAUAAACAACUUUAAUUACUGUUUAGCCUGUUUUUGCACCAAGAAGGAUAGUUGUACUCAACUCGGUCCUUCUUAAAUAUUUGUCAUACGCAUAUCAUGAGCAUUCAUCAUUUUGCGUAUAGUGCACGUGACCGAAGGAGCGACCGUUGAACCGAACCCCGAGGUCGGUGCUCCGUUCGAAGAAGUAGGAUCCGAGACUUGGGAAGUCUCCGAGGGUCCCUCAGCUCUGCAACCAAGGCAAGCCCCGAAUGCAUUAACCCCUCCUUGAAUGUUUUAAAUCUUUUAUCACUUAUGAAUUGAAAAUGCUGCAUUAGGUAGUUGAGAAUUGGGUUAACCUACUUGCUGCAUUUACUACCUUGAUAUUUGUUAUCUUGUCCUUGGCACCGGUUUUAUUUUAAAACUGCAUAGUGAUGCUUAGCCCUGCUACUAGAUAGGUUUUCAAACGAGAAAGUUUGAAGGGCUGUUAUGGAAUACUCUUAUGGUCAAUGAUGUUUCAACUUGAGACCGGUCGGUGGACUUGCUUUAAGAAUGGAGUCUUAAAGUAGUGUCUCCAACUAUGUCGAUUAAGGACCGGUCCGUUGAUGGCCUGCUAGGUUGAGAACUUAUAGUACUAGCCACUUGCCCUCGGUAAGCCCGGUCUUGUGAUCCCUCGACGCGAACGGCUACUCGCGCACUGGGCGUGGAGCGAUGGCGAGAGUAACGUGUACCCUCCUGGCAAAUGGGCUGGAUGGUGGGGUACUGUGCUCUCGGGUGCCGCAAACCCGGUCAAAUUUGGGGAGAGCUAGAUUUGGGUCGAUAUAUGCAAGAUUUGGUUCUACAUAUGUCGGGUGGUUAGGAACUCCAGCUGGAUUGCUAAGCGAUUCGAAUCGUCAUUGCUCCCCGAUUGGGAGACUCAAUUCCUUCGACCCUCAUCGUAGUUAAAUAUGCAACUAAGUGGUAAAAUAAGAAAGGGGGAAAUGUGUCAUGAGGUUCAGAUCCCAAUUCCCGGACUCAGAUUGACAUGAAGCUAUAGCCGUUGGAUAGAUAAUACUUUGAUUAAGGACUAGGAACUUACAGACUUGUCUGUGAGAAGCAACUAGAUAGAUUGUCCUCGAACUCCUCGACCUCUUAAGGAGAGGAAUUCGUGGGUAAAAUUUGAAAGUAAGGAUGCCCUAUUAGUAAGCUUUUUGGCAAAACAAUUUGGCUCCUUGCUAAGCCACUCCUUGUCUACCCUAAGCCUGCAUCCCUAAUUUCUCCUCUUUUUCUGCCGGGUAAGUCUUGUUGAGUACUGCCGUACUCAGGGUUUUAUAAUCCCUGUUGCAGGUGAAGCUCAGGAGCCGACAUGUUUCGGACCCUGUUGUGUGACCGUCGUCGAGGUUGACAACGAGGAAGAGUGAGCGUGACCCAUGGGCAGGGUCUAUAAAUUUGUAAUCUGUGUACUAAAGUUUAAGUUGCUCCGCUGGACCUGGCUUGUAAUAACACUCUACUACUUGGAAGAACUACUUUUAUGAAUUAAGUUACGUAAUGCUUCUGCUGUUUUACUCUGAAAUAUUAUUUUGGUCAUAUGUCGUUUGUGAUACUGCAAUGUCUUCGCAACGAAUGAUCCUGGUGUUAAGGUGGCCACUCGCUAUCCUGUAAGGGCGAGAAGAAGAAAUUCUCGUUAAGUGACCAUCACAAGUGGUCAGGACGAGCUUGGGUGAUAUGCCACAGGUAGCGGUGGAAUGAGCGUCCUGAGAUGCUCAUCGGACUUCUAAAGUGGGAGGAUCCCCGACAUCACCAUCAGAGGUCCUUAGGACAAUGACACGUGUCGGUGGACCCAAACACUUAGGAGGUUCUGCCACAACAAUCAAUCAAUAUCAUACACAAGUUUUACAUCUACUUUUCGACGACUUUGUAAACUCACAUAUUUUCCUUUUGUUUACGAGUUCUUAAGGAUUCAACGAGUAACACUCGGCGAAUUCUCGAGUUCCGCGUGAGUACCUCUUGGCCGUGACAUCCGGGCGCAUCGCCGUUGUCAGGACCAAAGUAUUCGAGUUAUCACCUUUGUUGAUUGGUAGGUCAAAUCGGCUGGCACGCCUCAACGUUUGAAUCAGGUAUUAGCCCUUUGUGUUUGCAGAUCCCUUUUUGCAUCAACAAAAAGUAAAUAGGGAAGAUAAAAUAUAUUAAAGCAUAAGUCAUACAAGAAAAUAUACAAAUAUAUACCAGAACUCUAAUGACUUCUCUAGAAGACUCCUCUAGAACACGGUCGUAGUGCCGCUCUCCCUAACUCUCAACUAGAACUAAUCUACUACAUUGGAAAAUUUAGCCUUAAUUCUCUAGAGUUGAGAGGUCAUCCAUUCGAGGGACGCCUCUACAUCUCCAUAAUGUGGUGCCCCUAGGGAGGGGGUCUGCCUCUUUAUUUAUAGCCUAGAAAAGCCUCCCACCUCUUCUAGACAGACGAUGUGGGACUAAUUCUUCCACCGUUUGCUCUGUUGGGCUAUUAUACAUCAACUUAUGCCUUCCAAUCAUCCCUCAUGUGAGCCCACUCAAGGGAGCAUCUUGGGGUGCCUCUCUUGGGUCUCUAUCAUGCCAUAUGAGCCUCUUCUCAUGUCAUGGGCCUUGCUUGGGCGUGGGGCCCAUUAGUGGUAAUUCUCCUUUAUUUGUAAAAUUAAUAUCUUUUUACUGCAGACUCCAAAUAUAGCAAACGAUAUAUCUGUUUCGAUCAUCUCGACGAUCCCAUCGCAAUGGUGUAGUCCAAAUAAUCAUUUGACAUACUUUUAUUUGAUGGAAAAUUGCAUAUUCCUACAAAACAAGUGAGAACACCAAAACUCGUUGAACUCGUUAGAAUCAAACCCUACAACUAUGCUUUGUGAUUGAUAUCCUGUUAUAUUGAGCAAUAGUUGAUGGUAUAAAAUAGGCAUUAAGGACCGUCAACAAUGCACAACAAAAGCCAUCAUCUAUGCGGAGCACGCCAAGAUUGUCCUAUCCAUCAAGGACAAGAAGGAGAGAUUUGCAUUCAAGAACCGUGUCCUGAAAGCUCCUGCAGCCCCGAAGCAGUUCUACCAAUAAGGAAAGCAAGAACAACAAUUAGUGCCAAAGAAAAGAACAAUAGAAGAUGGAGGAAGACCAAGCAUGCAGAGACAACUCAAUUAAUCACCGCUCUCAACACUGAAAAUGAUCAUAUUCUAUCCAAGCCAUGUCCGAUCAAGAGAGGUGAUCCAGGAGUUCCAAUCAUUGAGUACACAAUCAACAACACCACCUUCCCUUACACCAUCUGUGACACUGGAUCAGGCUGCAACGUAAUGUCAAAAUAGGUAUACGAUGAAUUAUUUGAUUUACCUUUAUACCCAACACAUAUUCAGUUGCAGAUGGCGGAUCAAUCAUUAAGAUUCCUGGAAGGAAUGGUCAAGGAUGUAAUGGUAAGAAUUCAAGAAUAUUAUAUACCUACAGAUUUUCUAGUGCUUGACAUGCAAAGAGACGAUGAGAUCUCGAUCCUCUUGGGAAGACCGUUCCUCUACACAGCUAAAGCCAAUAUCUACAUCGGAUUAGGGCAUAUCCUCUUCAACCUACCUGCCGGAAAGGUAUGCUGUCAAUUUAGAAUACUAUGUAACCGUGAGCAAACCAAGAAGGAACUCAAGAGGAGAAGACGCCAAGCCUGCCGUCAAGCUGCCCAGCCUCAAUGUGGAUGGGUGGACUUUCCUAGCAAGAUUGUAAAGUAUGAAGAUCACCUCAUAGAGGAAGAAGAAGACACGCACGCACCUCGAUGGAGUGAGUGGGCCGAAGAAGCUGAAAGGAUGGACUAGAUCGCCAAGAAAGAGAAAGAAGAGAUCUUAGCUCGAUUAGAAGCCUAGGAAAAGGAGAACAGAGUUGAAGGAUUGGAACUAGAGAAGGAAGAAGCAAAAGAAAUAGAAGCAAGAUGGGAGGAAGACACACAUACCGCAUCACCGCAAGACAGGGAGUUGACUGAGGUUGUUGACGGUCCUUAAGUAUCAAAUAUAAUCAACAAAUAAGCAAAGAAAGGGAUCCAAAUGCAACCGACACCCAGACUUAGGGUUUUAUCUGACAGAAUUCCAUGAGUUUUGGUGUUUGUCUAUUUCUGCAGGGGGUUAUCAGGAAAUAUGGAGGAAAAGCCCACACGUCAGGUUUACAUAGAGAUAUUAACGUGCCGUGCAAUUAUCCAACAUCUAGAUGAGUCCAGAAGCCACGGGAACGAGCGGGAGAUCGAGCGGACCCGGGGGCAGGGCGCCCGCCCUGGCCUAAGAGCCAAUCAGGCUCCGCCUCGCGGAUCAUGCUCCACCAACCUAAGGGAUUAAGAAAAACCGUGCGAUUAAGGUCGGUUUGAUCCGACGGUCCAUAUUCAUUUGGAGGAAUUAUAUAAGGAGACCCCCUAGCCCCUGGAGGAGAGGACCUGAGAAACCCUAAUUCAUUAAUUCAUCUUGGGAGAAGAAGUCUCUGAUUAAGCCCUAGAGCCACCACAUCAACUAGAUCUCUAGUUUAGCAUAGCUACAUAGGAUUAGAACUAGAAGGAGUCAAUCUUCGAUUGGUUUUUGGAUCUGUCAAGAGGAUUCUUGGUACUUCCUUUACUGUUCUUCAUUUGUUCAUCAUUGUUCUUCAAUACUAUGGAUAUGACUUUGUUCUACUUCAAUAUAUUGAUUAUGAAUUUGCUCUACUUGUUUAUAUUUACAAUUAUAUCGUUCUUAGUUUAUCAUAGUUAUAUGCUUGGCUUAGUUAGAUUGGAAUUAUAUACAUGUUUAGGAUCGUAUAGCAUUUAUCCAUGUGUACAAUGGGUAAAUGAAAAGUAUUGUGUAGGCAUGGUGUCUAUACCAUAUUUAUCUGCGAUUGUACCCUAUAUGCUGGAUCGCGGGGUAGUUCGUGGUAGUGACAACUCCAUUGAUUCUUAUAUAGUCCCCCUCUCGUGUAUAGGGUAGGCAGAGCAACAUUAUUACAGAGGAGUGAUUGCUAUGUUUCUCAUCUUCCUUAAUAAUAUCACUAUGCAUGGGCGUAGUCCUGUCUCGCAAUGAUUGCCAAGUAUAAUUGCACUAACUAUGAUAUGCUAGACUUUAUAGUUAAGACUAACUUAGGAAAUAUUCUUGUAGUGCAUCCUAAUUCCAUGCUAAUGACUUGCUAGAAUAUCUAUUGAGGUGCUUAUCAUUAUUAAAUGUGGCUAGUUAUGGUGAUCAGAUUAAUUAUCUUUGUCACCAUUCGUACUUUAUCUAUAUUUUAUGUGACAUUUAUCCCUAUAUGAAAGAGGUAGAUAAAUGCUCUCUAUUACACAUGCAAUGAUAGAUACUCAAUUCCAUAUUCCAUUCCAUAAUCAACAUUGAUGAUUAGCAAUCCCUUCCCCGUGGUAAAAUAUAAAUAACGAUACCUAGAAUACUUUCUGGUUAAAAUGCUACAUCGGUAUCAAUCUGUGCGCUUGCAGAUCUCAUUUAUUACUUAUUCAGAAGAGCAAUUGCAUAUUUCAAUACCGCGUCUCUCAUGUCAUGCUGGGGAUGACAACUUGGCUUAAGUCGCAUGAGGGAUAGGUUUGGCAUUUUUGGCACCGUUAUCAGAAUUAGAAAACUUAGUCUACUUUUGGUAAUGACGUUAAGAAUGCCCAACAAGCAUUUUUGGCGCCGUUAUCAGAAUUAGAAAACUAAGUCUACUUUUGGUAAUGACGUUAAGAAUGCCCAACAAGCAUUUUUGGCGUCGUUGCCGGGGAAGGUUGAUUACUAAUAAGGAAUGAAUACGGAAUUUCGAGACAUCAUUAGCAUCACUAAUAUGAUUGAGAUUAUCAAUUCUCUCAUACAGUUUUACCCCAGUAUUUUUCUAUUUUGAUUAUUUUAUGCAGGGUAAUGUAUGAAUAGAAGACAUCUUCCAUGAAAUUUUGUUGACAAUCCCGAAGCAUUAUUCAGAAAAACAAGAGCCAAGCUUAAGAAGAGAUCGUCAACAUUUCAGCACGAAGCUUCAUCCAAUCAAGAAGAUCACCGAAGUUUCACCCGAAACUCGAAGUUAUGGCGAACAAAUCGAUCCGCGAGUUCUCAGCUCCCACUACGGACAAUAUCCGCACUGGACCUGCUGUAGAGAUCGACGACAACUUUGAGCUCAAUCCUGGGCUCAUCAACAUGGUGCAAUCCAACCAGUUCUGUGGGAAGGCACACGAAGAUGCUAGUGCUCAUCUCCAACACUUCCUGGAGAUUUGCAGCACAUUCACCAUGUCAGAAGUCCCCAGAGAUGCUAUACUACGUCGCCUCUUCCCAUUCUCACUGUUGGGGAGAGCGAAGCAGUAGUUCUACGCUACAAAGGAGAAGAAUACUACGUGGGCACUCUGCUCCACGAACUUUCUAGCUAAGUUCUUUCCCAUGGGCAAGACCAAUGCUCUCUGUGGGAAAAUUACAAGUUCUCAACAACAACAUGAUGAAUCCAUUCCAGAAGCAUGGGAGUGCUUCCAAGACUACACCCUAGAAUGUCCCCCAUCAUGGAAUGGAGAGCUGGCUACUGAUGCAGACGUUUUAUCAUUGGCUCGGCAAUAGUGUCUGAGAGACCAUGAAUGCUGCAGCUGGAGGAGCAUUCCUAUCACUCACCAUACCACAAGCCACAGCUCUUGUGGAGAAGGUGACGUCCAACCAAGGCUGGAAUGAAGAAAGGACCUAGACACGCAAGAGAGGUGGAGGUAUGCAUCAGCUCAAGGAGGUAGACACUCAUGAAGAAGCUCGAUGAUAGAGCUGGAGAUAAGAAAGAAGACAUGCACGUCUACAACUCUCACAUGACUGUGAGGUGUGUGGAGAUACUGGACACUCAGGCAAUCGCUGCCCUGAGAUGCUUGAGGACAUGAACUACAUCAAUAAUAACAACAACUACUACUACUACAACCGUCCUCAACAAAAUCAAGGUUGGAAUCAACAGAGGCCUAACUACUCAGGUAAUUAUCAAGGUAAUAAUUCUUACAAUACUAAUAAUAAUUUUCCACCUCUAAGACGGUUAGUGUCUAAUCAAGGAAAGCUAAUGGAUAACUUAUCUAAGAAAUUGGCAUCUAAUGAUAAAAUAUAAGAAAAUAUAAAUAAUAGAAUGGAUAAUUUCUCUACAGGCAUCAAGAAUCAAAUUAGCUUUAAUAAAAUGAUUGAAUCUCUAUUAAAUCAAAUAGCUGCUGCUGUUCCUGCUACUAACCCCGGUAUACCAUCACAAUCGGAAGGAUUAGAAUCUGCAAAUCUUGUAGACAUGUUUGAUACAGGUAACUACUGGAGUAACCCCGUUGCAGAAGUUACUACUGACCUUCUGCCGGUCAAGAGAGGCGAUCCAGGACGCCCCGUCAUCCCGAUCUCCAUCAGCAUGGUGGACUUCCCAGAAGCACUCUGCGACUUUGGCUCUAGUGUCAACAUUAUGCCUAGGGUACUCUAUGAAAAAUUCUUUACAUAUCCUUUACUAGAAACAACCAUGUGUUUGCAGCUUACAGAUCGGACGCUAAGUUUCCCCAAGGGAAUAUUGAAGAACCUCUGUGUCCGAGUUGGUACCUUGUACGCCCCAGCAGACUUAGUGGUGAUAGAGACCGGUAAUAAUGAGAGGGCACCUGUCAUCUUAGGGAGGCCAUUCCUGAACACCUCGGGAGCUGUCAUCUACGCUAGUGCUGCCAAGAUCAGUUUCUACAUCACAUGGAGGAAGGAGACAUUUUCCUUCAAGAACAAGACUGCACAAAUCCUAGAACAAUCCCGACAUGAACCAAGGAAGAGGACCAACAGGAGGAACAGGAACAAGCAAGUAUGGACUGAGUCGGCUAAGAUGAUCACUGCAGUUCAUGGAGGUCAAGAUCAUCGACUUAAGUCACCGUUCCUGCCAAAAAAGGAUGACCUAGGUAUGCCAAGCAUCCAGUGCUCUAUUAAUGGGUACAACUUCUACAAGACGCUUUGCGACACCGGGUCGGGCGUCAACAUAAUGGCCGCAGUCACCUAUCGGCUCUUGUUCGGAACCAUGCCCCUAAAACCGACAUACAUUCAGCUCCAGAUGGCAGAUCAAACAUUCCGAAAGGUUGAAGGUAUAGUAACUGAUGUCCCUGUCAAAAUAGACGAUCAUUUUGUCCAUACAGACUUUUAGGUUAUUGACAUGGGAGAAGACGAGUACGAUCCACCCAUCAUCCUUGGGAGACUGUUUCUCAGCACCAUUAAAGUAAUCAUCUACAUUGGAACCAGAGAAGUCCACAUGCACUUCCCCUCUGAGAAGGUACGCCGCUAUUUUACUGACCCUAACUAUAUAGUUGAAGACUCUAAGCAGGUCACAACAAGAAGAAGACGAUCCAACCGCAACCAGAAGAGGCAAAUCAUCAAGGAUGGAUGGGUAGACUACGAAGGAGAAGUGGUAAUGUCUGAAGACAUACAGCUUGAACAGAACUGUCCUAAAGAGACGAUAGCACCGAGUCAGGUGUGGAGAGAGAAGAUAGUUAUACACGAAGAGGAGGCACCACCGGAACCACCGACUAAGCCAUCCAGCGAAUCCCAGGACGACUAAGAAAACAGAGAGUCCCAUUCGGAGGACUUAAAAACACCGAACGCCUUGCCAAGAGGUAAAUUUGGUAGUUAUCCUUUCCUUUUCAAUUAUUUAAAAUAGUUUGCUCAGUUAAUCAGGUUCAUACUAUUCUAAAAAGAAAAUAAAAAUGUUAAAAUCAGUAAGCCCCAUGUGAGUAUACAAGUGGUAUAAAACCCAUAAGUACAUUCACUGUGGUGGCAUAAAUAUAAUAAUAAAAAUAUUGUUCUGCUCUAUAAAAAUAAAAAAAAUAAAAUUGUGAUCCUACCAAAGGAAGUAGCAAUUAUUAAGGAGGCUCAACAUUAUAAAGGCUAAGAUAUUUAUGCUAACACUUAAUCAGUUCCACAAAGCUUUGUUGUCUAUUUGAGCUCCACAGAAUUUAAGGAUCAAGAAGACUAGCAGACAGAGGACAUUCUAAUCGCUGUCAGGGUGCUGCCGACUUUCAAAUACACCUCUGCCACCUGCUAGCUACAUCAAAAGAAAUUACGUCAAAAUCCACCUUGGGGGAGAGCACCUCCAUUUACCCCGCUAAGUAUUUCUAUCUACAUUUAUACCUAUACUAUAUUAAAAUAAAAAAAGAUACAUAAUCAUGAAAUGCCAAAUAAAGAUUUUGUGCUUAUAUAUAUAUAUAUAUCUUUGCUUAGUUUGCUUAAUAAAUAAAUAAAGUGGCUAUGCUAAACUGAAUCUUAAUAAAACUCUAGCAUGGAUAUGAUGAAUAGUUGCUCUGCCUAAUUUUUUAAAUUCGAGUUCUCUCUCAAGUUUAGACAUAACUGUUAUAAUUUAAAGCUUGCUCUAAACCUGAAGUUGUGGGAAGAGAACUUGAUCUGAAGUCUAAGUUGUUAACGGAUAUGAUAUGAGAAGGUUGAGCUGCUGUUUAUCUGUUCCUAGAGAUGCUAGAAUUCUGGAGCAUUUUUUAUAUUUGAAAAUCUUUAAAAUAUCACAUGAUGAGUUCCUAUAUGAUGAGAGUUUAAAUUCCUACCACAGCCAUAUAUACAUGCUUGCUAGACUUUGAGCUACACAUUUACUUUUUACUGCUUAUGAGCAUUGAGUGUGGUCAAGCUGUGUAGACCCUUAGGAGAUUGUCAUGCGGUUAAAAUCAAGAUUCACUUGCACGUUCACUCACACAUGCUGCUUCUACUCCAGAAGUACGCAUCCACAUAUAUCCACCCAUUUCCAUCUCCAGAACCACCCAAAAGUAUUCUACUCGUAAUUCGGGAGAGAAUAGCAAAAAACAUUCUCCUAUUUCUGUUUUUCCCUAUGAAAUAAAUGUUCAAGUUAUCUUGGUUACUACCACUUGCUAUAUUAUUUCGGGAGAUGAGUGCUCUAAAAAAAGAAGAAAAAAAGAUAUGAGGAAAUAAAAAGGGGCAAGUGCCCGGAACCUCGAAAGAAAAGUAAAAGUGAGACGAGAGGUAAAAAUGGACAAGUGUCCGACAGUAGAAUUAGGGGUACAAGAUACCCACCUGAGAGAAAAGAAAAAGAAGAGAAGCAAGGAAGGUAUGUAUCCCCUCAGAAGAGCAAAAGUAGAAUUAGGCUUUCACCAUUGUUAUCACCAUCAUCACCAGACACCAUUAAUUCGCCACACAUGCACAUCUUGAUUUGACUUAUUGAUUUGUUUCUUUGGAUCCAUGGUUUGACUAUAUAAUACAUGUCUUGUAAGUAUGUAUACUUUAUCUCCCACCUAUGAGCUCCAGAUAUCAAAACCUUAUUAGAGUAGGGUGAGAGAGAAGGCAAGGUCACUAUGCUUCAUACCAUAAAUACUACAUACUUUGAGAGAAGGCAUAUACCAUCACUGCCUUGGUAAGGAUCCAGAAAUACCACAAAAGAGAGAUCUGAGAGAGUUAUACAAGGAAUCUCUGAGUUUUACUUAAAAAUCUGCAAAAACUCCAGAGCUAUAGCUGAUCAAGAAUAAGAGACAUUGCGCUCGACUUGACCAUUCUAUCUUUUAACUGCUCAAGACAGAAGUGAUAGUUACAAGUCCCAUGGUGAAAGGUAAAAUAAGUUUUAAGUCUUGACGGUUUACUCUAACUCAGAGAUGAGACCUUAUUUGAAAGCAUGUGUACCGUCAACUUUUAAAGGCAUUCCAACAACUUCUGAUCCAUCACUGAGUCUAUCCUUGCUCAGGGACGAGCAAGAGGUAAGCUUGGGGGAGUUUGUUGACGCUCCUUAAGUAUCAAAUAUAAUCAACAAAUAAGCAAAGAAAGGGAUCCAAAUGCAACCGACACCCAGACUUAGGGUUUUAUCUGACAGAAUUCCACGAGUUUUGGUGUUUGUCUAUUUCUGCAGGGGGUUAUCAGGAAAUAUGGAGGAAAGGCUCACACGUCGGUUUACAUAGAGAUAUUAACGUGCCACGCAAUUAUCCAACAUCUAGAAGAGUCCAGAAGCCACGGGAACGAGCGGGAGACCGAGCGGACCCGGGGGCAGGGCGCCCACCCUCCUGCCUUGGGCGCCCACCCUGGCCUAAGAGCCAAUCAGGCUCCGCCUGGCGGAUCAUGCUCCACCGACCUAAGGGAUUAAGAAAAACCGUGCGAUUAAGGUCGGUUUGAUCCGACGGUCCAUAUUCAUUUGGAGGGACUACAUAAGCAGACCCCCUGGCCCCUGGAGGAGAGGACCUGAGAAACCCUAAUUCAUUCAUUCAUCUCGGGAGAAGAAGUCUUUGAUCAAGCCCUAGAGCCUCCACAUCAACUAGAUCUCUAGUUUAGCAUAGCUACAUAGGAUUAGAACUAGAAGGAGUCAAUCUUCGAUUGGUUUCCGGAUCUGUCAAGAGGAUUCUUGGUACUUCCUCUACUGUUCUUCAUUUGUUCAUCAUUGUUCUUCAAUAUUAUGGAUAUGACUUUGUUCUACUUCAAUAUAUUGAUUAUGACUUUGCUCUACUUGUUUAUAUUUGCAAUUAUAUCGUUCUUAGUUUAUCUUAGUUAUAUGCUUGGCUUAGUUAGAUUGGAAUUAUAUACAUGUUUAGGAUCGUAUAGCGUUUAUCCAUGUGUACAGUGGGUAAAUGAUAAGUAUUGUGUAGGCGUGGUGCCUAUACCGGAUUUAUCUGCGAUUGUACCCUAUAUGCCGGAUCGCGGGGUAGUUUAUGGUAGUGACAGCUCCAUUGAUUCUUAUACAGUCCCCCUCUCGUGUAUAGGGCAGGCAGAGCAACAUUAUUACAGAGGAGUGAUUGCUAUGUUUCUCAUCUUCCUUGAUAAUAUCACUAUGCAUGGACAUAGUCCUGUCUCGCAAUGAUUGCCAAGUAUAAUUGCACUAACUAUGAUAUGCUAGACUUUAUAGUUAAGAAUAACUUAGGAAAUAUUCUUGUAGUUCAUCCUAAUCCCAUGCUAAUGACUUGCUAGAAUAUCUGUUGAGGUGCUUAUCAUUAUUAAAUGUAGCUAGUUAUGCUGAUCAGAUUAAUUAUCUUUGUCACCAUUCAUACUUUAUCUAUAAUUUAUGUGACAUUUAUCCCUGUAUGAAAGAGAUAGAUAAAUGCUCUCUAUUACACAUGCAAUAAUAGAAACUCAAUUUCAUAUUCCAUUCCAUAAUCAACAUUGAUGAUUAGCAAUCCCUUCCUAGUGGUAAAAAAAUAUAAAUAACGAUACCUGCAAUACUUCCCGGUUAAAAUGCUACAUCGGUAUUAAUCUGUGCGCUUGCAGAUCUCAUUUAUUACUUAUUCAGAAGAGCAAUUGCAUAUUUCAAUACCGUGUCUCUCAUGUCAUGCUGGGGAUGACAACUUGGCUUAAGUGGCAUGAGGGAUAGGUUUGACAUUUUUGGCGCAGUUAUCAGAAUUAGAAAACUAAGUCUACUUUUGGUAAUGACGUUAAGAAUGCCCAACAAGCAUUUUUGGCGCCGUUAUCAAAAUCAGAAAACUAAGUCUACUUUUGGUAAUGACAUUAAGAAUGCCCAACAGAGGUUACCUCAGACAAUGAACCCACUGAGUAAGUCUGAAAGGUCCUUGUUUGGUUUUGGUAAUUGAGUGACUACUUAGGUGGACUAAUAGUGUUUUUGUGAGAUACACAGGAGAUUAUUCCACAGGUGAUUAUGUGAUGAUGGAGGAGCUCAUUGCACAUGAGACAUGAUAUGGAGUCAUGUGACCAAGGUGGAGAAGAUCAAGAUAAGGCUUGGCUGGAUGGACCGGUUGCAAGAGUGAAGGGCAAGUCGGAGGCUUUGAAGCGAGGGACCGCGUGUGACGGUGAAGCUUGAGCAAGACUUGGCACCGAUGGACCGAGGCAACGGUUGGUGAGGUCGUUGUCCCGAUCUUCACGACGUAGGAUGGAUAACUAGCUGAAGAUCAGCCGAUAACUUGCUGCAAGCAGCGAGGAUAACUAGUGCAACCUGACGACACGCACAAGGAGCCAACCACCGUCUCUAUACGGCAGCCUGAACCAAGGAUUCGCCCAACCACACUCUCAAAGAACCAACCUACACAACCUGAACUCGAGGAUCAGGAGCACGGAUUGGGUGCCGAUGACGCGGCCGCUUCUGUAAUCUCCGCGAAGGAAAACACAAGAGCAAAGGGGUAGAGAUCACUCUCUGAAUUUGUUAGCACGCAGCUGAACAAAGGGGUUCUGUAUUUCAAUUCUCAAAGUCUUAGAUUACAAUGAGUCUUAGGGGGUAUUUAUACUAGCAACAGCCCUGCUAGAUAGGUAUGAAAACGAAAUAGAGUUUCUGAGAGAAGGCAAUGUGAAAGGUCCCCUCGAAAUGGAUUCCCGAAGUGGCUUCGCGUGACUGUUGGCCUCCAGAGCAGUUUCCAAUAAACUGACCAUAACUUUUUAUUGGGAAGUCCAAAUGAUGAACCGUUUCUUGGGUGUGAAACUAGACUCCAAGAGAUUUCCAGCAACGUAUGCCAUGCACCACGAAACGCUGUAGAGUGGUACAGUUUUACUUGGCAAGUUGUACCAACAUUCUGUCAUGACAGACUGUUGACCUUCUGAGCAGUCUGUACUAAUUCUGGUCUGCAGGCAAUAUGGAAUAUCCAAACUGGUCUCCACUUGAUUCAUUGGAAAGUAGACUUGUCAAGCUUUCCAACAAGUGCUCAUGGGCCUUCAUAGCACCUUGGUAUUGAAAGUUAUGAUCUUUUCUUUCAACUGGUCCGUUCUGCACCGCACUGGUCCGAUCUGCCCAUCUUUCAACUGGUCCGUUCUGCACCGUGUUGUUCCAAUCCUUGCGAUCCAGGUCACCUCCCUCCUCAUGUGUAUACCUAAGCACAACCAAAUUAGAACACUUAGGUAGUAUAAUAUUCUCAUUAACAUUAAUAGAACUCUCGCAAAGUAGCGCGUUCACCUCUUGUUGUAGCUUCUUGGCUCGGCUACGUGUAAUUGCUCCAUCAAUGGCUUGGGCUGGUGCCGGUGUAAUCGGUGUAGAGGUUGGCGUGGAAUUGGAGGGAGCAUGCUUGGUUGGGAUGUCCUCAUCAACGGUGAAGAGCAAGUGAGGUCAAGAUCGAUGAACCAAUACAGUCACGUGAUCAUAUGAAGUGGAUCAUAUCUUUUGGUGAUUGGUUGGUGCAUGUGUUGCAUCAACAUUGGAGGAGAUGAAAUGGAAAGCGCAAGGCAAAGGUAUAACCUAGGGCAUUUCCAUUUCACCGGUCAUAGGUUUGUAGAGAAGUUUAUGACCGGAUUUAGGAUAGAUGGCCAUACUAUCAAGAGGGGCAAACUUGUUUGCAUAUCGGUCAUCUAGUGCCACUUGAGUGAUCUAACUUUGCAUACGUGUUAGGAUCGAGUGGCGUGGCAAGUUUGAGAGCCUAACUCCUUUGGGAAAAUGUUUGUGAAAAUGCUAACACACUCGCACAUGGUGGUGUACUCUUGUUGGUGUUGGCACACUUUGCAAAGGAGGUGGAGUUCCUAGGGUUGAGAGGGGUGUGGGUUCUUUUGAGAAAAUUAAGUGCAUAUUUUCUAUUGCACCGAUGGGAAAUUUGGAGAAGUCGCGGGAGUGUUUUCUCACUAAGAAACACUCACCGGACGCUGAGUGCGGAGGCACCGGACGUUUGCCUCAGAGUCCGAUGUGCUUAACUCUGCUAGGGUUGAGCACUGGACGCGCUCUGAGAGUGUCUGGUGGUUAGCGUCCGGUGUGAGGGUGUUUUGCAACCCUCCCUGUGUUUAAGUCCGGUGAGCAACGGACGCUCAGGGUGCGUUCGGUGGCUCGCGUCCGGUGACCCUGCGAAUUUGCGGAGCUCUCUGCGCACGGGUCCGGUGUGCACCGGACGCGUCCGGUGGUGCUGUGCAGGCGCGCGUGCACAGUAGCCGUUGGCGGUAACGGUCGAGUUCAAAUGGCUAGUGACACGUGGCUGACGCCUGAGCACCGGACGCUGGUGGUUGAGCGUUCGGUGCCUCCCUGUGAGCGUCCGGUGCCCACGUGUUUUGCCCAGUGAAGGGGCAACGGCUAGUUUAGCCCUUGGGGCUAUAAGUAGAAGUGGUGGCCAGCCUUGGCUUGUGCUGAGCACCCUUGGGACUUAGUUUCCAUGCUUGGGGAGUGCUAGUGAAGCCUCUAACUCACAUAUGCUUGAUAGUGAUCAUCCAAUUGUGUGAGUGAGCGAUUCUAGUGCGUUGCAUUGAGAGAUUGCAUCGAGUGGCACUAGGUGUUCGUGUUGCAAGCCGGUAGUGCUUGUUACUCUUGGAGGUUGCUACCUCCUAGAUGACUUGGUGGCUGGUGACUCCGUCGAAGCACGCAAGGAGAUUGUGUGGUGCUCCAGAGAAGAGAUUGUGAGGGGUACGGUGUUCACUCCGUGGGGAUCGCAAAGAGCAACUCUAGUGGAGCGAGACGUGAAGAGCGACAAGUGGUCAGGCCGGGUCAAGUGCAAGAGCUUGUGGUAAGCACUCCACGUGGGAGAGUGUGACUUGCAGGUCACCACUAGCAAGAGGACCGGCGGCAACCUUGGAGCUUGUCUCAACGGGGACGUAGCUUUGUGGCAACCAAGUGAACCUCAGGAGAAAAUCAUCGUGUCAACAUUGUUCUUCCUGUUGGUUUGCAAAGUCCCUAACACAAGCUUGUUCUUACAUUCAUAUACUUGUGCUUGUGUAGUUGCUCUUGUAAUUAGUUAGCUUGUGUCGCUUGCUAGUUACCUUCUUGCUUGUGUAGCUAGAAGUAGUUCCCUUGCGUGACUAAUUUGGUUUGUGUAACCUUGUUAGUCACAUUGCUUAGUUUGUGUAGCUAAUUAAGUUGCGUUCUCUAAUUGGCAUUAGUUGCCUUGUUAUUGAGCAUUGCUAGUGAGCUUAGCAGCUUUGUGCUUUUUGCUUACUAGUUGUGUAGGAGCUCCCCAGUUUACAAAGUACUAGUUGCAUAGGUUUGUGUGACCUUGCUUCUAGAAUUGAUUAGGUGAGCUCUUGCUAAGGUAGCACCUUGCUUGCUUGUUUAGGAUCUUUUCAAGGUGCUAGAGAACUUAGAUAGAGGGAUAGUCUUGGCUAGACCGAUAGUUUUAAUUCUGCAUUUGUAUCGGUUAGUCGGCGUAGUAAAUUUUAGGAAGGACUAUUCACCCCCCUCUAGUCCGCCAUCUCGACCCUUCAAAGUCAUCUCCACUAUCUAAGUCCUAUCGAUAGACUUUAAAUUCCAUACCCUAGCCAUAAGGUUAGAAUGGUAGUUAUCUAGUUAAAUUAGCAUUCAUUAGUAAUUUUACUUUAAUAUAUUUAUUAGCAUAUUUAUUUCUCUUGGCAUAUUAAUAUGAAAUACAAACAAAAAUAUUUAUUGGUUCAAUUACUGCAUCAUAAAUACUAAAGCCCCAUGUGAAUAAACUUAUGGUAAUCCCUUAGGAAUAUUUACUGUGGUGGCGUAAAUAAUAAUAAUAAUAAUAAAAUAAAAUAAAUAGCAUUCAUAUUUAAUUUUUGCAUCAUAAAUAGAAAAUUCAAAAAGAAGAGAAAUAUGAAAUCUUGCUUAAAUCAGACAACAUGAAAAUUAGCUCAUAAGAAUAAUCAAUUGCUCAUUGGCUAACAGCUAACCCAUAUUUCAAUACGAGCCUCGAGUUUUGGUUUUCUUGUUGGAGUAUGACUAUGCAGGGAUAAUAUCAUAACGAGGAGAGAGUUCAUCAGUGGCACCCACCAUCGCCACUGGCUAGCUCACUCUAAAGGACAUCUACACCAAGUAUUGCAAACAUCUAGCUUGGGAGGAGCAUCCCCUAGUUAUCAGGUAAUUAUACCUAAACGAUUAUCGAGUCUACAUAGUCAUAAAAAUACCAAAAUAUAUGGGCACAUGAAGGUCCACAAGUCAUAGAGUCUUUUUGUGAGUUUAAAAUUAGUUAAAUAUUAGAGUUUAUUUAGAGUCAGUCUAAACUAGAGCUAAAUAAAAAUUGAUGAAUAUUUAAAUUUUGCCUUGGAAAUGAUGAAUAGUUCCUCUAUUCUUUACAAGUGCCUAGAUUCCAACUGUAGAUUUUCUCAAAUUUUAGACAUUACUAUUUUAAUUCAAAGAUUUACUCUAAACCUGCAAUUUGUGGAGGCAUAAGUUCGAGCUAAGUCUAGGUAGUUGGUUGAUAUGGUCAUUGAAAGCUUGAGCUACUAUUUAUCUUAUUCCUAGCAUUACUAAGUUCUGGAGAUUUAUUUUAAAAACCCAAAAUCCUGCAUGAUGAGCUCUACAUGUAUGACAAAGUGUUAAUUCCUACCAAAGCCAUAUAUAAUAUACAUUUAGAGUUAGGAAAACAUUUGCAAAUUUAUGCUGCUUGCUUUGCAUUGAGUUUAGUCAACCUUUGUCAUAUACCUUAUGAAAGCCUUGUCAUGCUUUCUAAAUCAAGGUUACGUACAUACUCCAGUUCAUAUAUGCAUUAUUCCUACACUGGGAGUAAACACCAACAAACACCCCAUAGGAUAACCCUUGUCUUUAAUGUUCUAAGUUCUUGUUAUUACCUCUCUAAUCAUUUAUUCAAAGGAUACAUGUGGCUAAAAGAAGAAAAGGGAGUAAAUGAUGGACAAGUGUCCCAAUAAUUAAAACAAUGGGUACUAGAUGCCCACCUCCAUGUAUAAAAAAGGGAGAGAAUAAUAAAGAUAGCCCAUGUCUUUCCUGAAAAGUUUCAAUAGAGAGUUAUUCCCAAAGAAAUGUAAAUUAGCCACAAAUACCACAAAUACUCCUAUCCACCAUAUUCCAUAGUAUGGCUCGAUUCUCUAUGGAUCCAUUAGUUGAGUUUACACAUACAUGCAUUGCAAGUAUGCUUAUCCUUGUUAUUAGCACUCCUUUAAGCUCCACCAUAUAUAUAUAUAUAUAGCUAUAGGAGGUAUAAAUGCUUCAAGAGAGAACCAUAAAUACCACAUAUAUUGAGAGACUUGAGGGUGUCAUACAAUUAAGCUCUGAGUUUUAUUCUAAAAACUUAUAAAAAACUCCAAAAUAAUGGUUUUGUAAAGAAUUUGAGACAUAUGCUUGACCUGAUUGUUCUAUCUUCUGAUUGCUCAAGACUCAUGCAAAAGCUAUAAAGCCCCAUGGUUAAAGAAAAAUGGGUAAGUUUGAAGACUAGAGCAAGUAUUGACUAAUCCGGAGGAGAAUCUUUGUUUGGGAACAUGUGUACUGGGAAAGAAUGAAAAUAUCAUAGCAACUCUUGAUCCAAAUACAUUUACUGCUUAGGCUCAGUUGCCAAGGGAUUGGCAAAAGGUGAGCUUGGGGAAAUUGUUGAUGGUCGAUAACAUCAACUUUUAUUAUAACUUUAAACCUGAAGGAGAUCAUGACUACACACUAGUAUAGGGUUUAAACAAGCAAUUUCCACGAGUUUUAUAUAUUCUGUAUUUUCCAGGGUAAAUUUUAGGAAAGCUGCAAAAGAGGGACUCUAAUGCAAAUCAAAUAUAGAAACAUAUCCGCCACGAGAAACAGCACGAGGGGGGAGCCAGCGGUUGCUAGGUGGGGCCCUAAUGCAAUCUAUAUUCAUAUUUGUUAUUCUAUAACUACGCCAAUGAAUAACUCUAAUUAGUGCAAUUAUAUCUAGAAAUCAUCAUUAAGUCAACCCUAUAUCAUAAUUACAUGUAAAGAGGCAUCAACUAAUGAGGGUUUUAAGACGCAACCGUCACCUCCUUUGCGAUUUAACCGAGACGUGCGCGCUGUCGGAUCAAACCGAUUUAACCAAGGGCCAAGAUGACUCCUCAAAGGUGGUGGAGGAAGCUUCCGGAAGGGGGGCACCAAACCCUAGAGCAGGGGGUCGGCCUAGCAAUGUAAUUAGAGAUGACAACCUACAUUUGUUAUUCUCUAUCUUUACAGUAGAACAUGUGAAUCUAUAUUAAAUUCCUAGCAAUGUAAUUAGGGAUGACAACCUACAUUUGUGCUUAGGAAUGUUUGAGUGGUUUAUUGCUAUUUGACAAGUUAAUUAAAUACCGUGCAUUUUUGGUGUUGUUACUAGGAGUAGGGUUUAUCUCUAUUUUUAGUGAUGAUAGUGAUGACAGUAGUAAAUGUCAACAACUUCUAAUCUAACUAACUAGAACUAUGAACUAGAAGGCUCUUAAUGAACUUGAAGGCACUUGAUGCUUGAUGUCUUAAGGCCUUGAUGAAUAAUGAAGUGGCUCUCUCUAGGGGGGUCUACCCAUGUAUUUAUAGUCCGGUGGGAUGCGCAUGCGUCGUAGGAUCAAACCGAUUUAAUCAAGGGCCUAGCUGCAUUAGGAGAGGCAGUGGAGGAAGCUUCCAGAAGAGGAGACCAAAACCCUAAGGGGGCACUGGUUGGCGUUAAGGUGGGGCCGACCAGCCUCACCUAGCAGCCGCCAGGCCCCCUGUUGCUUCGGGUGCCUUCUCGAUCCUUCCUGAGAAUUCUCGCGAUGUUUUCUGUGGUGGAUAAGUUUAAUGUUUAUUUUGCACUAGAGUCCCUCUUUUUAACUUUUCUGAAAUUCACCCUAAAAAUACAGAAUAUACAAAACUCAUAGAAAUUGUCGGAUAAAACCCUAGACUAGUGUGUUUUUAUGUUUUCCUUCAAGUAUAAAGUUAUAAUAAAAGUUGAUGUUAUCGACCGUCAACAAUUCCCCCAAGCUUAACUUUUGCCAGUCCCUUGGCAAACCAAGCCUAAGCAGUAUAUGUAUUUGAAUCAAGAGUUGCUACAAUGUUUUCAUUCUUUCCAAGUACACAUGCUCUCAAACAAAGAUUCUCCUCCGGAUUAGUUAAUAACUGCUCUAAUAUGUAAACUUACCCAUUUUACCUUUAACCAUGGGGCUUUAUAGCUUUUGCAUGAGUCUUGAGCAAUCAGAAGACAGAACAAUCAGGUCAAGCACUAUGUCUCAAAUUCUUUGCAGAACCAUUGUUCUAGAGUUUUUAUAAGUUUUCAGAAUAAAACUCAGAGCUUAAUUGUAUGACACCCUCAAGUCUCUUAAUAUAUGUGGUAUUUACGGUUCUCUCUUGAGGCAUUAAUGAUGUUAUGCCUCCUAUAGCUAAAGGUAUAUGUAUGGUAGAACUUAUAGGAGUUCUAAUAACAAGGAUAAGCAUACUUGCAUUGCAUGUAUUGUAAAGUCAACAAUGGAUCCAUAGAGAAUCGAGGCAUACAAUCAAACCAAGGUGUGCAUGUGUAUGGAAUAUGGUGGAUAGGUGUAUUUGUGGUAUUUGUGGCUAAUUUAUAUUUCUUUGGGAAUAGAUCUCUUUUGAAACUUUUUCAGGUAAGACUUGGGCUAUCUCUUCUCUCUUUCUCUUUUUUAAAUUCAGGGAGGCGGGCAUCCAGUACCCAUUGUUUUAUUUAUUGGGACACUUGUCCAUCUUUUACUCCCCUUUCAUCUUUUAUAUUUUUGCAUAGCCACAUGUAUCCUUUUGUUGACACUGUAUUCUAACAUGAAUUAGCAAAGUUAAUGAAGCCUGGAUCGGUAGUGUCGGUGUUUUACCCCCGGGGGGUCACACCAACGAGUAAACUUGUAUACGUGUUCCCUCUCCCAGAUGGUGAUGCGAGAAAGACACAGAGAUUUAUCCUGGUUCAGGCAAGAGAAGGCCCUACGUCUAGCGGGGGGAUGUUUUUCUAUUAUCUCGCACCUAAGUGCUUGUACAGGGGUGAAUACAGGCCAGUGUCGCUGAGAAUGGUGAUGUAUCGGUGGCUGUUCUACGUGUGGUGUUGUUCUUAUACUCUUCCCCAGCCUCCCCUUUUAUAGUUCCAAGAGGAGACCUAGGUUACAUGGUAUAGGUAAUAAAAUAAGGGUCGAUAGGAGCGUGGUGUGCUGACUUACUCGAGACUUUCGUACCGGCGUGGCUUCGAGUCGUCUUGUUUACCGGGUUCUUUGGUGAUGAUUGCGCAUGCUUCUGUAUUCGGCUCUUGUGCGUCGCCUUGGAUUGGUUUAACCGUGGGCACACCUGUACGUCAUGGCAGUAGUCGCGUCCAGAGUGGUUGAGGUGCUGACUUUCGUCACCUGACUCUUCUCUGGGAAGGAACGUACUCGUUCGAGGGUCCGGCACUACGCAGGGCUUUGUUGAGCGGUGCGCUGACUUUGGGUGCUUUGAGGGGUGCCGUGAUGUGACAUCCCGACUGUCUCACCGUUCUUGGCUGUACUCUUGCUCAUCUGGGGGAUAAAGCUGUGAAAAGUGGGAUUGGACGGGUGCUCGCUCCCUAUCACGUUUCCCAUGACUGUCGGGUUAGAUGAGAGCGUGGCAGGCGCAUUAAAUACCCUGACUCCCAUACCCAUGACAGGCGGCGGACGGCGCCCUUGUGCUCGAGGCCUGUUGAUUCGCCCGAGCCACUUCCGUAUUCGACGGUUGCCGUUUAGUCGACCCUCCAUUGAUUCGCACGACCCUAUUUCCGUGUUCAAGGCUAUGGUUAGCGUCGAGCUUUGGUGAUCGUGCGUAUAAGCGGGGGCGUCGAGUUAGGGCCUCGACUUAUGUACAGAUCUCUUCAUUAUGAGCAUUAGUUGGGAUACCCCUUAUUGACACCCUCGACAGUAGCCCCCGAGCCUCUGCUCGAGUGCUUGCACUCGAGUGGAGGUUCUUCCGUUGGUCGGGUUUUCGCGGGGUCGCGCGAGCGACCCCCGCGGGGGUAGCCCCCGAGCCCUUGGAGGAGUCUUUAACUCCCUUGAGGGCUAUAUGGCUUUUUCUAAUGGAAUUGUUCUCGCCCUCCCCUUUCUCCAAAAGUCAUUUGUUGUGGAAGAGGGGUCUCGAGCCUUAGCCGGUCGUUUCUGCCUUUUCGAGGCUGGGGUCGUGACGUACUCCUGAGGAGCGAUCGUCACUUAUCCCUGGAUGAGUCCCUAUCGAGUAAUCAAAGUGAGAAUCUGUGCCAAGUUCAAGGGGGUUAGCUGCAGCCCGGAGGCAUUCUCAUAAAAGCGGGGCUAGCGCGGUCGGGGUUACUGGCCUCGUUUGAUAGAGUGCAGUGGCUCGUUGCCUCCCUCCAUGGGGAUUCCUCUCGACCUUCUUGCCCCUGCCUUGGAUAUCCCCAGCGAGUCUUUUGAGGCAGGCCUCGUUUUCGACCCUUCGCCGGGCACCCCUGACUCUGGUACUCGAGGGCGACCGUCGAACCCAUCCGGUGGGCCAGUCUGCGAUCCCUCGAGAUUGCUAUUGCGGUGCGCGCGUACCUUACCUUACAAGAGAAGGAAAAGCCGUGGCGGUUCACUUUCUUGCCCGUUGGGCGCACCCUUUUAGGCGGGAGCUGUUGCAGCAUUUGCGCCGUUGUGGAAGUCGUAGCGCCCUGUCAGUGAGAGUAACAGGACCGUUAGGCGGCGCAUUUACUAGGGAGGUUACCAUAUUCACCGGAUCUGCCCAUUUGGGGUUGGAUGUCUAUAAAUAUCGUUGGGUCCCUCAGCCGCUACUCCUUCCGCCUUCCGCCAUUGUUCCUGCCCUUGCUCUUCUUUGUCAUCCUACGCGCGCGCGUCCUCGAGCACUUAGCAGCGGAGCCGACUUUCUUCUUCCGUCAAGAUGCCGGUGAGGUUCAUCACUGUCGAUGACUGGCGCCCAUCGUCGAUGACAGAGCGCCGCCUACUGGACCUCGAGAAGGAGGGACUUCUGCGCCCCCGCAUUUCCUCAUCGUGGCUGGAGUGGAUCGCACCGGCGGCAGACCACCGGGAGCCGAGGCCGCCUAUGGGGUAUGUGGUCUCCUUCGCCAAAUUUCAUCGUCACGACCUCGGUUAUCCCCAAGCCGCUUCAUGCGGGCGCUCUGCCACCACUAUGGUGUGGAGCUCUAGCAUUUUUCGCCUAACGCCAUCACCACCGCGGCGAUUUUUGCCGAGGUGUGUGAAGGCUACCAGGGGAUGAUGCCGCAAUGGGAUCUUUGGCUCCAUCUAUACCAGGGCAAACUCUUUCACACCCCUGGUGGAGCCACAGGGGUGAGGAAGCCAGUGCAAGCCGGAUGCCUUAACCUGGUGCAGAAGACAGGCAAGGCGGAGGAGCCUCGGGAGUACAUCCUAGUUGGGCUGACGUCGAACCACGCCCAAUGGGACUCCCAGUGGUUCUAUCUUCGAAACGACGACGACCUCUUCCACGACUACACCGGGAGUUUGAUCUCGGAGCGUCUGGACAACUAGAAUUAUGGCAUCAUCAAGACCCUUCAGUCGCGGCUCCGCCCCAUCCUCGACGCCCUGAAGAAGCUACGUGAGGAAGGUCUGACCGCCGCGUUCGUCCUCUCGGCUGUCCACCAUCGACGGGUACUCCUGUUGAUGUCUCGACCGCUGAGAAUGGAUGAGAUGAGUCCCGGCGUCUCGUCUCGCGACCUCGAGGCAUGCCGGAUGUCCAAUGAGGCGCCUGCGGAUGAGGAGGUCACCGCCAGGGUCAGGGCAGCCGUCGCCGGCGAUUUUCAGCCUGAGCACGUCAACGGCUUCCCCAUGAAGCCUGACGAGGGCUCGAUCAACCUGGUAAGCUCUUCCUAUUGCCGUUACUCAAUUUUUGAUCUUUCCGAUCCUCCCUAGGACUCAUGCCUGCUUGCACAGGGACCGAUCGACGCUCGGUCCUCGAAGCCUCCGGUAAAGGAGGACGACGUCGACCGUGAGAGGUGGCGCAAAUCCGCAGAGAAGCAAAAGUCCACAAAGGACUUGGAAAAGAAAAAAGAGAAGAAAAAGAACCUCGAGUGACAAGCGCUCGAGAAACGCCAUGCGAAAUCGAGGCAGAAGGGGGAGUCCGAGGAAGAUUCCCCUGACGAGGACGAUGGAAACGAGGGCGACGAUGAUAGCGACGACUCCGAGGGGAUGGCAGCUCGUCUUGACAGGAUCCUCGAGGGCCCGCCACAAGCCGACGUCGACGUACCACGGACGGGGGCUCCUAAGAGGGCAUCGGGUGAUCCCCGCGACGGUCAGCAAAAGGAGUCCUCGCCACGCUGUUCUCGUGCCGACACCCUUCCUGCACCAGCACAGGGCCGGGCCGUUCCUCAGCCGCAACCUCCUCCCGCGUCUGGGGUGGGCCACCAGGUCAAGACUAUGGCGACGGGGCCAUUGACCCAUGGCCGCGCCGCCGUGGCGGCCUCAAGUCAGAAGGAAGGAGGUCGUGGGAGCUCUAGCCCCGGUGCUCGCCGGGCGGGAGAUGUGGAGCCGAGGCCCGUGCCUGCCCAGGAAAAGCCCGGGGUAUCGACGCGGGGCGGCUCGAGGCCAGUUGGUCGAGGGACUGGCAGGCGGGUUGUUCUUCUCGUGGGGUAAGAUUUUUACAUUGGGACUUUUGCUUUCCGAUGUCUUGCACCCCGUUUGGUCUAUGCUUCUCUUAGGCUAUUCCCCAUUUUCUUAGGUUGAAGCGACCGUUCGAACAGGCCCAAUGUUGGGUAUUCUUGACAUCACUACCACAAGUAGACUUAGUUUUCUAAUUCUGAUAACGGUGCCAAAAAUGCGAAACCUAUCUCUCAUACCACUUAAGCCAAGUUGUCAUCCCUAGCAUGACAUGAGAGACGCGGUAUUGAAAUAUGCAAUUGCUCAUCUAAAUAAAUAAUGAAUGGGAUCUGCAAGCGCACAGAUUAAUACCGAUGUAGCAUUUUAACCGGGAAGUAUUCCAAGUAUCGUUAUUUAUAUUUUUACCACUAGGAAGGGAUUAGUAAUCAUCAAUGUUGAUUAUAGAAUAGAAUAUAAGAUUGAGCAUCUAUCAUUGCAUGUAUAAUUGAGAACAUUUACCUAACUCUUUCAUAUAGGGUUAAGUGUCACAUAAAGGAUAUAUAAAGUAAUGAAUAGUGACAAAGAUAAUUAAUUUGAUCAGCAUAACUUAGCCACAUAUAAAUAUAAUAAGCACCUCAAUUAGAUAUUCAAGCAAGUCAUUAGCAUGGAAUUAGAACGAACUACAAGAAUAUUUCCUAAAUUAUUCUUAACUAUAGAGUCUAGCAUAUCAUGGAUAGUGCAAUUAUACUUAGCAAUCAUUGUGAGACAAGAUUACGCCCAUGCAUAGUGAUAUUAUCAAGGUAAAUGAGAAACAUAGCAAUAACUUCCCUGUAAUAAUAUUGCUCUGCCAGCCCUAUACUUGAGAGGGGGACUAUAUAAGAAUCAAUGAAGCUGUCACUAUCACGAACUACCCCGCGAUCUGGCAUAUAGGGUACAAUCGCAGAUAAAUACGGUAUAAGCACCACGCCUACACAAUAUCUAUCAUUUACCCAUGGAUCCGAUGGAUAAAUGCUAUACGAUGCUGAACAUGUAUAAUUUCAUUAUUUAUUUAGAUGAGCAAUUGCAUAUUUCAAUACCGCGUCUCUCAUGUCAUGCUGGGGAUGACAACUUGGCUUAAGUGGUAUGAGGGAUUGGUUUGGCAUUUUUGGCACCGUUAUCAGAAUUAGAAAAUUAAGUCUACAUUUGGUAAUGAUGUUAAGAAUACCCAACAAGCAUUUUUGGCGCCGUUGCCGGGGAAGGUUGAUUACUAAUCAGGAAUGGAUAUACAUUUUCGAGUCAUCAUUCGCAUCACUAAUAUGAUUGAGCUUAUCAAUUCUCUCAUACAGUUUUACCCCAAUAUUUCUCUAUUUCAUCUUAUGCAACGGAAUGUAUGAAUAGAAGACAUCUUCCACGAAAUUUUGUUGACAAUCCCGAAGUGUUAUUUAGAAAACAAGAGCCAAGCUCAAGAAGAGAUCAUCAACACUUCAGCAAGAAGCUUCAUCCAAUCAAGAAGAUCACCGGAACUUGUGUUCAGAGUUCGAAGCCAUGGCGAACAAAUCGAUCCGUGAGUUCUCAGCUCCCACUACGGACAACAUCCGCACUGGACCUGCUGCAGAGAUCGAUGGCAACUUUGAGCUCAAGCCUGGACUUAUCAACAUGGUGCAAUCCAAUCAGUUCUGUGGGAAGGUACACGAAGAUGCUAGUGCACAUCUCCAACACUUCCUGGAGAUUUGCAACACAUUCACCAUGUCAGGAGUCCCUAGAGAUGCUAUACUACUUCGCCUCUUCCCGUUCUCACUGUUAGGAAGAGCGAAGCAGUUGUUCUAUGCUACAAAGGAAAAGAAUACUACGUGGGCACUCUGCUCCAUGAACUUUCUGGCUAAGUUCUUUCCCAUGGGCAAGACUAAUGCUCUCCGUGGGAAAAUUACAAGUUUUCAGCAACAACAUGACGAAUCCGUUCCAGAAGCAUGGGAGCGCUUCCAAGACUACAUCCUAGAAUGUCCCCAUCAUGGAAUGGAGAGCUGGCUACUAAUGCAGACGUUUUAUCAUGGGCUCGGCAACAGUGCUCGAGAGACCAUGGAUGCUGCAGCUGGAGGAGCAUUCCUAUCACUUACCAUAUCACAAGCCACAACUCUUGUUGAGAAGAUGGUGUCCAACCAAAGCUGGAAUGAAGAGAGGACCUAGACAUGCAAGAAAGGUGGACGUAUGCAUCAGCUCAAGGAGGUAGACAUGCUGUCUGCAAAGCUAGACCUGCUCAUGAAGAAGCUCGAUGAUAGAGCUGGAGAUAAGAAAGAAGUUAUGCACAUCCUCACAUGACUUGUGAGGAAUGUGGAGAUACUGGACACUCAGGCAAUCACUGCCCUGAGAUGCUUGAGGAUGUGAACUACAUCAACAAUAACAACAACUACUACUACAACCGUCCUCAACAAAAUCAAGGUUGGAAUCAACAGAGGCCUAACUACUCAGGUAAUUAUCAAGGUAACAAUUCUUAUAACAAUAAUAAUAAUUUUCCACCUCUGAGAGAGUUAGUGUCUAAUCAAGGAAAGCUAUUGGAUAAUCUAUCAAAGAAAUUGGCAUCUAAUGAUAAAAUGCUAGAAAAUAUAAAUAAUAGAAUGGAUAAUUUCUCUACUGCCAUCAAGAAUCAAAUUAGCUUUAAUAAAAUGAUUGAAUCUCAGUUAAAUCAAAUAGCUGCUGCUGUUCCUGCUACUAACCCCGGUAUACUAUCACAAUUGGAAGGAUUAGAAUCUACAAAUCUUGUAGACAUUUUUGAUGCAGGUAACUGGAGUAACCCCAUCAUUGAAGUUACUACUGACCUUCUGCCAGUCAAGAGAGGCGAUCUAGGAUGCCCCGUCAUCCCGAUCUCCAUCGGCAUGGUGGACUUCCCAGAAGCACUCUGCGACUUUGGCUCUAGCGUCAACAUUAUGCCCAGAGUACUCUAUGAAAAAUUCUUUACAUAUCCUUUACUAGAAACAACCAUGUGUUUGCAGUUUGCAGAUCAGGCGUUAAGUUUUCCAAAAGGAAUAUUGAAGAACCUUUGUGUCCGAGUUGGUACCUUGUAUGCCCCAGCAGACUUCGUGGUGAUAGAGACCGGUAAUGAUGAGAGGGCACCCAUCAUCUUAGGGAGGCCAUUCUUAAACACCUCGGGAGCUGUCAUCUACGCUAGUGCUGCCAAGAUCAGUUUCUACAUUAAAGGGAGGAAGGAGACAUUUUCCUUCAAGAACAAGACUACACAAAUCCCAGAUCAAUCUUGACAUGAACCAAGGAAGAGGACCAACAGGAGGAAUAGGAACAAGCAAGUGUGGAUCGAGUCAGCUAAGAUGGUCACUGCAGUUCGUGGAGGUCAAGAUCAUAGACUUAAGUCACCGUUUCUGACCAAGAAGGAUGACCCAGGAAUGCCAAGCAUCUAUUGCUCCAUAAAUGGAUACAACUUCUACAAGACGACUUGCGACACCGGAUCGGGCAUCAACAUAAUGGCCGCAGUCACCUAUCGGCUCUUGUUCGGAACCAUGCCCCUAAAACCAACAAACAUUCAACUCCAGAUGGCAGAUCAGACGUUUCGAGAAGUUAGAGGAAUAGUAACUGAUGUCCCUAUCAAAAUAGACGAUCACUUUAUCUACACAGACUUUCAGGUUAUCGACAUGGGAGAAGACGAAUACGAUCCACCCAUCAUCCUUGGAAAACCGUUCCUCAGCACCAUUAAAGCAAUCAUCUACAUUGGAACUGGAGAAGUCCAUAAGCACUUCCCCUCAGAGAAGUUACGCCGCUAUUUUACUGACCCUAACUAUAUCGUUGUGUUGACACCAUUUUUGGACAUGUACCCAGAGAUCAGUGGAGUAUAGAUCGGCAGGUGGAGCAACGGUAACUAUCUGCAGGGGAGUUGCCGAUGAAGGCAUUUACCGAUGAAGAGACAGCUAAAUGUGACUAAGUCUAGAAGUAAUAACGCGUUCGUGCCGAUGGUCAGCGUUAGUCUUUGCCGAUGGCUAUGAUGAGAAGUCUGCCGAUGACUCGGAAGGAGAACGUGAAGGUUGCCGAUUGAUCUAUGGCGGUGUCCCAGUUUGUCACAGGAGGAUAUUUUUAUGUUUUUCAUAGAUAUUUAAAUUCAUUUUGUAUACGGAUUCCGUUUAAUUUGGAAUUCGAGUCCUAGUCAUGUCUGAUUGUAGCUCUUUGAGCAGGGUAUAAAUGUAGACCCUAGGGCCUUGUAAUCAAUCGAUCAAUCAAUCAAACACAAGUUUUUACUCAUAUUCCAGCAAUCUACCUUUCGACGACUUCGUCAUAUUUUCUCUUUUUACUACGAGUUCUUAAGGAUUCAUCGACUUAAGCUCGGCGUGUUCUCAAGUUCCGCGUGAUCACCUCUUGGCCGUGACAUCCGGGCGCAUCGCUGUUGUCGGAAACAAAGUGGUCGAGUUAUCACCUUUGCCGAUAGUAAGGUCAAAUCGGUUGGCACGCCUUAACGUUUGAAUCGGGUAUUAGCCCUUUGUGUUUGCAGAUCAACUUUUGCAUCAACACAUCUUCUGGCACGCCUGGUGGGACCUAAUCAAGAUCAAGAUCAACAUGUCGACUACCGAGUUCGACUUGGAGAACGUCAUCCCCGUGACGGAAGCCAAUCUCAGAGAUGAGCAGAAGCAAGCUAUUGCAAAAGCCAUGGAGGACUACAAGCAGCAAUGUUUGAAGUCUUUUAGCAUCAACAGGAGUGGCGAGGUGAUCCAGAAAGAGGCACUGCCGGCACCUCGGCAGGUCACUUUUGAAGCCAACCCUGGUAAACUUGAAGACAUGGUUGAUAGUGUUGUUAACCGUGCCUUGAUCAAUCAAGUUGGUGUGUUGUCCAAUACGGUUUUCAAUGCCGUGGUUAGAACUUUCAAAGAAGGACAAUUGCCACCAAAUUAUGUGGGCCCUUCUCAUCAUCAGCCAACGGCACCAGAGGUCACGGCUCCAUCGGCUGCCUUGACGAAUGCAAGUGCACAGAAACUACUGUUCCUCCAAGCACGUUAGGAGUCACUAACACGCAAUCUACGCCGAUGACGACCAAUCCAUCGACUUCAGAUGAGUAGAUCAAGCUUGCUAUAGAUCUAUUGGCAUCGGCGAUGUCGGGAUCAGUCCCUCCUCCUAACUGGUGGGGUUAUGGUAUGCCCCCAGAGUUGACGUUGAAGACACCAGGCAUAUCUCAGACAACCGAUGUGAGAGCCAAGGCUCCUAUGGCAUCGGCACCUCCAAAUAUGCCGAUGAAUCAGAGUCCCCAGUAUACUACAACUACUACUACUGCAAGACCUUACACUGGGAAUUCUCAAGCUCCAACAUUCCAGAUGCCUAUUGCAUCGGCAGAUUCAAUGUCGACACAACAGAGGUUUAUGACUCAGCCAGGGUAUGUCAAUUCAAUGAUGAUGCCCAAUUACCAGUCAUCGGCAGGACCUAUGCCGAUGAAUACUAAUAGUGGUUGGCCUGGGCAGCAGGUCUUUCCACAGAUGCCUUAACAGAAUCAUCAGGCUACAGGGUUUCAACAAGGCCAGAUCUACCCCGGGUUCCAGAAUCAAGGGUUGCCCAACCAGCCGAUGAAUCAUGGUCAAUAGUUUGGUGGUCAGACAAUCAACCCCAUGUUCCAUGCAGAUCGUGCGCCGCAGCGACACAUGGAAGUUUAUCAGCAGGUGCCAGAUCCGCAACCACCUCAUCGGCAUGAUGCCGAUGCUUAUUGGGCCGAUAAGAUUGCUGAAGUAAUGAGAGACCAAUUUGGGAUAAAACCCAAAGUCAACACUUACUCUUAUCGGACACCGUAUCCUCCUGCAUACGACUUGAUUCCACUUCCAAAUCGAUACAAGGUACCAGAUUUCACUAAGUUUUCUAGACAGGAUGAUACAUCGACCAUGGAGCAUGUCAACAGGUUCAUCAUUCAGUGUGGAGAAGCUGCAAACAGGGAUGAAUUGAGGGUUCGAUUAUUUUCAUCAUCCUUGUCUGGAUCGGCUUUCACCUGGUUUACAUCAUUGCCUCCUAACUCAGUGAUUACUUGGGCCAAUCUAGAGAAACAAUUCCACAAGUAUUUCUUUUCUGGAGUCCAUGAGAAGAAAAUCACCGAUUUGGUCAAACUGAAGCAACGCAAUGAUGAAUCGGUUGAAAGCUUUGGGCAGAGUCUGUGAGAGGUCAAGAACAAAUGCUAUAGUCUGGUUUUGGACGAUCGGCAGCUGGCCGAUUUAGCUUUCCAAGGUUUGUUGCCGCAUGUCAGGGACAAGUAUGCCUCUCAGGAGUUUGAAAGCUUAAGUCAUUUGGUGCAGAGAAUUUCUGAUCAGGAUAUCAGGCCUUUUGAGCCCAAGAGAGCAUGGAACAAAAAGGUGUCAUUUGUUGAUGAAGCAACAAGCUCGGAUUCUGAUGAGGAGCCAGUCAUCGGCUUGGCAGAAUGGGUAAAGAAUAAUAAGCCGAUGUCUUGCCCUUUCGGGCAUAAAGAGCCAGAGAAGUUCACAUUUGAUAUCACUAAAGCUGAUAGGAUAUUUGACUUUCUACUUCAGGAAGGGCAAAUCAAGUUAUCACCCAAUCAUGUGAUCCCAUCGGCUGAAGAGUUGAAGAAGAUGAAAUAUUGCAAGUGGCACAACGCAACUUCUCACAGCACCAAUGAGUGCAAAGUUUUUAGACAACAGCUGCAGUCGGCUAUAGAAUCUGGGAGAAUCAAAUUUGAUAGUUCCAAAGCCCAGAAGCCGAUGAAGAUCGAUCAACAUCCUUUCCCAACAAAUAUGUUGGAUGCUAAGGGAAAAACCAAGGUCUUGACAUCGGAAGCAGCUGAGAAGAGUGCAUCGGUAGAUCCCCAGCAUCAAAUUACUGUUGCCGAUGCCAAAGGAAAAGGCUUAAUCUAAGAGGGAACUAACUCAGGAAGGCCUCCCCGAUCCGGUAUUGUGAUAACUCAUAGAAGGCCUUGGAAAACUUGGCAGCAGCGUGAGGAUCGGUAUCGGUGCCAGCAAGAGGAUUAUCGUCGGGAAGAAGAAAGACGCCGUCAAGAGUGGAAUCGGCACAAGGAUCAUUGGAAUUGCCUGUUCUUUAUCCAUUGCUGGGAGCAAAACAUCAAGUUGCCCACUGUUAGAGAUUGCCCUGAAUGCAAUGGUUAUGAUCGGUAUGACAGAUCCGAUCGGCGCUAUCACGGUGACGAUCGACGAUUUAAUGUGCCGAUUAGGGGGGAGCCUCCAUUCAUGAUCGGCUGGGGGCAGACUCAGUGUGCAUGAUAGGCUUGGUGAUCGUGUUGAAUAUUUUCCUAGGAAUCAGGAAGAGCUUGAGGAGAUGGCUAAUGCACGAGUUCCCGAUGAGUUCAUAUUUUGCUGGGACGCCAAUACACAUCGGAUGGAGUCAAGGGAAUAUCGUCGUCCAUCGGCAAGGUAGUCACCACUUCCCCCAUGGUGUCUAGAGGGGUUGACUAAGACACAGAAGAGGAGACUGCAGCGUGAGAGACGAGAAGAGCUAAGCAAGAGCGAAAACUCUGGACAGUUUGGUCAGCAACAGCUGGAUCCAAAGGGAAAGAGACCAUCGGCAGACGUCAACAUGGUAUUCAUGUUGCCGAUGGAGUUCCUUGCGCCAACUAGUGAUGACGAAGAGUUGGAGUUUUCCAACCAAAAAGCUCAGUUGGCUCUGGAUCCGAUGACAGCUAUCUUCGAAAAGCCUGCCGACAAUGAAAGGCAGCAUCUUAAAGCCCUGUUUGUCAAAGGAAGAGUGGAUGGUCAGCCGAUGACCAAGAUUUUAGUUGAUGGUGGAGCUGCUAUCAACAUCAUGCCAUAUGCAGUCUAUCGGAAGCUUGGAAAGGGAGAUCAAGAUCUAACCAAGACCGAUAUGAUGCUAAAAGACUUUGAGGGAAAUAUAUCUCCAGUUAAGGGAGCAAUCUGUGUCGAGUUGACCAUCGGCAACAAGACCUUGCCAACAACUUUCUUUGUGAUCAGUGGAAAAGGGGCUUAUAAUUUGCUGCUAGGGAGAGACUGGAUUCAUGCUAAUUGUUGCAUUCCGUCAACCAUGCACCAAUGCUUAGUCCAGUGGGUAGGUGACAAGAUUGAGAUUGCCCCGGGAGAUUCUUCCUAUGUUAUUGCAUCGGCAGAGGCGGACACUUAUGAAAGGACUAGGUGCAUCUCGGGAGAGAUUUGGGAAAAAGAUUUCCUCAAAGUUGCCUAUUAUGAAAUUCCACCGAUCCAAGCAGUCGGUUGUGAUGAGGAAUUUUAAUGGAUAGAUUCGCCGAUGAUGGAAAAUUAGGCCAGGGAUUCACAUUGGCCGAUGAUUUAGUAGAAGUAGAUAUAGGUAGUGGUGAUAAACCUAGACCUACUUUUAUUAGUGCUAAGUUAAAUUCUGAGUGUAAGCAGCAGUUAACCGAUUUGUUAAAGGAAUAUAAAGAUUGUUUUGCUUGGGAUUAUACUGAGAUGCCUGGUUCGGACCGAUCAAUUGUUGAACAUCGGUUACCCAUCAAGUCUGGAUUUUGGCCACAUCAGCAGCGAGCUCGCCGAUGUAAUCCUAAUAUCCUUCCUGAUAUCAAGACCGAAAUAACCAAGCUUAUCGAAGCUAAAUUUAUUCGGCAAUGUCGGUAUGCCGAAUGGAUUUCCAAUGUUGUUCCAGUAUACAAGAAAAAUGGGAAGCUUCGGGUUUGCAUUGAUUUUAGGAAUCUUAAUAAAGCUACACCGAUGGAUGGCUACCCCAUGCCGGUUGCCGAUCUAUUAGUUGAUGCUGCGGCUGGACAUCGGAUUAUCAGCUUUAUGGAUGGCAAUGUAGGAUACAAUCAAAUAUUCAUGGCUGAAGAAGAUAUUCCAAAGACUACAUUUAGAUGUCCUGGUCAUGUUGGAUUGUUUGAAUGGAUAGUCAUGACCUUUGGCUUGAAAAAUGCUGGUGCUACUUAUCAAAGAGCUAUGAAUUUUAUUUUUCAUGAGUUCAUCGGCAAGCUGGUGGAAAUUUAUAUUGAUGAUGUAGUGGUUAAGUCUGGAGAUUUCAUAAAACAUCUUGCCGAUUUGCGAAAGGUGUUGGAAUGCACAAGGAAGUAUGGUUUGAAGAUGAACCCUAACAAGUGUGCAUUUGGUGUAUCGGCAGGACAAUUCCUUGGUUUCAUGGUGCAUCAAAGGGGGAUUGAAAUUAGUAGGAGAUCCAUCGAUGCUAUUAUUAAGAUAGUUGCUCCUACCAAUAAAACUGAGCUCCAGUCCUUGAUCGGCAAGGUAAAUUUUAUCAGGAGGUUCAUAUCCAACUUGUCUGUUAAAAUUUGUGCUUUCAGUCCUUUACUUAAGUUGAAAGCCGAUCAAGAAUUUAUAUGGGGAAAAGAGCAACGAUUGGCUUUAGAUGAAAUAAAAAAUUACUUGAUAAAUCCUCCAGUUCUGACUCUACCUAAGCAAGGAAAGCCCUUCAGAUUAUAUUUAUCUACCGAUGGGAUGGUCAUCGGCUCGGCUUUGAUUCAAGAAUUUGAAGGGAAAGAGCGUGUGAUUUACUAUUUAAGCAGGAGAUUAGUUGAUGCUGAAACCAAGUAUUCGGCUAUUGAAAAGUUGUGUUUAUGCCUAUAUUUCUCAUGUAUUAAAUUACGGCACUAUUUACUAUCGGCCGAAUGCACUAUUAUAUGCAAAGAUGAUGUGGUCUGGUAUAUGCUAUCUAUGCCGAUCAUGAGUGGCAGGAUCGGUAAAUGGAUUUUGGCACUGUCGGAAUUCGAUCUACGUUAUGAAUCGGCUAAAGCGGUUAAAGGACAGAUUAUGGCUGAUUUUGUAACUCAACAUUGCAGUGCAGUGGAGACUUUGAAAAUUGUUCCUUAGACGCUCUUCUUUGAUGGAUCCACGUGUGAUCGAGGGGCAGGAAUCGGCAUAGUGUUAAUUUCCCCUCGAGGAAGAAGAUAUGAGUUCUUCUUGCCGAUUGUUGCCACGUCAACGAAUAAUCAAGCUGAGUAUCAAGCUUUGAUAAAGGGGUUAGAAUUAUUAAAGGAGGUUCACGCUGAUGCUAUUGAAAUCUUUGGGGAUUCUAUGCUGGUUAUAAAUCAAUUGGCUGGGAGCUACGAAUGCCGAAGUGAAGUCUUGAUAGCUUACUAUGAAAGAAGCAUGCACCUGUUAAGGGAAUUUAAGGCUUUCCAGUUAGAACAUAUUCCUCGAUUGCAUAAUGAAGAGGCCAAUCGGUUGGCUCAGCAUGCCUCGGGAUACCAACCCAUAUUAAACAUAAUAUCGGCAAUCAGUGCCGAUGAUUGGAGAAACGAAAUCGUUGAUUAUUUAAAGGAUCCAUCUAAGAAAGUUGAGAGACGUGUACGGUUUCAAGCCCCCAAGUAUGUGCUUCUCGAAGAUGAAUUAUAUUACCGAACAAUUGAUGGGAUUCUUCUGAAAUGCUUAGGUGAUGAUAAAGCUAAAAGUUUGAUGGGGGAGAUCCAUGAGGGAGUGUGUGGAGCACAUCAGUCGGCAUUUAAGAUGAAAUGGAUGAUCAGAAGAAAUGGGUAUUAUUGGCAGACUAUACUUGAGGAUUGUUUUAAGUAUUUCAAAGGUUGUCAAGGAUGUCAGAAGUUUGGCAAUGUUCAAAGGGCACCCGCAUCGGCCAUGAAUCCCAUUAUUAAACCUUGGCCAUUCCGAGGAUGGGCUAUUGACUUGAUCGGCCAGAUUUAUCCACCGUCAAGCAAAAGACAUAAGUUCAUCUUGGUUGCCACCGAUUAUUUCACUAAGUGGGUUGAAGCUAUUCCUUUGAAGAAAGUCACAUCGGCCAAUAUGAUUGAUUUUGUUAAAGAACAUAUUAUUUACCGAUUUGGAAUCCCUCAAACAAUUACUACCGAUCAGGGUACUAUGUUUACAUCAGGGGAGUUUAAUGAGUUUGCAAUCGGUAUGGGAAUUAAAGUAUUAAAUUCUUCUCCUUAUUAUGCUCAAGCUAAUGGGCAGGCCAAGGCAUCUAACAAAGGGAUUAUCAAGCUUAUUAAACGGAAGAUUGAAGAAAAUCCUAGGAGGUGGCAUACGUUGUUAAAUGAAGCCUUACGGUCGUAUCGGAUGGCUUGUCAUGGGUCGACCAAAGUUUCACCUUAUCAGUUGGUGUAUGGACAUGAUGCAGUGUUACCUUGGGAAAUUAAGACUGGGUCUAGGCGAUUAUCUUUUCAAGAUCAAUUGGCUGCCGAUGAUUAUGCUACUUUGAUGACAGACGAGUUGGAUGAUCUAGCAGGGCAUCGACUAAGAGCUUUGAUGAGUAUAGAAGAGAAUAAGAAGAGAGUUGCCAGAUGGUAUGAUAAGAAGGUAAAAGCUAAGGAGUUUGCCGAUGGAGAUUUAGUAUGGAAGCUAGUCUUACCGAUCGGGACUAAAAGUUCAAAAUUUGGGAAGUGGUCUCCCAAUUGGGAGGGUCCCUAUCGGAUAAAUCGAUCUGCUCCUGGCAACGCCUAUAUCUUAGAAACUCUCGAAGGAGUUGAAUUUCCCAGAGCAUUAAAUGGCAAAUAUCUAAAGAAAUAUUACCCGAGCAUAUGGGUCGAUGCAUGAAAGUUUAAGUGCCGAUAACAUUCCUAUCGGCUGGGUUAAACUGUAUCUAGGGCCGGACUUAAUGUUUAAAAGGGGCCGAUAACAGUCCUAUCGGCUAGACCAAAAUAUUGGGAGUGUUUAAAAGAAAAGAGCAAAUGUGCCGCCAAUGAAGAAUUCACAUGUUUAACAAAGCCUGGAUCGUCGAUAUGGCACGCAGACAGAUCUGGUUGGCUUCUUCUAUCUCCUUCAUGUCGUCAUCGGCAGAGCCCUCCACUGGCUUCAGCUUCUUCUUCAUCUGCAGUGCUUUGCGGGCUUGGACAUUCGCUCUUGUUCAAGGAGCUUGAUCGCCUUAGGUAGCUGGCUUUCUUCUUGUUGAGCUUAGGACAAAGCUUCUUCUACCUGUUUGAGCUCUGCCAACAGAGCAUCCCUCUUCGCUGAUAGAUCAGAGAUCUUUUAUUUUAGCACAUCUCUUGAGGACUCCAGAGUGCCGAUGCUCUUAUGCUUCUCAUCGGCAAGGAGCUUCACUUUCGUCAUCUCCUUCGAGAGCUGAGCGUGAGUAGCUCUAUCGGCAAGGCGCUGCACGGCCUUUUGGUAUUGAAGCUGCCGACUUUCUAAGUGAGCAGCCUUGAAAAGGAUCUCCUCGGCAUCGGCAGGAAUUUGGCCUCUGAGGGUCUUGAACAAGGCCUUGGCCGGAUCAAAGUCGUCAAUCAACUGGGCCGUGUCUUGAUGAAGGAGGGCCCAUAAUUCUUCUAAUUUUGCUCUGAUUUUUGCCGACGAGAUUCCGACAGCUCGAGAAGAACUUGCCUCCUCACCUUCAUGCUCAGAGAUCUCGAUGGCGAAGGAGAACAAGCUGUCGGGAGAAUCCUGUUUCUGAAAAGGAAAAUAAAAUAAGUUGUUCUAUGAUCAAACACUGAUAAACAAUACAGAUAGAGAUUGGGUAACUUACUUGUUUCAGGGCUAUCUCUCGCCUCUGACUAGAUGAUGCCGAUGGAACCAUGGGCUGAUCGGCUGGAAUCGCCGAUGAAACUAUGUCAGCUGAAAGAUUAACAGAAGUGAUUAGUAAAGUGGAAAUAUAGGUUCAUCGGCAAUAAAUGGAAAAUAUAUUACCUUGAGGGGAUGCAGUACUCGUCUGGACCGAGGAGACUACCGAUGCUAUGAUUAGACUUGCUGGAUCGGUGGUCUGCUCGUGUACAACAGCCGACAUUUCUUCUGGCUGAGGUUCUUUUUGCUGGAGUUCUUCCGCUUGGGGUUCUUCCUGUGGCUGAGGAGGAGGUGGCGUCUGCUGUGUCUGGACUUCUGGAGAAGAAGGGGAUGAUUCUACCGGAAUCGGAGAUACUGGGGGAGGAGAGGGCGUUGCUGUUUUUUGGCACUUUGCAUGUAAUCUGGUACUCUUGGAGCCUUUUCUCUUUGGUUAACUGGACUGGGGGGGCAUCGGCAGUCGUGCUUCUAGUCUUUGCCGAUGUACCGGUGUGCUGAUACAAUAAUAAGAAGUUUGUAAGUACAAGUGUGAUAGGUGUAAAAAUAAAAUCGGUAUGAAUAAAAGAAUUCGAAAAUUUUACCUUGAAGGCUUGUGCUAAGGUAGAGGCAGCUACCAAUGGGGAUGUCCUCGUUCGCCUGGUGGUGACCUUCUUGAGGCGAACACCCCGAUGCAUUAUGGCAGCCAAGGUUGGGGCAUUGUUACCGAUCAAAGAGAUCGGGCCCGAUGGAAGGAGCUCAAUCGGCUUACCACUCCUGCUGACCAAUGACGGUGUGUCAUCGACCUGUAUAUUACAAAUAAAGUGAGUUACCGAUUGGAAAUGAUAGCGACGGAAUUGAAGCAUCGGUAUUAAAGUACUUACAGUGUUAUCAGGGACUUUGUACUGGGGGUCGAUCAUGCCACGGUAUGUGAGAGACGAUCUCCAGAAAAGAUGUUCUUUCCAUUCUUCCCACCACUGUUUGUAUGUCCGAGUGAUGAAGAGGGCUGGAACCCAAGCUGAUAGAUCAACAUCUGUAUCGGCAUUUGGUGGAAGUUGGGCUACUCUGAUCCACUCGAGGUAGUUGGUAAUGGUCUCCCUUGGCUUUACUACAUCGGCGUAGCAGAGUGCAAUCGGCAGUUGGCCGAAAGCUAGUUGGCGAGCUAGUGCUGAUGGGUUGUAAAACUCAUAAGUCUGAUUAGAAGCUUUAACACUACCAAAGAAAUUCACCGGUAUAACUCUUGGACUGAUAAUUGCUAACAUCACUUCAUGGUCCUUAUUAAGAGUGUCGUUAAAAGGGUGGAAAGUCUGGGGGAAUCUGGUAUCUGGAUCUUCAUAAGGCAUCCAUGCCCGCUGUUCCCUAGUCAAACACUCAUACAGAGUUUGAAAGAAUCGGCUAACUUGGUCUGCGUUGCCAUCUGUGCCAGGCAGAACUAUGGCGGCUUCGCCAAAGUUCAGAGGGGAACGGGUUGCCGAUUCUUCUUCAUCCAGUUCAUAAUCUUCGGCUAUAUCGAAGCGCUGUGCAAAGAGGUCAAACUCGAGGCGCUUGUGCAUGUGGAGACUAAGCCACAUAUUGAUGAACCACCAGGGACCACCUAAGUUGCCGAUGGACUGACCAAGCAGUAGUUUCUGGGCUACCUGAUGGAGGAGGUGAUAAGCAGAGCCAAGCAGGUAUCGGCCAAGAGGAAAUCGGCCACCAUUAGCUAACCUUUCUGCUGCCGAUUGAUAGACAGAAGUUGGUCCUACCGAUCAACCACAGAACACAAACUUAUCUAACCACAUAUUCAGGAAGGUGGUCUGUUCCUUUAUAUUGACGGGUCCUGUUCUGCGGUACUUCUGAAUAUACCCUGACCAACCGCCGAUAGAACGAGUUUCCACUUUAGCACUGGGUUUGGUAUCAAAUAGGUGGGUGCUAUCGGCAGUGGAUACAUCUAAACCGGUGAGCAUAAGCACAUCGGCAAGCGUGGGAGAAGCGGGGCCAUGGCCAAACACAAAAGCAUUGAGUGUGUCUGACCAAAAGUAUGAGGCAGCUAUCAAUAGAGACUCAUUUCUCUCCAUAUCGGCAAGAGACAAUCUAAUGCACUCAUCCAUUUUCCGUUCACCCCAUUGGACCUCAUUUGAGUUACUGACUCUCAGGAACCAAUCCUUCCAUCCCUUGGUAGGACUAGGCCAGGAACGGAAAGCAUCCUUCCAUAGAUCUAAAGAAAAAUUCUCGGCUCUAAAAGGGAUUCUGUUCGUCUCAGCAUUUAUAAGAUCGGUGGGAUCCAAGUUUUCUAGUGGACCAAGGCAUUGAAGAUGGGGUUGAUCGGUGGGAAUAACGAUUUUAUCGGUCAAAUCCUAGAAAUUUGUGGGAGCGAAAAGAAGAACAAAAAGAAAGGAUUCGGUAAGAUAGAUUGCAGAUGAGCAGGGAUGCAAUAAAAGUACGAGAAAAAGGGCAGUACGCUGACCUCAGGGACGACGAAGUUGAUGGCCAUCUCCUCGUAGGGGAGAAUAUUGAAAACUUGGGAGUUGUUGGAGGAAGUUCUUGUUGGAGUUCUUGGGGCUCUCGAACAGCGCCGCCGCCAGAAGAGUAGAGUUGGAGCUGUAGAAUGAUGCGAUGGAGAAAGAGUACCCGAGAAGGAAGUAUUUAUAGGACAAAAUGGGCAAGGGCAAAUUUGACUUAUCUCUUCGCCGUAUCCGUGAAAUCCGAGGAUACUCAGGUGGAUAUGGUAACUGUUCGCACGGUAAUCAAGGAAUUGCGCAGGUGAUUUGACAGGAAGCGGUCAUGAUCUGGAGAUAUUUCACUGUGCGGGAUUUCUUGGUCGGUCCAUCGGCAGUUCCCUCUAAUGGUAAUAUUGCCGAUGGGCGCAUAAAGUGGAGAGAUCCGGUUCGGAAGGUUGAGGUAUUUGAGGAACCUACAGGAGAAUCAGGCCAAGGUUGUUCAGAUUUAAACGGUCGAUUACCAAAUUGGGAGAAUUAAUUGUGGAAAGGCAUCAUUACUGCAGAGAAUUUUGGAGCAUUAAUGAUUUCAUACUCCAAAAUUGGGGGACAUGUGUUGACACCGUUUUUGGACACGUACCCAGAGAUCAGUGGAGUAUAGAUCGGCAGGUGGAGCAACGGUAACUAUCUGCAGGGGAGUUGCCGAUGAAAGCGGUUGCCGAUGAAGAGACAGCUAAAUGUGUCUAAGUCCAGAAGUAAUGACAAGUUCGUGCUGAUGGUCAGCGUUAGUCUUUGCCGAUGGCUAUGAUGAGAAGUCUGCCGAUGACUCAGAAGGAGAACAUGAAGGUUGCCGAUUGAUCUAUGGCGGUGUCCCAGUUUGUCACAGGAGGAUAGUUUUAUGUUUUCCAUAGAUAUUUAAAUUCAUUUUGUAUACGGAUUCUGUUUAAUUUGGAAUUCGAGUCCUAGUCGUGUCUGAUUGUAGCUCUUUGAGCAGGGUAUAAAUGUAGACCCUAGGGCCUUGUAAUCAAUCGAUCAAUCAAUCAAACACAAGUUUUUACUCAUAUUCCAGCAAUCUACCUUUCGAUGACUUCGUCAUAUUUUCUCUUUUUACUAUGAGUUCUUAAGGAUGCGUCGACUUAAGCUCGGCGUGUUCUCAAGUUCCGCGUGAUCACCUCUUGGCCGUGACAUCCGGGCGCAUCGCUGUUGUCGGGACCAAAGUGGUCGAGUUAUCACCUUUGCCGAUAGUAAGGUCAAAUCGGCUCGCACGCCUUAACGUUUGAAUCGGGUAUUAGCCCUUUGUGUUUGCAGAUCCACUUUUGCAUCAACACGUUGAAGACUCUAAGUAGGUCAGGAAACGACGCAACCGCAACCAGAGGAGGCAAAUCAUCAAGGACGGAUGGGGAGAUUAUGAAGGAGAAGUGAUAAGGUCUGAAGACAUAGAGUUGAAACAGAAUUAUCCAGAAGAGACUAUAGCACCGAGUCAGGUGUGGAAAGAUAAGAUAACUAUACAUGAAGAGGAGGUGCUGCGGAAGUACCGACUCCGCCACCCAAUGAAUCCUAGGACAACUAGAAAACGAAGAGUCCCGUUCGGAGGACUUAAAAACACAGAACGCCUUGCCAAGAGGUAAACUUGGUAGUUAUCUUUUUUCUUUCAAUAAUUUCAAAUAGUUUGCUUAGUUAAUCAGGUUUAUACUAGCCUAAAAAGAAAAUAAAAAUAUAAAAAAAUAGUAAGCCCCAUAUGAGCAUAUGAGUGGCAUAAACCCAUAAGUACAUUCACUGUGGUGGCAUAAAAAAUAAAAUAAAUAUUUCUUUUCUGCUUUAUUAAACGAAAAUAUAAAAAUAGGGAGUAACAUUUAUUGAGGAGGCUCAACAUGAUGAAGGCUAGAUAUUUAUGCUAACACUUAAUCAGUUCCACAAAGCUUUGUUGUCUAUUUGAGCUCCACAGAAUUUAAGAAUCGAGAAGACUAGCAGACAAAGGACAUUCUAAUCGCUGUCAAGAUACUGCCGACUUUCAAAUACACCUCUGCCAUCUGCUAGCUACAUCAGAAGAAAUUACGUCAAAAUUCAGCUUGGGGGAGAGCACCCCCAUUUAUCUUGAUAAGUAUUUCUAUCUAUCUUUAUACUUAUAUUAUAUUAAAAUAUAAAUAUACAUAACUAUGGAAAACCAAAUAAAGAUUUUGUGCUUAUAUAUAUAUCUUUUUCUUAGUGUGUUUAAUAAAUAAAUAAAGUGGCUAUGCUAAUCUGAAUCUUAAUAAUAAAGCUCUAGCAUGGAUGUGAUGAAUAGUUGCUCUGCCUAAUUUUCAAAUUUGAGUUCUCUCUCAAGUUUAGAUAUAACUGUUAUAAUUUAAAGCUUGCUCUGCAUCUGAACUUGGCGGAAGAAAACUUGAUCUGAAGUCUAAGUUGUUAACGGAUAUGAUAUGGGAAGGUUGAGCUGUUGUUUAUCUGUUCCUAGAGAUGUUAGAAUUCUGGAGAAUUUUAUCUUUGAAAAUCUUUAAAAUAUUACAUGAUGAGUUCCUGUAUGAUGAGAGUUUAAAUUCCUACCACAGCCAUAUAUACAUGCUUGCUAGACUUUGAGCCACACAUUUACUUUUUACUGCUUAUGAGCAUUGAGUGUGGUCAAGCUGUGUAGACCCUUAGGAGCUUGUCAUGUGGUUAAAUCAAGAUUCACUUGCACGUUCACUCACAUAUGCUGCUUCUACUCUGAAAGUACGCAUCCACAUGUAUCCACCUAUUUCCAUCUCGAGAACCACCCAAAAAAAAAUAUUCUACUCCUAAUCCGGGAGAGAAUAGCCAAAAAUAUUUCUAUUUUUUCCCUGAGAAAUAAAUGCUCAAGUUAUCUUGUUGCUACCACUUUCUAUAUUAUUUCAAGAGAUGAGUGCUCUAAUAAUAAAAAAAGAGAAAAUACGAGGAAAUAAAAAGGGGCAAGUGCCCGGAACCUCGAAAGAAAAAAAUGAGACGAGAGAUAAAAAUGGACAAGUGUCCGACAGUAGAAUUAGGGGUACAAGAUACCCACCUGAGAGGAAAGAAAAAGAAAAGAUAGAGCAUCUCAUUCUCCUCAAAAAGUUUCAAAAAGCAAGAAAGGUAUGUAUCCGCUCAAAAGAGCAAAAGUAGAAUUAGACUUUCUCCAUUGUUAUCAUCGUCAUCACCAUACACCAUUCAUUCGCCACACAUGCACAUCUUGAUUUGACUUAUUGGCUUGUUUUUUGGAUCCAUGGUUUGACUAUACAAUAAAUGUAUUGUAAGUAUGUAUACUUUAUCUCCCACCUAUGAGCUCCAGAUAUCAAAAGCCUUAUUAGAGUAGGAUGAGAGAGAAGGCAAUGUUACUAUGCUUUAUACCACAAAUACUACAUACUUGAGAGAAGGCAUAUACCAUCACUGCCUUGGUAAGGAUCCAGAAAUACCACAAAAGAGAGAUUUGAGAGAAUCAUACAAGGAAUCUCUGAGUUUUAUUUGAAAAUCUGCAAAAACUCCAGAGCUAUAGCUGAUCAAGAAUAAGAGACAUGGCACUUGAUUAGACCGUUCUAUCUUUUAACUACUCAAGACAGAAGUGAUGGUUACAAGUCCCAUGGUGAAAGGUAAAGUAAGUAGGUCUUGACAGUUUACUCUAACUCAGAGAUGAGACCUCAUUUUAAAGCAUGUGUACCGUCAAUUUUUAAAGGCAUUGCAACAACUUCUGAUCCGUCGCUGAGAUUAUCCUUGCUCAGGGACGAGCAAGAGGUAAGCUUGGGGGAGUUUGUUGAUGGUCCUUAAGUAUCAAAUUUAAUUAUCAAAUAAACAAAGAAAAGGAUCCAAAUGAAAUCAACAUCCAGACUUAGGGUUUUAUCUGAUAGAAUUCCACGAGUUUUGGUGUUUGUCUAUUUCUGCAGGGGGUUAUCAGGAAAUACGGAAGAAAGGCUCACACGUCAGGAUUACAUAGAGAUAUCAAUGUGCCGCACAAUUAUCUUACAUCUAGAAGACUCCAGAAGCCACAAGAACGAAGUGGAGGCGAAACGGGGCAUGGCCCAGGGCGCCCGCCUAGGAGACCAGGGUGCCCGCCCCUUGUUGGAGUCCAAUGAGGACACUCUUUCGGGAUUACGCUCCACCGACCUAAAGGAUCAAGGAUAACCAUUCAAUCAAUGUCGGUUUGAUCCGACGGCCCAUAUUCACUUGAAGGUACUAUAAAACCAGACCCCCUGGCCCCUGGAGGAGAGAGCCUCUCAACCCUAAUUCAUUAUUCCUCAAGGGAGAAGAAGCCUCUGAUCAAGCCUAGAGCCACCACAUCAAUUAGACAUCUAGAUUAGCAUAGCUACAUAGGAUUAGAACUAGAAGGAGUCAAUCUUCGAUUGGUUUCCGGAUCUGUCAAGAGGAUUCUUGGUAAUUCUCUAAUUGUUAUUCUAAUUGUUCAUCUUUGUUCUUCAAUAUUAUGAAUAUGACUUUGUUCUACUUCAAUAUAUUGUUAUGACUUUGCUCUACUUGUUUAUAUUCAAGAUUAUAUUGUUCUUAGUUUAUCAUAGUUAUAUACUUGGCUUAGUUAGAUUGGAUCUAUAUACAUGUUUAGGAUCGUAUAGCAUUUAUCAAUCGGAUCCACGGGUAAAUGUAGAUAUUGUGUAGGCGUGGUGCUUAUACCGUAUUUAUCUGCGAUUGUACCCAAUAUGCCAGAUCGUGGGGUAGUUUGUGAUAGUGACAGCUUCAUUGAUUCUUAUAUAGUCCCCCUCUCGUGUAUUGGGCUGGCAGAGCAACAUUAUUACAGGGGAGUGAUUACGAUGUUUCUCAUAUUCCUUGCUAAUAUCACUAUGCAUGGGCGUAGUCUUGUCUCACAAUGAUUGCUAAGUAUGCUUGCACUAACUAUGAUAAUGCUAGAUUGUAUAGUUGAUAAUAACUUAGGAAAUAUUCUUGUAGUUCGUUCUAAUACCAUGCUAAUGACUUGCUAGAAUAUCUAAUUGAGGUGCUUAUCAUAUUUAUUAUGUGGAUAAGUUAUGCUGAUCAGAUUAAUUAUCUUUGUCACUAUUCAUUACUUCAUAUAUCUUUUAUGUGACACUUAUUCCUGUAUGAAAGAGUUAGAUAAAUGUUCUCAAUUAUACAUGCAAUGAUAGAUACUCAAUCUCAUAUUCCAUUCUAUAAUCAACAUUGAUGGUUACUAAUCCCUUCCCAGUGGUAAAAAUACAAAUAACGAUACUUGGAAUACUUCCCGGUUAAAAUGCUACAUCCUUAUUAAUCUGCGCGCUUGCAGAUCCCAUUUCAUUAUUUAUUUAGAUGAGCAAUUGCAUAUUUCAAUACCACGUCUCUCAUGUCAUGCUGGGGAUGACAACUUGGCUUAAGUGGUAUGAGGGAUAGGUUUGGCAUUUUUGGCACCGUUAUCAUAAUUAGAAAAUUAAGUCUACUUUUGGUGAUGAUGUUAAGAAUACCCAACACCCAUCCGUCCUUGAUGAUUUCCCUCUUCUGAUUGCGGUUGCGUCGUCUUCUUCUUGUCCUGACCUGCUUAGAGUCUUCAACGAUAUAGUUAGGGUCCGUAAAAUAGCGGCGUACCUUCUCUGAGGGGAAGUGUAUAUGGACUUCUCCAGUUCCAAUGUAGAUGAUUGCUUUAACAGCGCUGAGGAACGGUCUUCCAAGGAUGAUGGGUGGAUCAUAUUCGUCUUCUCCCAUGUCAAUAACCUGAAAGUCUGUGUAGACAAAGUGAUCGUCUAUCUUGACAGGGACAUCAGUUACUGUACCUUUAACCUCUCGAAAUGUCUGAUCUGCCAUCUGGAGCUGAAUGUAUGUUGGUUUUAAGGGCAUGGUUCCGAACAAGAGCCGAUAGGUGACUGCGGCCAUUAUGUCGACGCCCGAUCCGAUGUCGCAAAACGUCUUGUAGAAGUUGUAUCCAUUUAUGGAGCAAUAGAUGCUUGGCAUUCCUGGGUCGUCCUUCUUGGUCAGAAACGGUGACUUAAGUCGAUGAUCUUGACCUCCAUGAACUGCAGUGACCAUCUUAGCUGACUCGGUCCACACUUGCUUGUUCCUGUUCCUCCUGUUGGUCCUCUUCCUUGGUUCAUGUCGGGAUUGCUCUGGGAUUUGUGUAGUCUUGUUCUUGAAGGAAAACAUCUCCUUUCUCCCUUUGAUGUAGAAACUGAUCUUGGCAGCGCUAGCGUAGAUGACGGCUCUCGAGGUGUUUAAGAAUGGCCUCCCUAAGAUGAUGGGUGCCCUCUCAUCAUUUUCGGUCUCUAUCACCACGAAGUCUACUGGGGCGUACAAGGUACCAACUCGGACACAAAGGUUCCUCAAUAUUCCUUUUGGAAAACUUAUCGUCUGAUCUGCAAACUGCAAACACAUGGUUGUUUCUAAUAAAGGAUAUGUAAAGAAUUUUUCAUAGAGAACCCUGGGCAUAAUGUUGACACUAGAGCCAAAGGGGUUCCUCUGAGAUCGGCGACCGUGGGAGGAUCUCAGCGACGAGGGGGGACGACGCCGGCACUUCUGGCGGCGGUGACGCCAAUGAGACCAGGACCUGGGGGUCGGUGGACGACGACGGGCGGUUUCCUUCUCUCAUCGACAUAUUCCUACGCCACGGAGGCUCGCUUGAGACCAUUCAAGAGCUUAUCCGAGGCGUCAAGGCGUGCAUGGAGGAGGUGAUGGAGAACUAGGGCCCCGGUCGGAUCCGUCUUCGAGCCUCCACGUGCCUAGAGGAGCCCAACAUCAUGAUGGAUGACCGGAAGGAGGCCGAAAAGUGGGAGCAUCUCGAGGAGCUUCGGCUUUGGAUGAAGCACGUCAUGGGUCUGAUGUCGGAUAUUGUCAACAACGGGCUCGGGCAAGCUUUCUUUGUAAGUAUCUUUGGUCCUUAGCCAUCUGGGUACCUAGUCUUGUAUCCUUAUCGUUCGACUACUUGCUGCAGGAUCUGAAGGAGACCUCCCGCCUAAAGUCGGGUUUUAUUCAUGCGACGAGAGGCGGUUGGGAACAGCUCCCUCUUCUCAAGGAUCAGCUCCUCGAGUUGCAGGAAAAGCUUCUCUAGGCAUACAAGGACCUCAUGGUGGCUGUAGAGGAGAAGAAGGAGAGGGAGGCUGCCCUGGCCAAGGCUCGGGAGACCUCGAAGAAAGCGGAGGAAGAGGGCCGUGCAGCUGAGGGAGCGGACCGCCUCAGCUAAGGAGACAGCUUCCAAGGCCUAGGAAGAGGCUACGCAUUACAAAGGUGCGGUCGCCGAGCUUGACAAGGAGAAGAGCCUCCUUAAGUCAGAACUCGCCUCUGCUCGGGAGGCCUACCGAGAGCUAAAGGAGGAGUGCGUGAAGAGCGAGAUCGCUCGGAGCGCCGCGGAGGAGGCGGGGAAGAAGGCCCGUGAGGACCUCGAGGCAGAGCGAAUCCGUUCUCGCAGUCUUUCUGACGACGUAGACCGUCUGAAGAUAAUGCUGUUGGAGAAGGAGGGAGCCAUCCUACAGGCGGGUAAGAUGAUCGAGGACCUGCAGGUCGAAAAUUCAGAUCUGGCUCGUUCCUAUAAGGAGAUCGAGAGGGCCAACACCGACUUGGUUGGUGAGAACACGGCUCUCGAAGAAAGGAUCCGCGGUAAGUAUGAUCUGGCUUUCGUGUUUCCUUUUGCUGGGUUUUUCUCUCGUGCUAUCUAACUCUCCCGUAUCUAUCUUUGUAGGGCUCAAGGAUGAUCUCCUGGCCACCCAGGUCGACGCUCGCUCCACUAAGGUUCAGCUCGAGGGGGAGGUCGCUCUAACUAGUCAACUAAGGACUGCGAUAAGUGACCUUUCGGCCUCCUGGGAGCUCAAACCUGCAGAUGAGUCGAGGGAGGUGGCUCGAGGAGAUGCACUGGUCGACCAGUUGUGCUACUUAGGUGCCACGCUGACGGAUCGAGUGCGGGACGCCCUUCAUACCGGGGUGAAGCGAGUGAUGGCAGUCAUCUGCUCGGGCUUCUCCUAUGACAUGGAGGUAGUGUCCCACGGCUUCGUCACUGAUAUUUCCAAGAUCGAUGUCGAGAACGAGGAGAGGCUCCAUGCCUUGAUCGAUGACGCAGAGGUCCCUCGGGAAAGGUUGGCGAAGCUGUUCGAGACAGAGGUACUUCCUCCCGAGACUAGCCCAGGUGCAGAUGAUGGUGGUGAGGGCGGAGAUGUGGACUAAGGCCUGCGAGCCUAUUCUGGGUAUUUAGACCUGUUGUAAAGUACUUAUUACCUGUCUUAAGUGAAUGUUGUGGCUUGAAUGGCCUUGAGACUUGUGUAUAUUUGCUUGUUUUUAUGCUCGAAUUUCCUUUGUUUCUUUUUCUGCCUAAUUUUGCAUUCUCGUUUGAUCUUUUGUGGAGGCAUCUUCGAUUGCCUUAAGGGUGAGGAAUGUGAGUAGAGUUGCCAUAGCCUGGGGGCGUAGGGGUUCUCAGGCUCGACGUUUCUCGGCCCUUAAGGGGCUCGAGGUGCCUUUGCUACUUGGUCUUGCGAAGUUUUCUUAGGACUUAAAAAGAAAAAGUCGUUCGAUUUUUAGGAACCUGGGGGGUCCCCCCUGCUAGCCCCCAAGGGAGUAUCGACUAUGAUGGGUCAUAGUUGGGACUUCCUCCUAACGUCGAGAUUUGAUCGGUGAUAGCGUAAACUACUUGAAAAAGUAUCCUCCUUUGUUCUCAUAUUCAUUCAUAGGGUCUCGGUACAAAGUAUUCAUGAAAACGUAAAGCCUCGAAGCUCUAAGGGUAGAAGCGACGUAGUUGUUCGAUGUUCCACUCGUUGGUGAAGACCGCCCCUUUUUCGUCCGUGAGCUUGUACAUUCCCGGCUUCAAGACCUCGGCCACCACGUAUGGGCUUUCCCAUGGUGGAGUCAACUUGUGGCAUCCUUGGUUACUUUGUCGUCGUCGUAGGACGAGAUCGCCCAUGUUCAGAUCCCUUUUGCGCACGUGCUUGUUGUGGUAUCGUCGGAGCUUCUACUGGUACCUUGCGGAGUUGAGGAGGGCCAUGUCCCGAGGUUCCUCGAGCUGAUCAACUGCGUUCUCUCGGGUCUCCUUAUUUGUCUGCUCGUUGUAGGCUUUGAGUCGCGGUGACCCAUACUCAAGGUCUGUUGGAAGCAUGGCCUCGGAGCCGUAGACCAUGAAGAACGGGGUAUAUUUUGUGGCCCUUCUUGGCGUCGUCCUUAAGCUCCAUAGGACUGAGGAGAGUUCUUCGACCCAUUUCUUGUCAAAUUUCUUCAACCAGUUGUAGAUUCUUGGUUUAAGUCCUUGCAAAAUCAUGUUGUUUGCACGGUCGACCUGACCAUUAGUUCGAGGGUGAGCUACUGCAGACCAGUUCACACGGAUGUGAUACCGGUCAGAGAAGUCCAAGAACUUUUUGCUGGUGAACUGGGUGCCAUUGUCGGUGAUGAUGACAUUGGGUAUCCCGAACCGGUGGAUAAUGUAGGUGAAGAAAAGGACGUCUUGUUCGGAAUGGAUGUUUGUGAUGGGUCGAGCCUCGAUCCAUUUGGAGAACUUGUCGAUGGCUACCAACAAAUGGGUGUAUCCUCCCGCUACUUUCUGUAGAGGUCCCACGAGGUCGAGACCCCACACCGUGAAUGGCCACAUGAUGGGGAUCAUCUGGAGAGUGUGAGCAGGGAGGUGGCUUUGCUUGGCACAGAAUUGACACCCAUGGCACGAGCGAACGAGCUCUAUGGCAUCAGCUAUGGCCGUUGGCUAGAAGAAACCUUGUCGGAAGGCAUUCCCUACAAGGGUUUUUGGAGCGGCAUGGUGGCCGUAAGCCUUUGAGUGUAGGUCCUCGAGGAGAUUUCGACCCUCUUCUAUGGUGAUACAGUGCUGCAAGAUCCCUGUCGGGCUUCGUCGAUAUAGCUCUUUGUUUUCUCCGUAGAUCCCAUACGAUUUGGCUCGUCGAGCGAUACGACAGGCCUCGGAUCGAUCUUGCGGUAGUUCAUCUCGGAUCAGGCAAUCGAGGAACGGCGUACGCCAGUCAAACGGUCGACCGGGACUUUGUUCGACCUCCAUUACUUCUGCUACCGUCAGUAAGGCUUCGACAGCGUCGGUUGGAGUGGGGGUUUCGACAUCAUCCCCCGCGCCCAGGUUAACGGAUGGCUCGUGUAGGUCUCUCGAGAACGCGUCGGGUGGGAUGGUGCCUCGAGUUGACGCGACCUUAGCGAGCUCGUCGGCUGCCUCGUUGUAUCGUCGUGCGAUUUGGACGAGCUCGAGGCCGUGGAAUUUGUCCUCGAGCCUACGUACUUCCUUGCAGUAUGCCUCCAUUUUUGGGUCGUGGCAGCUCGAGGCCUUCAUUACUUGGUCGACGACUAGUUGAGAGUCGCCUCGAACGUCGAGGCGUCGAACCCCUAGCUCGAUGGCGAUCCUUAGCCCAUUGAUGAGGGCUUCGUAUUCUGCAACGUUGUUAGAUGCAGCGAAGUGUAUUCUAAUGACAUACCUCAUGUGGACGCCAAGAGGUGAGAUGAACAGUAGGCCUGCCCUAGCUCCCGUCUUCAUGAGGGAUCCGUCGAAGUACAUCGUCCAUAGCUCUGCUUGGACCUGAGCUAGGGGGAGCUGAGAGUCCGUCCACUCCGCAACGAAGUCCGCUAGGGCUUGAGACUUGAUGGCUUUGCGGGGCGCAUAAGUGAGGGUCUCACUCAUGAGCUUGACCGACCAUUUGGCGAUCCUCCCUGUGGCCUCUCGAUUCUGGAUGAUCUCGCCCAAGGGGAAGGACGAGACCACCGUGAUCGGGUGACCGAGGAAGUAGUGCUACAGCUUGCGUCGGGCAAGAAUCACGGCAUAGAUCAAUUUCUGAAUCUAGGGGUACCGUACCUUGGUUUCCGAGAGCACCUCGCUGGUGAAGUAGACCGCCCUCUGGACUGGUAGCAUGUGUCCUUCUUCCAGCCUUUCGACCACCACAGCCGCACUUACCACAUGGGUCGUUGCUACGACGUAUAAGAGCAGAGGCUCCGCAGGCAGAGGGGGAACUAGGACCGAGGCGGAGGCCAGCGUCUUCUUUAGGCUAUCGAGGGCUUCCACGGCCUCGGGGGUCCAGGAGAAAUGAUCGGCUUUUUACAAGAGCCGAUACAGUGGCAAUGCCUUUACUCCUAACCUUGAGAUGAAACGGCUUAGUGCCGCCAGGCAGCCUGUGACUUUUUGCACGCCCUUGACGUCUCGAAUCGGCCCCAUCCUCGCGAUGGCUAAGACUUUCUUGGGAUUAGCCUUGAUGCCGCGUUGGGAAACUAUGUAACCCAGGAGCAUGCCUCGAGGCACGCCGAAGACGCAUUUCUCGGGGUUGAGCUUGAUUUUAUUAGCGCGUAGACAGCUAAAAGCAAUCUCGAGGUCCUAAAUCAGGUCGCCCCGUUUCUUUGAUUUGACGACGAUGUCGUUGACGUAUGCCUCGACCGUCGACCCUACGUGCUCGCCAAACACGUGGAGCAUGCAUCGUUGAUAUGUCGCCCCAGUGUUUCGAAGCCCGAAGGGCAUGGUUACGUAACAAUACAUCCCAAAAGGCAUGAUGAAAGAUGUCGCGAGCUGAUCGGAUUCUUUCAUCUUUAUUUGAUGGUAACCAAAAUAUGCAUCAAGGAAUGAAAGGGUUUCACAUCCCGCGGUAGAAUCAACAAUUUGGUCGAUGCGUGGCAAAAGAAAGGGAACUUUUGGACACGCUGUUGACGGUCCUUAAGUAUCAAAUUUAACUAUCAAAUAAAUAAAGAAAAGGAUCCAAAUGAAAUCAACAUCGAGACUUAGGGUUUUAUCUGACAGAAUUCCACGAGUUUUGGUGUUUGUCUAUUUCUGCAGGGGGUUAUCAGGAAAUAAGGAAGAAAGGCCCACACGUCGGGAUUACAUAGAGAUAUCAACGUGCCGCGCAAUUAUCUUACAUCUAGAAGACUCCAGAAGCCACGAGACUGAAGCGGAGGUGAAUCGGGGCCAGAGACAGGGCGCCCGCCGACCUCCUGUGGCCAAUCACGCUCAAUCUCGCGGAUUAUGCUCCACCGACCUAAAGGAUCAAGAAUAACCAUUCAAUCAAUGUCGGUUUGAUCCGACGGCCCAGGUUCACUUGAGGGGACUAUAAAACCAGACCCCCUGGCCCCUGGAGGAGGAACCCCUUGAUCAUUAUUCAUUAUUCAUAGACAGAGCAAAAGCUAGGGUUUAGAGAUGAGAGCUCUCCUCUCUUCUCUAAACUAGAGUAGAUCUAGAUAGUAGCGAGAUGGAGAGCGAAGGAGGAUUAGAGGAGAGGCCGGCCUGUCGGUUCUUCCUCCAGUUGUACUUCGCCAUGAUCAAGCUCUAAUCAAGCUUGCUCAUGGGAUGACUCUGGUAAUCUACUUCUAAUUCAUUAUGCAAUUACUAAUCAUGUAUGUUCUGGUUCACAACUCUUUUGAGUACUUCUAAUCUAUAGGACCCUAUAGGUUAGAGUUGUAGUAUAGGUGUAAGCGUGGUGCUUAGACCUAGAUUACUUGUGGAUAUCCCCUGACUAGCUGGAUCGUGUGGUAGGCCGCGUAGGUGACAGUUACGUUGGUCCCCUGUAGUCCACCUCUCGUUAGCAGGACGGGUAGGGUUUAUCGGCCUAUGGAUAAGCAUCCUUUGUGGUGUACUCUUAUCACGUGGUUCGUCCCAGACAUAGACAUACCCCUUUGAAGUAGAGAAACCAUAGUUAUCCUCUCUAUUCUGCUACCAUCGCCCAUAUACUAGAAUUGCUCUACUCUCUAUUCCCAUAUUAUCACUCACUGUUAUCUUACCUUUAAUAUUGUUCUUAUUCGAUUCUACCAUCUUUCCUAUUCACACCUAUUUACUUAUCUUGGUUAAGUUAGAGCGUAGAUCAGUUCUCCCGUUUCCCUGUGGAUACGAUAAAAUCUUUAACCGGGUAAAAGCUUCAACGGUAUCCGUGCGCUUGCGGAUUAUCUAUGUGCGUAUAAAUACCAUAGUACACUCUAGUGCCAUGCUGGGGAUGACAACCUAGUAUUCAAGUGGUGUUAGCAAGUGUCAACACACGCUUUAUUCAAACUCGUGUAAUCGGCACACAUCCUCAUUUUCCCAUUCUUUUUCUUAACUAAUAUAGGAUUUGCUAACCAGUCGGGAUGAUGAACCUCCGUGAUGAAUCCGGCCGUCAAAAGCUUGUGGACGUCCUCGCCAAUGAUCUUGCGUUUCUCUUCUUCGAAGCGACACAAUCGUUGUUGCACUGGCUUGGAACCGGCUCGAAUCUCCAAGGAGUGCUCGGCGACUUCCCUCGGUAAGCCUGGCAUGUCCAAAGGGCUCCAUGCAAACAUAUCGGCGUUUGCACAGAGAAAGUCGACGAGCACGGCUUCCUAUUUAGGGUCGAGGUCGGCACUGAUCGUCAGCGCUUUGUCGUUGGAGCCGUUGGGGUCGAGCGAGAUCUUCUUCGUGCCUUCCGCUGGUUCAAAGCUGCCUGCCUUCCUCUGGAGCCACAGCAGCAAGGGCCUCGAGCUUCGAGGUGAGUUUGGCAGAGUUCUCGACAGCUUCUUGAUACUCGACGCACUCGACGUUGCACUCAUACGCGUGCUCGUAGGAGGAUCUAACGGUGAUGACUCCCUUGGGCCCAGGCAUCUUCAGCUUCAAGUAGGUGUAGUUGGGGAUAGCCAUUAACUUGGCGUAGCCUGGCCGCCCGAUCAUGGCGUGGUAAGUGCCGUGAAAUCCCACCACUUCAAAAGUGAGAGUUUCCUUCCUGAAGUUGGCCGCCAUGCCAAAACAGACCGACAGGUCGAUUCAACCCACCGACAACGCCUUCUUUCCUAGCACGACGCCAUGAAAGCCGCCCACGCUUGGCUGGAGCUGCGCCCUUUCAAUGUCGAGGAGGUCGAGGGUCUGAAGGUAAAUGAUGUUCAAGCUGCUGCUGCCAUCCAUCAGUACCUUGGAGAGCCUAGUGUCGACGAUGAUGGGAUUGACGACAUCGGGUAGACGCCGAGGUCGACCACCCUAUCCGGAUGGUCGUCACGGUUGAAGGUGAUGGGGGUGCUCGACCAGUUGAGGUACAGGGGCACCGCCAUCCUUGCCGCAAAGACCUCGUGGCACUCCCUCUUGCGCUGCCUCGUGGUGAGUUGCGUCGAGGGCCCACCGUAGAUCAUGUAGCAGUCGUGGAUGGCCGAGAAACCUUCGUCUUCCUUGUUGCCCCCCUUGUCGUCGCUUUUGUCUCUCCCUUGGUCGUCUUUUUUCAGCCCCAGGCCAUCGAAAUAUCUUUUCAGCAUACGACAGUCUUCGAGCUUGUGAUUCGCCCCUCCCUUAUGAUACGGGUAGGGCUCUUUGAGAAUCUUGUCGAAGACGGCACCCUCUGGGGGCCCUCGAGGCUUUUUGCGCUCCAUAGCGGCGACGAAGUCAUCGUCUGUAGCCUCCCGCUUAAAUGGUCAUGCCUUCUUCCUUUUCUUUCCUUUCUUAGACCCUCUGCUGGGGCCCUCGUCAUCAUCCAUUGGUUCCUUAUCUUUGCUUCCUUUGUGGCUGAAGAAGGCACCAACCGCUUCCUCGCCCGCAGCAUAGUUUGCCAAUAUGUCCAUUAGCUCAUUGACGGUCUAAGGCCGGUUUCGACCCAGUUCCCGUACCAGGUCCUUGCAAGUGGUACCUGACACAAAGGCCAGAAUGACGUCGUGGUCGGGGAUGUGCGGGAGCUCAGUGCGUUGCUUCGAGAAGCGCCGUGUGUAUUCUCAGAGAGUUUCUCCUGACUUUUGCUUGCAUUUGCUGAGGUCCCAUGAGUUGCCGGGUCGUAUGUAGGUCCCUUUGAAGUUACCCUCGAAUACCUAAACCAAAUCAGUCCAAUCGUGAAUCUGGUUGGCGGGGAGCUCCUCGAGCCAUCUGCGAGCGGUGUCAAAGAGGAAAAGCAGUAGCUGACGGAUGAUGGCUUGAUCGUCUCCUCGAGCGUCUCCCAGCUGACAUGCAAGCCAGAAGUCUGCUAGCCACAGUUCUGGUUUGCUUUCACCGUUGUAUUUAGCAAUGCUAGUCGGGGGUCGAAACGGGCUGGGCAGCGGCGUGCUACGGAUUGCUCUGCUGAAGACUCGAGGGCCCGGUGGUUCUGGGGCCAUCCGGUCUUCAUUGCUGUCAUAUCGUCCGCCGCGGUGGGCGCUGUAGCCGCGCUCCUCUGCAUCCCCAUGUCGAUGGUGACGAUACUCGUUGAUGUUUUGUCGAGCGUCGUGUCGCCGUUGAUUAUUGAUGAGGUGGUCUUGGAUGGGCGCCGUUUUCCUUCGUCGAGGGGGUGGUUUUUGAUGGACUGACACCUCCCUUUCGUUUCAGGCCAGCUCGACGCGUUUCUCCAAAGCUGACCCUCGACGUCGAGAGGCUGAGCUCUCGGCUUGCUGAGCUGCCGCCACUUGAAGCAGAGUCUGCACCUCGUCUCGAAUGUGCCGUGCCUGGGAGUUCGAGGGUUCAAGCAUGUUACGUAGCAACAUGGUCGCUGCCACGACGUUCUGGCCUGCUCGUGGGAAACGGCUAACUGGCAGCUCUGGCUCCUCAUCUCCGACGAUCUGUCGGUACACUUCUCGAGCCCGACCGCGUGCACCUCUGACAUGCGGGUAUGGUUGGUCCUGCUCGAGGGCUCGUUUGAGCUGGGUGAGGCGCUCGCGAUCUUCAUCGAGCUUCGCUUUGAGCUCCCAUAAUUGCGCAAGUUGCACGGCUUUGUCUUCCUGAAGUGGAGGGUCGAGAUGACCGUUGUUCCCAGGUGUCCUGGGGUCCUCCCUUGCUACAGGAGCUCGGCCGCCGGCGGCGGCGUCUUGCGUAUCAUCUGUGGUCGCCACCUCCCCGUCGAUGUUGAAGCAUUCCCUCGUAGGGUCAUAGCUGUCGGAUUCAGAGUCGGGAUCCGGCUCGGCGGCGUAGAAACAUCCAUGUCCUUCUUCCGCCAACCGCUGCCUGAGCGAAGUGAUUGUGUAUCGCCUGGGUCCUAGACGUCGGAGGCCUCGCAUCCGAGAGAAGUCCGGCAGUUUGGCUGCUUGCUGCUAUGCCCCGGCGCCACGCGGGAGGACCAUUGGUCGUUCCACGCACGUCUGGGCGUCCGGGCAUAUCGUCCUGGUGAGUGAUGCCGCGACAUUGUCUAGCCCAAACGGGUGCGUUCUUCUAGAGGCGAACAACCCAUGUGGUAACAACGUUGUCGAGGGCGGGAGCACACGAGGAGCGCUAUCACCCAGUGUCGUCGCGAGGCCGUCUUGACGCCGGGUCAUCGUAUCCGUGGCCUCGGUGCACGGGGCUGUCGACUCCCGCACCACCGCUCGCCUGGCACGAGUAGACGACCGUGAAGCGACAGAGGGGUGGUGGCGGUGCUGUCCACGCUUCUUCUUGGGCGGGGAGGCAUGGUGGCGAGGCCGUCUCGGGGCCUUCGAUCGUGCGGGUGCAACGCGAGCUCCUCCCGAUCCUUUGACCGAGAGCAGGAUCAUGUCAUAGCCGAAACUAGUGGACAUAAACUCAAGGCUCCCGAACCAAAUCACCGUGGAGCGUGGGAUUGGCGAAACGAGAGUGGCCAUCUGGAAGGAGAUGGGAAGUCAGUGAAAAACACACAGGACCCCUACCUGGCGUGCCAACUGUCGGUGUUUUACCCCCGAGGAGUCACACCAACGAGUAAACUUGUAUGCGUGUUCCCUCUCCCAGAUGGUGAUGCGAGAAAGACACAGAGAUUUAUCCUAGUUCGGGCAAGAGAAGGCCCUACGUCCAGCGCGGGGGGAUGUUUUUCUACUAGCUCGCACCUAAGUGCUUGUAUAGGGGUGAAUACAGGCGAGUGUCGCUGAGAAUGGUGAUGUAUCGGUGGCUGUUCUAUGUGUGGUGUUGUUCUUAUACUCUUCCCCGGCCUCCCCUUUUAUAGUUCCAAGAGGAGACCUAGGUUACAUAGUAUAGGUAAUAAAAUAAGGGUCGAUAGGAGCGUGGUGGGCUAACCUACUCGAGGCUUCCGUACCGGCGUGGCUUUGAGUCGUCUUGUUACCGGGUACUUUGGUGAUGAUUGCACAUGCUUCUGUAUUCAGCUCCUGUGCGUCGCCUUGGAUUGGUUUAACUGUGGGCACGCUUGUAUGUCACGGUAGUAGUCGCGUCUAGAGUGGUUGAGGUGCUGUCUUUCGUCACCCGACUCUUCUCUGGGAAGGAAAGUACUCGUUCGAGGGUCCGGCACUACGCAGGGCUUUGUUGAGCGAUGCGCUGACUUUGGGUGCUUCGAGGGGUGCCGUGAUGUGACAUCCCGACUGUCUCACCGUGCUUGGCUGUACUCUUGCUCAUCUGGGGGAUAAAGCUAUGAAAAGUGGGAUUGGACGGGUGCUCGCUCCCUAUCACGUUUCCCGUGAUUGUCGGGUUAGGUGAGAGCGUGGCAGGUGCAUUAAAUGCCCUGACUCCCAUACCCGCGACACGUGGCGGAUGGCGCCCUUGCGCUCGAGGCCUGUUGAUUCACCUGAGCCACUUUUGUAUUCGACGGUUGCCGUUUAGUCGAGCCUCCAUUGAUUCGCACGACCCUAUAUCCGUGUUCGAUGCUAUGGUUAGCGUCGAGCUUUGGUGAUCGUGCAUAUAAGCGGGGGCGUCGAGUUAGGGCCUCGACUUAUGUACGGAUCUCUUCAUUAUGAGCGUUAGUUGGGAUACCCCUUAUUGACACCCUCGACAGGUAGAUGGAAAAGUGAUGAAUGAUCAAUGAGGGAGUUGCCGAUGGGCUAUGAUACCGAUGCUAAAGCAGCGAGAGAGAGAUAUAGCUAAGUCCGGGAAUAGUGAUUGAUCAAUGCCUAUGGCUGAUAUUGACGAUGGCCGAUACCGAUGGAAGAUGAUAUGCCGAUGAUGGUGAAAUAAGACAUAGGAGUUAUCGGGAAGACAAUGGCGGUGUGUCAAUCACUCAGGAUGGAUGUAUUGUUAUGUUCCAUAAUUGAUAGAGUUUGUUUUACGUACGAGUCCUGUUUGAUUUGGAAUUAGAAUCCUAGUCAUGUCUAAUUGUAACUAUUUAGGAUAGAGUAUAAAUAUAGACUUAAUAGUGAUGUAAGAGGACAAUCCAAUCAAUAUCAUACAAAACUUUUACAUCUACUUUUGCAUCUACAUUUUCGACGACUUCGUCAACUCACAUCUUUUCUUUUGCUUACGAGUUCUUAAGAAUUCAUCGAGUCAUACUCUACGAGUUCUCAAGUUCCGCGUGGAUACCUCUUGGCCAUGGCAUCCAGACGCAUCGCUGUUGUCAGGACCAAAGUAUUCGAGUUAUCACCUUUGUUGGUUGUAAGGUCAAAUCGGCUGGCACACCUUAAUGAUUGAAUCGAGUAUUAGCCCUUUGUGUUUGCAGAUCCAUUUUUGCACCAACACAUCUUUUGGCACGCCUGGUGGGACAGAUUCAUCAUCAAGAUCAAUAUGUCUACUACUGAAUUCGACACGGAAAAUAUCAUCACUGUAACGGAGGCCGAUCUCAGGGAUGAAUAGAAGCAGGUGAUGGCAAAGGCUAUGGAGGAAUACAAGCAGUUAUGCUUAAAAUCCUUCAGCGUCAAUCAGAGUGGUGAAGUGAUCUAGAAGCUAGAACUGCCGAUGCCUCGGCAAAUCACGUUUGAAGCCAAUCGUGGUAAAUUGCAAGAUAUGGUUGACAAUGCUAUUAAUCAUGCUUUGAUCAAUCAAUCCAGUGUACUGCCCAAUACUGUUUUCAACGCCGUGGCUAGAACUUUCAAAGAAGGACAGACACCACCAUUAUACAUGGGCCCGGCCUAUCAUCAGCUAGGGUUAUCAUCGAUUAGGGCUCCAUCGACUCCUCCGACCGUUUCGGGGACCGAAGUUACUUCUCCACCAAGUACAUUAGGGAUGAGUAACGGGCAAUCUACACCGAUGAGAACCAAUUCAGCAACAUCAGAUGGACGGAUUCAACUUAACACAGAUCUAUCGGCAUCGGCAAUGUCAGGGUCUGUAUUUCAGAACUGUCAGGUUCCUCCUAAUUGGUGGGGAUAUGGUAUGCCUCCAGAGUUUUUUGCAAAAGGUUCUAGAACAUCUCAGGUGGCUGGCUUGGCAGGAAAAGCUCCUAUGGGCACCUCCAGUUUCGCCGAUGACUCAGAAUUCCCAGUAUUCUACAACUACUACUGUAAGGCCUGUUACUGGAAACUUUCAAAUGCCAAUGUUCCAGACACCUAAUGCAUCGGUAGAUUUAUUGCCGAUGCAACAGAGGUUCAUGACUCAGGUAGGGUAUGUCAACCCAAUGAUGACACCCAAUUAUCAGCCAUCGGUAGGGCCUGUGCUGAUGAAUGCUAACAACGGAUGGAUGGGGCAGUUUGUCUUUCCACAAAUGACACAACAAAAUCAUCAGGCUGUAGGAUUCUAGCAAGGACAGAUGCAGGUUGGUUUCCAGAAUCAAGGACCAGCCAAUCAGCGGAUGAAUAUUGCUCAACAGAUUGGUGGCCAACAAGCUAUGGCCAAUGCUAUGUUCCCUAGAGAUCAUCUGCCUCAGAGGCAUGUGGAAGCCUAUCAACAGGUGCCGGAGCCACAGCCCCUACAUCGACAGGAUACCAAUGCCUAUUGGGCCAAUAAGAUAGCUGAAGUAAUGAGAGAUCAGUUUGGGAUAAAACCCAAAGUCAAUACUUAUUCUUAUCGGACACCGUAUCCUCCUGCAUAUGAUCUGAUUCCACUUCCAAAUCGGUACAAGAUGCCAUAUUUCACUAAGUUCUCUGGGCAAGAUGAUACAUCGACAAUGGAACAUGUCAAUCGAUUCAUCAUCCAAUGUGGAGAGGCUGCUAACAGAGAUGAAUUAAGAGUUUGUUUAUUUUCAUCAUCGUUGUCAAGAUCGGCAUUUACUUGGUUUAUUUCAUUACCUCCAAAUUUGGUAAUUACUUGGGCCGAUCUAGAGAAGCAGUUCCACAAAUAUUUCUUUUCUGGGGUCCAUGAAAAGAAGAUUACCGAUUUAGUAAGACUGAGGCAGCGCAAUGAUGAAUCAGUUGAAUGCUUUAUACAAAGGUUGAGAGAUGUCAAGAAUAAAUGUUAUAGUCUGGUUCUAGAUGAUCGGCAACUGGCCGAUUUGGCUUUUCAUGGAUUGUUGCCACACAUCAAAGAUAAGUAUGCUUCUCAAGAGUUUGAAAGUCUGAGUCAUCUGGUGCAGAGGAUUUUUGAUCAAGAUAUCAAGGCUUUUGAACCGAGGAAAGCUUAGAACAAAAAGGUGUCAUUUGUCAAUGAGGUAGCAAGUUCAGUUUCUGAUGAAGAACCAGUCAUCGGCUUAGCAGAAUUGGUAAAAAACAAAAAGCCGAUGUCCUGUCCUUUUGGCCAUAAAGAACCAAAAAAGUUUGCUUUUGACAUUACAAAGGCCGAUAGGAUAUUUGAUUUUCUGCUUCAAGAGGGAUAAAUUAAGCUAUCACCUAAUCAUGUGAUUCCAUCGGCCGAUGAAUUGAAAAAGGUCAAGUAUUGCAAGUGGCAUAUUGCAACAUCACAUAGCACAACUGAGUGCAAAGUAUUCAGGCAGCAGCUGUAAUCGGCUAUAGAAUCUGGGAGAAUUAAAUUUGAUAAUUCCAAAACUCAGAAGCCGAUGAAGAUUGAUCAACAUCCUUUCCCCACAAACAUGUUGGAUGCCAAUGGUAAGACCAAGGUCUUGACGUUAGAAGCCGCUAAAAGACGUGCAUCGGUUGAUCCCGAGCAUCAGAUAACUACCGAUGAUGCCAAGGGCAAAGGUUUGAUUUAGGAGGGUAGCAGCUCUGGGAGACCUCCUCGAUCUGGCAUUGUGAUCACUCAUAGAAGACAUUGGGAAACAUGGCAGCAACGUGAAGAUCGGUACCGCCGUCAGCAAGAGGAUCGACGCCGAGAAGAAGAAAGACGACGACAAGAGUGGAAUUGGUACAAAGAUCACUGGAAUUGCCCCCUUCUUUAUUCAUUGUUGGGAGCAAAACAUCAAGUUACCAAGUGUUAGAGACUGCCCAGAAUACAAUGGUUAUAGUCAGUAUGAUCGGCCAGAUCGACGAUUCAAAAAUGAUGACUGACGCUUUAAUGAGCCGAUCAGGAGAAGAAUGUCAGUUCAUGAUCGGCUGGGGGGCAGACUUAUCGUGCAUGACAGGCUUGGUGGACGUGUUGGGCAUUUUUCGAGGAACCAAGAGGAGCUUGAAGAAAUAGCAAAUGCCCGGGUUCCCGAUGAAUUUAUUUUUUGCAGGGACACCAAUACUCAUUGGGUGGAAUCAAGGGAAGUUCGCCAUCAGCCAGUACAGAGGACACAACUUCCCUAAUGGUGUCCAGAAGGAUUGACAAGGACAUAGAAAAGGAGGAUGCAGCGAGAACAGCAAGAAGAAUUGGAUAGGGAAGAAAAUUCCUCUAAGUCUAAGAAUCGGCAGCAAUCGGAUCACAAAGGAAAAGGACCAUCGGGAGAUGUUAACAUGGUAUUUAUGUUGCCGAUGGAGUUUCUUGCACCCUUUAGUGAUGAUGAAGAAAUAGACUUCCCUGGACAGAUAGCUCAGUUAGCACUUGAUCCAAUGACAGCCAUGUUUGAGAAGCCUUCCAACGAUGAAAGGCAGCAUCUUAAAGCUUUGUUCGUCAAAGGCAGGGUUGACAGGCAGCCGAUGUCCAAGAUACUCAUUGAUGGGGGAGCUGCUAUCAAUAUUAUGCCUUACACAGUCUAUCGAAAGCUUCGCAAAGGAGAUCAAGAUUUGACCAGAACUGACCAUCGGCAGCAAGACUUUGCUCAUGACUUUCUUUGUCAUCAGUGGAAAAGGUGCAUACAAUUUAUUACUAGGGAGGGAAUGGAUUCAUGCCAAUUGUUGUAUUCCUUCUACAAUGCACCAGUGUCUUGUUCAGUGGGUAGGUGACAAGAUUGAAAUUGUCCCCAGAGAUUCUUCAUAUAUCAUUGCGUCGGUAGAAUCAGAUACUUAUGAGAGGACCAGAUGCAUUUCAGGGGAAGUUUAGGAGAAAGAUUUUCUCAAAGUUGCCGAUUAUGAAAUUCCACCGAUCCAAGCAGUCGGUUCUCAUGAAGAAUUUUAAUGGAUAGGUUCGCCGAUGAUGGAAAGUUAGGACAGGGGUUUACAUCGGCUGAUGAUCUAGUAGAAGUAGAUAUAGGUAAUGGCGAUAAGCCAAGACCUACUUUUAUUAGUGCUAAGUUAGACUCUGAGUGUAAGCAGCAAUUAACCAAUUUGUUAAAGGAAUAUAAAAAUUUCUUUGCUUGAGAUUAUACCGAGAUGCCUGGUUUAGACCGAUCAAUUGUUGAACAUCGGUUGCCUAUUAAGUCUGGGUUUCAGCCGCAUAAGCAACCAACACGCCGAUGCAAUCCUAAUAUUCUCCCUGAUAUUAAGGCCAAAAUAAUCAAACUUAUUGAAGCUAAAUUUAUUCGGCAAUAUUGGUAUGCCGAAUGGAUUUCUCCCUGUUUAUAAGAAGAAUGGAAAGCUCCGUGUUUGCAUUGAUUUUAGGAAUCUUAAUGUCACACUCAUAUUUUAAGAACAAAAUAGGAUGCAUAAAAGACUCAUAUGUGCCCCAAAAACAGUCGCACACGUAAGUAGACAAAUCUCAAAUGUACCAUUACAGUGUUUAUUACAUAGCGAAACAAUAAUAAAUCACAUAGUCUUAUACAUAAAUGAUAACAUGAAGUAAACAACGCUCUCGAUGGAAGCACCACACAGGGACACUGUUGACUGGUUGACUCCAAACAUAGUACUCAUAACGGUAAUCCUCAUUCCAGUCAUCUUCAUUAUCAUAUCCGGAGGUGUUGGGAAAUUGCAAGAGUGAGCACAUAUCGUACUCAACAAGUAUAACCAGGGGUUCAUGAGGCUCAAAUAGCUGACACUGGUUUGACUGCAUUUAGCUUUUAAUGGUGGAUAGCAUAUUCAUAAUUAAAUAGCAAAUGUCAAGGUAGCAUAAAUAACCCAUUAAUCACAUGAUCAAGUGUAAGCAUAAUUAAUUCAAAGCAUAAACGAUAACCAAAUGAACAUAAUAACAUAACAAGCUCAUCAUCUUAAUGUAGAUGUCCCCAAGGCCGCUCCUGACCGUGAGCUCGGCUAGUAUACCAGUUUUACACUCUGCAGAGGUUGUACAUCUUUACCCACGAGUCAUGAUUUACCCUUUCGCCUAACGUAGCUAAUCUCUUAACCCCCUUCCCAGGGAGGUCGCCAGGGAUCACUAUGAAGCCUUUCAAGAGUUCGUCUAACAUGUUAGGGCCGUAAGGUUUCCUUUGCGAGCAGAUAUAGAUACCCCCCUUCCGAAUGGCACAAUGACGUGCAGCCUAUACACAUAGGGACAGGGGCUCGCACUAUACCCGUGUCGGUUCAGCCCCUCCGCCCUUUCGGGUAACCUCUAACAAGCUAGAAAAGGUCUCCAUACUGAGCUAAAGCCAGAGCCAUUAUAGCCCUCAUAGUUGCACUGUUAUCCCGGGUGAUCACGUACAGACAAGAUCUCAUACAGUUAUUUGUCAUUCUUUUAUGUUCAUUGCAUAGCUAUUAAUCAUCUUACAAGAUCAUGGAUUAUAUCAAGCACUAGCACAUCUACACCAAAUGCAUAUCAAGUAGGUAGCAAGGAAUACAGGUAACAAUCAUCUAUGAUUUUGCUAAGGUCGACAAGGUGAUAGCAUGCAUAAGAUAUAUAUGUGUAGUUAUAAGUGAAUAGGUUACAAGGAUAAUCCCAAGUUAUACUUGCCUUGCUCAAAGCUCUCCUGUGCCUGUUGGUCUUCAAAAGCUUGGUCUUGAUCACCAACGUACGACUCACCGUCUAUUCCCAAUCAUCAAUCAACAACACGCAAUCCAAUGUAGACAAUCAUACACAAAGCAAACAAGCUAUAAUUAGAACAUUACACCAACAGUGAGAAAUCAAAGAUAAAAGUUUAUUAAAAUAUUCUACGCAGCGCUACGAUCACACGAACAUAAAGUUCACGAAAAUCGGAAUUAAAACGUGAAAGAUAUGAAUUUUCUUAGAUUUCCUAUAGAGAAAUAAUUAAUUAAAUAGUACCAGGAAAUUAAAAAGUUUCAAAACAGUAAACUAAUAUUUCUAACAUGUAGAGCAUGUAAAUACAGAUCUAACAAAAUUUGAAUGGACAAAAACAGAGUUAAAAUGAGUAUUUUAUAAACAAAACAAAAUCAGUGGCAUUUCUGAAAAUAUGAGAAAACGUAUUUUGAUUCCAAACGGCCAGGAAUACGCGUUCGGAAAGUAGAAAACGUAAAGUUGGGAGUACACAAAGGACGGCGGGUUUAGCCAUCCGAUCUCCCUCCAACGGCUCAAGGCGCACGCGGGGGAAGGCAGGCGGCGGCCGGCCGGCCGGAUUGGCCUCCGGCACGGUGGUGCCAUGGUCGGAGCCACAAAGCUCACCGGCGUCGUCCGUUUUCGCGAUGCCGUGUACCAAAAACCAAGCCGAGGACACCGGGAGAUGGAGAAGAAUGUCGCGAGCUCACCGAGAAUGGUUGUUUAAGCCGAAGAGGAGCAGGAGAGGCGCGUCACGGCGGCGGCUUUGCUCCCAACUCGGCGAGAUCUGUUUAGAGCUGCAGCAGGUUCUAGGGCUCAGCUAUUGCGGCGAAAACGGAAGGAGAACGCGCGGGGUCGGUGCUAGAGCUUUAUAGGGCCUCGAGUAAUCGAUUUGGCAAGAAACCCCAGCUUCCCCGUGAUUGGAUUCGAUCAGAGAUAGAAACCUGCUCGGUUUCGACGUGGAGAAGAAGAAUAGGGCGCUGCCACGCAGGCCCGGGGUGUCAGCGGGAGGAAGAGGGAGAGGGGAGGGAAAGGCGCCUGCGCUGCUCGGCCGCAGCAAAUUGGGCCGGGGCGGGGGAAAGCUAGGUCGCGGGGAAAGAAACGGGGCUGGGCCGAGAGGGGAAGUACAAGGAGCUUCCUUUUUUUUCUUUUUAUUCUUUCCUUUUCCAUUUUAUGUUCUAAAGCUUUCUUUUGAAGAGAAUUUUUGAUGCAAUUAAAUUCAAACCAAAAGUCAACAACACAAAAUUGAAUAUGCUCCAGCAUGAAUGCAUAAACAUAUUUCUAUCCCUAUGUUGGUUUUAAGUUUGACAAAAAUUAUUUAUUUACUAGAUUAAAUGCCCACCAAAAAUGCUUAAUUAAAUCAAAUUAAAUCCUAUUAAUUAAAAGUCAGAUUUUGGGUGUUACACUUAAUAAAGCUACGCCGAUGGAUGGUUAUACCAUGCCAAUUGCCGAUUUAUUGAUUGAUGCUGCGGCUGGACAUCAAAUUAUUAGCUUCAUGGAUGGCAAUGCAGUACAAUAAAAUAUUCAUGGCUGAAGAAGAUAUUCCCAAGACUACGUUUAGAUGUCCUGGUCAUGUUGGAUUGUUUGAGUGGAUAGUCAUGACUUUUGGCUUGAAAAAUACUGGUGCCACUUAUCAGAGGGCCAUGAAUUUUAUUUUCCACGAAUUCAUCGGCAAAUUGGUAGAAAUCUAUAUUGAUGACGUGGUGGUCAAGUCUGGAGAUUUCAUAAAACAUCUAGCCGAUCUACGAAAAGUAUUGGAGUGCACAAGGAAACAUCGCUUGAAGAUGAAUUCUAAUAAAUGUGCUUUCAUUGUAUCGGCAGGACAGUUUCUUGGUUUCAUGGUGCAUCAAAGGGGAAUUGAAAUUAGUAGGAGAUCCAUUGAUGCCAUCAACAAAAUAGUUGCUCCCACCAAUAAAACUAAACUUCAAUCAUUGAUCGGUAAGACUAAUUUUAUCAAACGAUUUAUAUGUAAUUUGUCGGGUAAGAUUCGUGCUUUCAGCCCUUUGCUUAAGUUAAAAGCCGAUCAAGAAUUUGUGUGAGGAAAGGAGCAACAAUUAGCAUCGGAUGAAAUCAAGAAUUAUUGGACAAAUCUUCCAGUUUUGGUUCCACCUCAACAAGGAAAGCCCUUUAGGUUAUAUUUGUCUACCGAUGAUAUGGUCAUCGGAUCAUGUCGGUGUUUUCCCCCUGGGGGGUCACACCAACAAGUAAUUUGUAUGCGUGCUCCCUUUCUCAGAUGGUGAUGCAAGAAGACACUGAGAUUUAUCCUAGUUCGGGCAAGAGAAGGCCCUACAUCCAGUGGGGGAGGGAAGUUUGUAUUAUCUUGCACCGAAGUGCUUGUACAGGGGCGAAUACAAGCGUGGUAUGAAGUGUGUAAGUUCUACUACUUAUGAGCGUGGUGUUGUCUCUCUCCUAUCUAUUCCCAGGUUCUCCCUUUUAUAGCACCAAGGUGAGACCCAGGGUACAUGUAUAGGUGUCAGAGUAGGGGUCGAUAGGACCAUGGCGCGCUGACCUAGUCGAGGCUUCCGUACCGGCGUGGCCUCGAGCCGUCACAUAUCGAUAGCCUGGUGAUGAUUGCGCGUGCCCCUGUAUCCCGCUCCGCGCGCCGUCUUGGGCUGGUUCACCUGUUGCACGCCUGUACGAUAUGGCGGCAAACCCGUCGGAGCGGUGGCAGUGUUGUCAGUCGACGCCCAUCUCGUCCCCAGGAAGUAGCUACAUCUGGUCGAGGGUCGGACGCCGUGUAAUGCCCUGAUGUCCGAAGCGCUGACCUUGGUUGUCUCGAGGGGGUUCCGAUUGGACGUCCCAUCCUUGUUUCCCGCGUCCUGACACGCUCUGGGUCGUUUGGUGGGGAAGGCUGCAAAAAGAACGAUGGGACGGGUGCCUGUUUCCUAUCACGCCUCCCGUGACCAGUGUGUUAGGUGGGAAUACGGCGGGCGCAUUAAAUGUCCUGGCUCUUGUGCGCGCGUCAGGCGGCGGACAGUGUCCUUGCGCUCGACGUGUCUCGAUUCGCUCGGGCCCGUUUCCAUAUUCGACGAUAGCUGGCGCUCGACCCUUGAUCGAUUCGCUCGACGCCAUUUCCGUCUUCGAGGCUGCGGUCGUUGAUGGCUGCGCAUAUGUAUGAUCAGAGCGUCGAGUUGAGGGCCUCGACCUACGUACGGAUAAUCUCGUUAUGUGCAUCGGUGAGGGUACCCUUUAUUGACACCCUCGACAGUAGCCCCCGAGUCUUCAUUUGAGCGCUGGCGCUCGAGUGGAGGCUGUAUUCUUGGGUCGAGUUUCCGUGGGGGCGCGCGAGCGACCCCGCGGGGGUAGCCCCCGAGCCCUUGAAGGAGUUUUUUGACUCCUUCGAGGGUUAUAUUGCCUAGUUCGCAGAAACGCUAUCGACAUCAGUGGUGGUAGGUUCUGAUCGGCUCGUUUUGCGCGGAGGUUUCGACAUACUCUCGAUAGAGCGAGCGUCUCUCCCCCCAGAUUGAGUUCCUAGCGGGUAGUCCAAGUGAGAACCUAUGCCCCUUUCGAGGGGGUCAGCUGUAGCCCGGAGGCGUUCUCAUGAAGCAAGGUCGACGUGGUUGGGGAUACUGGUCUCAUUCGAUAGAGUCCAGCGGCGCGAUGCCUCCCGUCGGAGGGAUUCCUCUCGACUGUCUCGACCCUACCUUGGACAUCGCCAGUGAGUCUUCGAGGCGGGCCUCGAUCUCUGACCGCUCGCUAGGGAUCCCUGACUCUGGAGCUCGAGAUCGGCUGUCGAACCCUUUCGGUGGGCCAGCCUGCGACCUCUCGAGGCUUUCGCGGAUACGCCCCUUGGCUUACAAGGGAAGGAAGAGGCCGUGGCGGUUCGCCUUUCUGCUCGUUGGGCGCGCCUUUUGAGGCGGGUGACGUUACGACACUGCGUCGGCGUGGAAUUCGGAGCGUCCCAUCUGUGAAGAGGGGAAGGACUGUUAGAUGGUGCAUUUAUGGGGGGAGUUACCUUUUUUAUCGGAUCUGCCCGUUGGUGGACUGCUGCCUAUAAAUGUGUCCUGGCGUCGCCGCUGUUCUCCCUUCUGCUUCCCGUCUUCAUUCUCGCCUUAGCCCUUUCGCUGCCUUAGUUCCCUUGCCAUCCCACACGCGUGUGCCCCCUCGAGUAGUAGCGGAUCCGCCAUCCUUUCGGCAAGGAUGCCUGUGAGGCUUGUCGCCGCUGACGACUGGCGCCCGUCGUCGAUGAUAGAGCGCCGGCUGCAGGAGCUUGAGAGGGAGGGACUCCUGCGCCGCCGCACCUCGCUGUCGUCACCGUAGUGGAUCGCGCCGGCGGCGGACCACAGGGAGCCCAGGCCGCCUUAGGGCUAUGUGGUUUCGUUCGCCAAGUUCCACCGCCACGGGCUGGGCGCUCCCCCGAGCCGCUUCAUGCGGGCACUCUGCCAACACUACGGGGUGGAGCUUCAGCACUUCUCCCCAAACGCCAUCACCGUCGCGGCGGUCUUCGCCGCGGUGUGUGAGGGCUAUUUGGGGAUGAUGCCCCACUGGGAGCUGUGGCUCCACCUGUACAGGGGCGAGCUCUUCAACGCCCCUACUGGGACCACCGGCGUGAGCAAGCCGGUGCGGGCGGGCUGCCUCAACCUCGUGCUGAAGACGGGGAAGACGGAGAGGCCACGCGAGUACAUCCCAGUGGGGCUGUCGACCAACCACGCCGGCUGGGACUCCCAGUGGUUUUACUUGUGAAACGACGACGACCUCCUGCCCGCCUACACCGGACGUCUGAUCACGGAGCGUCCGGAAAAUUGGACGUACGGCGUCGUCGUUGCUCACCAAUCUCGGCUCGACCCCCUCCUCGAUGUCAUGAAGAAGCUACGCUCAGAGGGUUUGACCGCCGCUCUCGUUCUCUCAGCCGUCCAUCAUCGAAGGGUUCUCCCCUUGAUGUCUCGCCCGCUGAGGAUGGACGAGAUGGGCCCAGGUGUCUCGUCCCGGGACCUCGAGGCAUGCCGGAUGUCAAGCGUGGCUCCAGCGAACGAUGAAGUAGCGGCCCGGGUCAGGGCCGCCAUUGCUGGCGACUUCAAGCCGGAGCACGUUAACGGAUUCCCCAUGAGGCCAGAUGCGGGCUCGAUCGAUCUGGUAUGCUUUCUUUUCGUGCGCAGCUUCGAUUCUGGAUUUCUUUUCUUUUUUCUAAGUCCACCUUUGUUCUGGCAGGGACGGAUUGACGUCCGGUCCUCGAGGCCUCCAGUAAAGGAGGACGAGGUUGAUUGUGACGCGCGGCGCCGGUCCGCCGAGAAGCAGAAGUCCGCCAAGGACUCUGCGAAGAAAGGGGAGAAAAAGAAGAACCUCGAUCGCCAAGCUUUAGAGGCGUGUCGGGCUAAAUCCUGGCAGAGGAGGGAGCCUGAGGAAGAGUCCCCCAGCGACGAUGAUGGUGGGGAUGAAGACAGCGACGACUCUGAGGGGAUGGCCUCUUGCCUCGACCGGAUCCUCGAGGGUCCGCCUCGAGGCGACGUCGACGCCCCACGGAUAGAAACGCCGAUGGAACGUCCAAGCGGAUCUCACCGCCCCCAUGCCGAUACCCCUCCCGUGCCCGCGAUAGUCCAGACCGCCCCGCGCCCUCCCCCGGUGCCGAAGGCGGGUAGCCAUGCUAAGCCCCAGGCGACGGGGCCGCUGACCCGUGGUCGCGCCGCGGCCUCCGAGAAGGGCGAGACUGGCCGCAGAAGCGUCAGUCCCGGGGCCCGCCUGGCGGAAGGUGCCGAGCCAAGGCCAGCGCCUGCCCUCGAGGAGCCCAAGAUCUUGACACGGGGUGGGUCGAGACCCACCGGUCGGGGCACUGGCAGGCGAGUAGUCGUCCCCGUCGGGUUAGCUCUUCGAUGGUGUGACUUUUGUUCUGCGCCUCCUUGUUUACCAGUCUUUUUACGCUGGUUCUUUUUGUUUUAGAUUAAAGCGGACACUUGAACAAGCUCAGCCUUCGAUGGCGAAGAGGCUCAAAGCGGGGGCAUCCUCCAAGGAGCCAGGUUUGUGGCUUACUUUUGGGACUUGUGAUGUUCUUAUGUUGGGCAUUAUAGUGACCGGCCUCUAUUCUUUGUUUUGCAGCUUCCUCCGACUCUCGACCUCCGGUAGACGACGAGAGUGCUCCGCCUCAUCCCGAGCCUACCCCAAUGCCGUCGACGCGUGACGAGGCACCCCAGACUCAGGGGCAAGAAGGAGCCCCCGAGCCUCCUCAACCGGGGGUCGAGGCGGACCCAAUCUCCAUCAGCGACACGUCUGGUGGAAUCGAGGCGUCAGGGGAUGCCCGCCCUAUGGAGGAGGAAGCGUCGACUUCCCUCAUCGCGGGUCGGACUCCCUGGCCCGCUGGCCUUCGAGCUCUUGAGGAGCAGAAAAGGAAAGAGGAGGAGGAGGAAGAGCGGGAGCGCGAGGCAAUGGGGCAGCCGCAGGACCAGCACCUCUUGACGAGACCACCGUGAUGGGGUGGCCGAGAAAGUAGUGCUGCAGCUUGCGGCGGGCGAGGAUUACGGCGUAGAUCAGCUUCUGGAUUUGGGGGUAGCGUACCUUGGUCUUCGAAAGCACCUCGCUGAUGAAAUAGACCGGCCUCUGGACUGGCAGCGCGUGCCCUUCUUCCUGCCUCUCGACCACCACCGCUGCACCGACAACCUGGGUCGUCGAGGCAACGUAAAGGAGUAGUGGUUCCGUAGGUUGUGGUGGGACCAAGACUGGUGCUGAGGUCAGUGUUUUCUUCAGGUUUUCGAGGGCUUCCUCGGCCUCGGGGGUCCAAGAAAAAUGCUCGACCUUCUUCAGAAGCCGAUACAGCGGUAACGCCUUUUCUCCUAGUCUCGAGAUGAAACGGCUCAGAGCCGCCAGGCAUCCCGUGAAUCCUUGCACACCCUUGAUGUCUCGGAUCGGCCCCAUUCUUGUGAUGGCCGAGACUUUCUCGGGGUUGGCCUCGAUGCCGCGCUGGGAAACAAUGUAACCCAAGAGCAUGCCUCGAGGCACGCCAAAGACGCAUUUCUCGGGAUUGAGCUUGAUCUGGUUGGUGCGUAAGCAGCUAAAAGCAAUCUCGAGGUCCUGGAUCAGGUCUCCUUGCCACUUUGAUUUGACGACAAUGUCGUCGACAUAAGCCUCGACCGUCGACCCUAUGUGUUUGCCAAAUACGUGGAGCAUGCAGCGUUGGUACGUGGCUCCCGCGUUUCGAAGCCGAAACGGCAUGGUUACAUAGCAAUACAUCCCAAAAGGUGUGAUGAAAGAGGUCGCGAGCUGGUCGGACUCUUUCAUUUUUAUUUGAUGAUAACCAGAAUAUGCAUCAAGGAAAGAAAGGGUUUCACAUCCCACAGUGGAGUCGACAAUCUGAUCAAUACGUGGUAAUGGAAAGGGAACUUUCGGACAUGCUUUAUUUAGACUUGUAUAAUCGACACACAUCCUCAUUUUCCCAUUCUUUUUCUUAACUAAUAUAGGGUUUGCUAACCAGUCUGGAUGAUGAACCUCCUUGAUGAAUCCGGCCGUCAAAAGCUUGUGGAUCUCCUCGCCAAUGAUCUUGCGCUUCUCCUCGUCGAAUCGGCGCAACCGCUGCUUCACUGGCUUGGAACCGGCUCGAACCUCCAAGGAGUGCUCGGCGACUUCCCUUGGUAUGCCUGGCAUGUCCGAGGGACUCCAUGCAAACAUGUCGGCGUUCGCACAGAGAAAGUCGACGAGCACAGCUUCCUAUUUGGGGUCGAGGUCGGCGCUGAUCGUCAGCACCUUGCCAUCGGAGUUGUUGGGGUCGAGCGGGAUCUUCUUGGUUCCCUCCGCUGGCUCGAAGUUGCCCGUGUGGCGUUUGGGCUCUGGAGAUUCAGCGGCCAGGGUUCUCGACCACCUCCCCAUACUCGACGCACUCAACGUCGCACUCGUAAGCGUGCUCAAAGGAGGAGCUGACAGUGAUGACGCCUCUAGGACCGGGCAUCUUCAGCUUCAAGUAGGUGUAGUUGGGUAUGACCAUGAACUUGGUGUAGCCCGGGCGCCCGAUGAUGGCGUGGUACGUGCCUCGGAACCCGACCACCUCAAAGGUGAGGGUCUCCUUCCUGAAGUUGGCCGCCAUGCCAAAGCAGACCGGUAGGUCGAUUCGACCUACUGGUAGCGCCUUUUUCCCUGGCACGACGCCAUGGAAACCGCCGGCACUUGGCUGGAGCCGUCCCCUACCGAUGCCAAGGAGGUCGAGGGUCUCGAGGUAGAUGAUGUUGAGGCUGCUGCCUCCGUCCAUUAGCACCUUUGAGAGCCGGGUGUUGACGAUGAUGGGGUCGACGACGAGCGGGUAGACGCCCGGGGCGACUACCUUGUCGGGGUGGUCCUCUCGAUCGAAGGUUAUGGGAGUGCUCGACCAGCUGAGGUACUGGGGCACCGCCAUUCUUGCCGCAAAGACCUCACGACGUUCCCUUUUGCGUUGUCUCGUGGUCAACUGUGUCGAAGGCCCAGCAUAGAUCAUGUAGCAAUCGUGGACGGUGGGGAAGCCGUCGUCAUCUUUGUUGUCCUCCUUGUUGCCGCCCUUCUCUUUCUUGGAGUCGUCGCGCGCGUCCUUUUUGAACCCUAGACCGUCGAAGUGCUUUCUCAGCAUACGACAGUCCUUGAGCUUGUGGUUGGCGCCUCCCUUAUGGUAGGGGCAUGGUUCCUCUAGCAUCUUAUCGAAGAUACCUCCAUCUGGGGGGCCUUGAGGCUUCUUGCGCUCCAUGGCGGCGACAAGGUUGUCGUCGAAAUCUUCCCACUGGAAUUGCUGCGCUUUCUGCUUCUUCUUGUUCUUCUUGAGCCCUCGACUGGGGGUUCCAUCUUCAUCGACGGGCCGCUUGCCUUUCCCUCCUUCACAACUGAAGAAGGCGCCGACUGCCUCCUCCCCUGCUGCAUAGUUCGCCACUACGUCCAUCAGCUCAUCGACGGUCUGAGGGCGAUUUCGGCCCAAUUCCCACACUAAGUCUCGACUGGUGGUACCAGAGACAAAAGCCAGGAUGACGUCAUGGUCAGGGAUGUGUGGCAGCUCAGUGCGCUGCUUCGAGAAGCGUCGAGCAUACUCUCGAAGAGUUUCUCCUGACUUCUGCUUGCAUUUCCUGAGGUCCUACGAGUUCCCGGGCCGUAUGUAGAUCCCUUUGAAAUUUCCCUCGAAGACUUUAACCAAAUUGACCCAGUCGUGGAUCUGAUUUGCUGGAAGUUCCUUGAGCCAUCGACGGGCGGUGUCGGAGAGGAAGAGGGGUAGCUGUCUGAUGAUCGCUCGAUCAUCCCCUCGAGCGCCACCUAGCUGACAGGCCAACCUAAAAUUGGCCAGCCACAAUUCUGAUUUGGUCUCACCAUUGUAUUUCGCGAUGCUGGUCGGGGGUCGGAAUGGACUGGGCAGGGGCAUGCUGCGGAUUGCCCUGCUGAACACCCGUGGGCCUGGUGGCUCGGGGGCCACACGGUCCUCGACGCUAUCGUACCUCCCACCGCGAUGUGCACUGUAACCGCGCUCUUCCGCGUCUCCGGGCCGGCGGCGUCGAUUCUCUUCGAUGUCAUGUCGCGCGUCGUGUCGACGCUGAUUGUCGACGGGGAGGACGAGAGUGGUCUUUCUUCCUCGGGGGGGCGGCUGUUGAUGGACUGACACUUCCUUUUCAUUUUGGGGUGGCUCGUCGCACUUUUCAAUGGCAGCUCCUCGCUGUCGAGAAGCUGUGCUUUCGGCUUGUUGAACUGCCGCGACCUAGAGCAGAGUCUGCACCUUGUCUCGAAUGCGCGGAGCCUGGGAGUUUGAUGGUUCUGGCAUGUUGCGUAGUAGCAUCGUCGCCGCUACUACAUUGUGGCCCGCUUGAGGGAAACGGCUGACGGGCUGCUCUGGCUCUGCGUCUCCGACGAUUUGUCGAUGUACCUCUCGAGCGCGUCUGCGUACACUUCCGCCUGGCGGGUAGGGUAGGUCUUGCUCAAGGAUUUGCUCGAGCAGGACGAGGCGCUCACAGUCUUCGUCGAGCUUCAUCUUGAGCUCCCGUAGCUGUGCAAGCUGCGUAGCCCUGACUUCCUGUGGAGGGGGGUCGACCUGUCCGUCGUUCCCAGGCGUCCUGGGGUCUUCCCGUGCUGCAGGGGCUCGACCGCCCGCAGCAGCAUCAUGCGUCUCGUCGGUAGUCUCUACCGCCCCGUCGAUGUGAUAGCAUUCCCUCGUAGGGUCGUAGCUAUCAGUCUCGGAGUCGGAGUCCGGCUCGGUGGCGUGGAAACAUCCACGUCCCUCCUCCAGCAGCCAUUGCCUGAGUGAGGUGAUCGUGUAUCACCCGCGGCCUAGGCGGCGGAGGCCUCGCACCUGGGAUAAAUCCGGCAGUUCGGACGUCGGCUGUAGUGCUUCAGAAUCACGUGGUAGGACCAUUGGUCUCUCCACGUACGUCUGGGCAUUUGGGCAUAUUCCCCUGGCGAGUGUAACAUCCCUGAUGUUACGGUUACUAAAAAUGGAUCAUGUCAUCAUGAGCAUUGCAAAUCAUAUUUGUUAAAGCACAUUAGUAUGCAUCAACUUAAAACAAGUUUAUUUUUAUUGCUUGAGCUUAGGGAGGUAGAGUGUGUUUAUGUGGGAUGUUGAUGCUUGUGUGGUUGCUAAAAACCCUAGGGUGGAAAUUUUCCGAAAAGCUAAGGGGGGGAAACCCUGAUUUCUGGAUCCUAGAUUUGUCCCCUUUUUGCAUAAGUCAAAAACUAAGCAAAAUUUGAGGUUGAGUUCAAAAGCAAAGUUGUAGCUCUUGGCAAGAUGUACAACUUUGGUGUUUUGAGUUUUUGAAGUUUCAAUACAAAACUCAAAGUAAUUUUGAAAACACAGAUUUCCAGAAAGUGUCCCCUUUUCCAACUUAAACCCCCAAUUCAAAAUCCAUUUGGAAUUUUGAAAAGUGCUCAACAUGAAAGUUGUAGAGCACAAAAAAUUGAGCAACUUUCAUGUUGGGAGUUUUUCAAGUUGUUAUACCAAAUUAAAAGUAAUUCUGGAAAUCAUGAUUUGCCCCAAUUCAAAAAUUUGAAUUUCUUUUGAAUUGAGUUUGAUUUUCAAACUGUUUGGAAAAAUUUCCCUUUUUCCAUUGAGAAUCAGCUUGGGACACCUAAAUAUGAUUUGUAGCUUACAAAAUUUGGCACAACUUUUGUUUUGGUGGAAAUUUGACUUUAGUUCAAAUUUUGGUCGGAUUUCGCAAAAAGACAGACUGUAUGGAUGUGGCCUGCUACAGUGUUUGGCAGGGGGGGGGUGCUCUGCCGCCGCGGCAGAGCCGCCUCCGCGCGCGACGCCACGCAGCUGGCCACGCAGCUGCUUGCUGCUGUGCUUCGCGCGGACGGCCUCAUCCACAUCCCCUGUUCCGCCGCUUGGAUAAAGCCUCGGACGGCCGGAGUGCUUCUUUUUCUUCCUUUGAACCUCACCGCCGACCACCACCAUCCGCGGCCAAAAUUCGUCCUCUCCGUUGCCUUUCCACGCGAUUUGAGCACCCCAGCGACUCCGCCUUGAGCUCCGCCACCGGUUGCGCCCCCAAGCGCAAGCACUAACCCACCAGAGCCCUUUCCCGAGCCGCUCUUCUCCAGCUCCGGCCAAAGCGCCGCCGCAAGCAUCCCACCGUGGCCAGCAUCGCUCAAAGCCUCUCCGCGGCUGUUUGUUGCUCGGUUGAAGUCGUGGUGAGCCUCUGUCGCUUUUGCGCUACUCUCUUCGCGCUCUACUCAAGCGUAGUGGCCGGUGUUUGCCCGGCCGAGGCGGCCGUCCGCCGUGUCCGUGGUCGCGGGGGUUAGGGGAGGAGAAAGGGGCUGAGAAGGGUAUCCAGAGGUGCGCCUUGGAAUGGAGAACGCGACCAGCAGGUCACGAGAAGCAGAGGAGGCACGGAUGGCUCGGUCGCGCCAUCGAUUCGGCCGGCCGGAGGUUGAAGACGGAGCUGACAGCGAGGGCCCGCUGUCAGCGACGUCCUGAGGGGAGGCGAGGGCGCGAGCGCGCGCAGCGCGGGUGCGGGCCGAGCGCGUGUGGGCCGGCCUGCGGCCCAGUUUCCAGGCCGCCCGCUGCGCUGUUUUUUUUUUCUUUUUCCUUUUUGAUUAAAAUUGCUUGAUGUUUGAAUUUAUGUUAUAAAUUUUGUAGUGAUCCAAAAAUGAUGAAAAAUUUUGUAUAAAUUCCCUGAAAUAGUUAGAACCCAAGAAAAAUAUUAGGCUCUGUUUUCUGAUAAUUUGCCAGGAUAUGAAAAUUGGCUCUUUUAAUUACCAAAUAAAGCUUUGAUGAAUUUUAAUAAUUUAUUAGUAUGUCCAAAAAUCACCAAAAAUUGUGGGGAGCCUCUGAAUAUUAUUCCCUGGCUCCACCCAAAAUUUGGUGGCAUUUGGAUAAUGUUUGUUUAAAAUAUUAAUAAACCCUUAUUUAACACUUAAAUAAUAAUUCCAAAAUAAUUAAAUAGUGAUUAUUUAGAUCCUCAUAAUUAGGGUUGAGUGAUUUUGGAUUGUGUGAUGACCUGAGGUCAUUAACCCUAAUGACCUUUGGCAUUUAAUUGUUGUUUAGCCCUAAUGCUUAAUUACUGUCAUUAGUAAUUAAUUAAGAGUUAAUUAAGGUAAUUAGGAUUAAUAAUUAACUAAUUUAAGAUAAGUAUGAAUUAAAUAAAGUCUUAGUUUACAGAUGCAACCUCUUGGGUAAAACCAUUAAGUUAUUAAGCAACUUUAUUUAGCGAUAAUUCUGUAUUGCAUCAAGAAGGCGAGUUGUACUCGAUUUGGUCCUUCUUGCAUAUUUGUCAUACGCAUAUCAUGAGCAUUCAUCAUUUUGCGUAUAGUGUCCGUGACCGAAGGAGCGCCCGUUGAACCGAACCCCGAGGUCGGUGCUCCGUUCGAGGAAGUCGGAUCUGAGACUUGGGAAGUCUCCGAGGGUCCCUCUCUGCCCUGCAACCAAGGCAAGCCCCGGAUGCAUUAACCCCUCCUUGGAUGUUUUAAAUCUUUUGUCACUUAUGAAUUGAAAAUGCUGCAUUAGAUAGUUGAGAAUUGGGUUAACCUACUUGCUGCAUUUACUACCUUGAUAUCUAUAUCCUGUCCUUGACACCUGUUUUAUUUUAAAACUGCGUAGCGAUGCUUAGCCCUGCUACUAGAUAGGUUUUUAAACAAGAAAGUUUGAAGGGUUGUUGUGGGAUACACUUACGAUCAAUGAUGUUUCAAUUUGAGACCGGUCGGUGGACUUGCUCUAAGAAUGGAGUCUUAAAGUAGUGUCUCUGACUGUGUUGAUUAAGGACCGUUCCGUUGAUGGCCUGCUGGGUUGAGAAUUUAUAGUACUAGCCACUUGCCUUCGGUAAGCCCGGUCUUGUGAUCCCUCGACGCGAACAGCUACUCGCGCACUGGGAGUGGAAAGAUGGCGAGAGUAGUGUGUACCCACCUUACGGAUCUGAGAUGACCGGAAAACAUCUAGAUCGGCUGUAGGAUGGUGGAGUACUGUGCUCUCGGGUGCCGCGAACCUGGUCAAAUUUGGGGAGAGCUUGAUUUGGGUUGAUAUAUGCAAGAUUUGGUUCUACAUAUGUCGGGUGGUUAGGAACUCCAGCUGGAUUGCUAAGCGAUUCGAAUCGUCGUUGCUCCCCGAUUGGGAGACUCAAUUCCUUCGACCCUCAUCGUAGUUAAAUAUGUAACUAAGUGAUAAAAUGAGAAAGGGGAAAAUGUCUCAUGAGGUUCGGAUCCCAAUUCCUGGACUCAUAGCGACAUGAAGCUAUGGCCAUCGAUAACUAUUACUUUGUGAUAGGACUAGGAACUCACGGAUUCGUCUGUGAGGAACAACCAGUUAGACUGUCCUCGAACUCCUCGGCCUCUGCGAGGGAGGAAUUCGUGGGUAAAACUUGAAAAUAAGGAUGCACUACUAGUAAGCUUUUUACGCAAAACACUUUGGCUCCUUGCUCAGCCACCCCUUGUCUACCCUAAGCCUGCAUCCCUAAGUUCUCCUCUUUUCCCAUCGGGUAAGUCUUGUUGAGUACUCCCGUACUCAGGGUUUCAAUACCCCUGUUGCAGGUGAAGCUCAGGAGCCGACUUGUUUCGGACCCUGUUGUGUGACCGUCGUCGAGGUUGACGACGAAGAAGAGUGAGCGUGACCCAUGGGCAGGGUCUGUAAAUUUGUUCUAUCUGCAUUAAAGUUUCAGUUGCUCCGCUGGACCAGGCUUGUAAUAACACUCUACUAUUUGGAAGAACUCCUUUUGUAAAUUAAGUUAUGUAAUACUUCCGCUGUUUCACUCUGAAAUAUUAUUUUGGUCUUGUGUCGUUGAGUUACGGCUUUAUCUUCGCAACGAAUGAUCCUGGUGUUAAGGUGGCCACUUGCUAUCCUGUAAGGGCGAGAAGAAAUAGUUCUCGUCGUUCGACCAUUACCAGUGGUCAGGACGAGCCAGCUUGGUACGCCACAGGUAGCAGUGGAAUGAGCGCCCAGCAAUGCUCAUCGGACUUCUAAAGUGGGAGGACUCCCGGCAUCACCGUCAGAGGUCCUUAGGACAAUGGCAGGUGCCGGUGGGGCCCAAACACUUAGGAGGUUCUGCCACAGCUGGUAUCAGAGCAUUCGUUGCUAAGAUGACUGCUGUACCUAUUGAAAAAAAAAAUUUCAAAAAAAAAUUCGUUUGGAUCUACUACUAUGAACCUGCCUAUUUUGAGUCCAAGUGCUUAGUCCUAAUCUACCCCUGUCUAUAGGCUUUCUUAGAAUUUUUGAAGUGGUAUGGAGGAGCAACCUAAAGUAUUGCCCUAUGUUGUAAAAAAAAAUUUAAGGUAAUAUUGUUACGAAUUGUUAGUAGGAAUCGUAAGUUCGUGCAUGCAUCAUGAUGUAUUAACUGGUUAAGUUCCUUCCUCCUUGUUGGGUUGGGUGAAUAGAAUCAAUCCUAUUCUUGCUAACCUUUAAGGUCUCUCUUACUAAUCUAAACUUACCCUCUACAGGAUGGCUCGUCAGAAGCAGACCCUGCGUAAGCGGACCGGUCCAAAAGGAGUUCCCCGACAUCAGCUAGCUCCACGCAGUGAUCAAGCCAGUAGUAGCCGUUCACCGCCUCAGCAGGAGGUGGACAGGUUGUCCGCCGAGUUGACUGAGGUGAUGAGAGAGAGAAUGUACAAUAUUAUGGAGAUUGGCAAACUUAAAGUUCAACUGGCCAAAGAAAAACAAGCUACAGAAAACUGUGAAGCUAUGUUGUCCCGGAUGGUGGAGGAGCGGAAUGCAGCCAUUGCCCGAGAGGAAGAAGCUAGGAGCACCCAUAGGCAUGAGCUAACUAGGAUGAACGCAAAGUUGGGCAAGACAAGGUAUCUUAAGGAUUUGUAUGUGAAGAUGGCGGCCACGGUCACCGCACAACGGGAUGUCGCGUGGCAACGAGAGGACCAGCUCCAGCUGGAGAAACUGGAGCUGGCACAUCACUUAGAUACAGUCAAUGACCUGGCUAUGCAAUAUCGUGAUAUUGCAUUUGAUCUGUAUCGUCAACUCCACCCACCUCCCGGCGAAGGAGAAAUGGAUACGGAUGGCGAGCUGGCAGACGAUGGAGAACCCGAUCCAGGCCUCAGUGAUGAAGAGGAGUCCGACCCCGAUGAUCACAACCCAGGGGGUAAUCAAGAUGAUGGCAAUGACGACCCGGGCUACAGCUCUUGCCACACCGAUUAGUUCGGUGAAACCGAGGGCAACGUCGUUGUAGGGGUCUUAGCUUGCCGUAGUGGGGUUCGGGUUUGUAACAUAAGUUCUCUUUUGGUUUGAAAAGUUGUACUUGUUUACUCUUGGUGUGUCGAACUAAUGUUUAAUAAGUGAAUGAAAGAAUGUAAGAUAUGUUCUGUGUUAUGAAUUUUACGUGGUAACAGGUAUCUACGAUUCUUGUAACAGAUGCCGAUGCGUACUCGCGGAUCUGAUGGAGCUGGGACAUCCCAGGGAGGGGAUGAUAUCCCCAACCCUCCACCUGCUCCGCCUUCUUUGGCUGACGCCAUUGCUGUUUUGUUAAGUGCCACUACUGACAAUGCUCGCUUGCUGCGCGAGCUAGCACAGCGUCAACCACACCCUGCUCCAAACUUCAGGGCACCGCGCAACGGGGACGGAGAGACUCGGUAUGUGGACUUUACCGAAACCAGGCCCCCGGUGUUCACUAAGGCCGAUGAGCCUUUAGAAGCGGAUGACUGGCUCCGAACCAUGGAGCAUAAGUUCAGUUUGAUUCAGUGUUCAGAAACUCAGAAACCCUUAUUUGCAGCUCAGCAGCUUCGGGGAGCUGCAGGUGCCUGGUGGGAGAACUUCUUAGCUAUUCAAGCUCCCGGACACCAAGUCACUUGGACCGAAUUUAAGGACGCGUUCCGCGCCCACUACAUCCCCGAAGGGCUCAUGGCCAUGAAGGCCGAAGAGUUUCUCGCCUUGCAGCAAGGCGAUAAAAGUGUUAUGGAGUACGUGGCAAGGUUUAAUCAUCUCUCUCAAUAUGCCACGGAUCAUGUGAACACUGACAGAAAGAGGAAAGCCUGUUUCAUGCGUGGUCUAAAUACUAAACUUCAGACCAUGAUGACCACUUGCCAAAAUGCUACUUUCUAUGAGGCGGUAAAUAUUGCUAUCGCCUCAGAGGAAAAGAAUAGGAAACAUAAGGAAGCCAAGAAGAAGGCUGCUUCCUCUUCUUUCUCUGGUCGCGGUCAAAAGCGCCAGAGGAUCAUUUAUCAUCCACAGGGCCACGGACGUUUCCAAGCGCCGUCACCUUAUCGUGGUCCUUUCUCCCCUCCACAGUACAGACCCGGGCAGCAGGUAUAUUCUCGACCUACUGCCAUCGCUUUUGCACCACGCCAGCCGAACGCCCCGGGUGUUCGCCCUACUGCUCCGCCCAGCCACAAUUACCCUUGCUUCAAUUGUGGUAAACCUGGGCAUUUCUCUAAAGAGUGCCCUUUUCCCCGCCAAACCAACCCUACCUUUCCAAGGCCACCUAUGGGCCAACCCAGCCGGGUCAGUUCAGAACUGGGGUUCAAAAAGGGCAACAGGUACAGAAAGGUAGACCGGUAAAGAAGACAGGGCAAGUCUUCCAUACUGAAGUGGAGACAAUUCCAGAGGGUGAACCAGUGAUGAUGGGUACGUUUCCUGUUGCGAAGCAUCCUGCUUUAAUGCUCUUUGAUUCUGGUGCAUCCCAUACAUUCAUCAAUCGCACCUUUGUGUUAAAGCAUGGCAUACCCAUUGGGGAAACACAAGAUCAUUUUUAUAUACAGUCGCCAGGAGGACGGCUGAUGUCUAAAGAAAUGGUUCACCAAGUACCCAUCGAAUUUGGUGGGCACAAUUUUCCUACUAGCAUGAUUGUUCUUAAGGACCAAGAAAUUGAUGUCAUCUUAGGCAUGAACUGGAUGGCGCAACGAGGGGUUGUGCUAGACACUUUGCAUCGAACCAUUAAAAUCCCAUUGCCCAAUGAGAAUUCUUAUUUGCUAAUCCAAUUAGUUACUCCCAAACGGACAAUUGGGCAAGUUCAUGCCGCAAAUGUGUCUGAAGUCAAAGAUAUUCCGGUAGUUCGAGAUUUUCCGGAUGUAUUUCCUGAAGACUUACCAGGUCUGCCUCCGGACCGGGAUGUACAAUUCAGUAUAGAAUUGAAACCAGGAACGGCCCCAAUAUCUCGAAGGGCCUACAGAAUGGCACCGAAAGAGCUGGCCGAAUUAAAAACCCAAUUACAAGAGUUGUUGCAGAAGGGUUUUAUUCAGCCCAGUUCUUCUCCAUGGGGUUGCCCAGCCUUGUUUGUGAAAAAGAAAGAUCAGACAUUAAGGCUGUGUGUCGACUAUCGUCCUCUAAAUGAGGUAACGAUUAAGAACAAGUACCCAUUGCCCCGCAUUGACUUAUUGUUUGACCAGCUAGCUGGGGCCAAAGUGUUCUCAAAAAUUGAUUUGAGAUCAGGGUACCACCAAAUUAAAAUUAGGCCGGAAGAUGUGCCCAAGACCGCUUUCACAACCCGUUACGGGCUGUAUGAAUACUUGGUGAUGUCUUUUGGGUUGACUAACGCACCGGCCCAUUUCAUGUACCUGAUGAACUCUGUCUUCAUGCCAGAACUAGAUAAAUUUGUUGUUGUCUUUAUUGACGACAUUUUGAUUUACUCCAAGACUAAGAGAGAACAUGCUGAACACUUGAGAGUCGUGCUGACCCGUCUCAGGGAGCAUCAGCUAUAUGCCAAGUUCAGCAAAUGUGAGUUCUUGCUGGACAAAGUUCAUUUCCUGGGUCAUGUAUUAUCAGCGGAAGGAGUCGCUGUAGACCCAGGCAAGGUAGAAGAUGUGUUGAAUUGGAAACCCCCGACUACGGUACAUGAGGUCCGUAGUUUUCUGGGCAUGGCGGGAUAUUACCGUCGUUUCAUCCCGGACUUCUCCAGAGUCGCCAAACCAAUCACAACCUUGCUCAAAAGUCAAACAAAAUUUGUUUGGUCACCCCAAUGUGAGCAAGCCUUUCAGACUCUGAAAAGGUUGUUGACAACUGCACCUGUCUUAGCCCAGCCAGAUAUUGAAAAACCCUUUGAUGUAUAUUGUGACGCAUCAGGGAUCGGGUUAGGCUGUGUGCUGAUGCAGGAGGGUCGCGUAAUUGCAUUUGCUUCCAGACAACUCAAACCCCAUGAAGAGAAUUACCCGACCCAUGAUCUUGAACUAGCCGCCGUGGUACAUGCAUUAAAGAUCUGGCGUCAUUAUUUGUUGGGGAACACAUGUCAUUUAUAUACAGAUCACAAAAGCUUGAAGUAUAUCUUUACUCAAGCUGAGCUUAAUAUGCGCCAGCGAAGGUGGCUAGAACUAAUUAAAGAUUACGACCUUGAGGUGCAUUAUCACCCUGGCAAGGCAAAUGUAGUAGCGGAUGCCCUCAGUCAUAAGGCUCACUGUAAUUGCUUAACAGUGACGCCUAGGGAUAUAACUUUGUGCCAAGAGCUAGAGAACUUGGGAAUAGAAAUGAUUUCCCAAGGAAGCCUUUCCAAUCUAAAGAUCGAUUUCAAUCUCGAGGCUCAAAUCAUAAAGGCACAAAAAGAAAACAAAGGCAUGAGACAUCUUAAAGAGAAGAUUUCUAAUAGAGCACCCACAGACUUUAAGGUGGAUGAUGCGGGAGUAAUCUGGUUCAAGAACCGGUUAGUAGUUCCAAAGGUACCUGAGCUACGUCAGCAAAUCCUGGAUGAAGCUCAUACCACGAGGUAUUCCAUUCAUCCGGGAAGCAAUAAGAUGUAUCAGGACCUGAAGCAAAGGUUUUGGUGGACAAAAAUGAAGAUAGAAAUAGCUCGCUAUGUGGCCCAAUGUGACACCUGUCGAAAGGUCAAAGCCAUUCAUCUCAAAUCCGCUGGGGAGUUGCAACCUUUGCCUAUCCCCGCAUGGAAAUGGGAUGACAUAAGUAUGGAUUUCAUAGUAGGAUUGCCCAAGACGGCCAAGGGCUUUGAUUCCAUUUGGGUCAUAGUAGAUCGUCUCACCAAAACAGCACAUUUUCUGCCGGUAAAGCUAUUGUAUCCUGCCUCCACCUAUGCUAAGAUUUAUUUCGACCGUAUCCUAAGUCUGCAUGGGGUGCCAAAGACAAUAGUGUCAGAUAGAGGCACACAAUUUGUCUCCCAGUUCUGGAAAUGUUUACAUGAGUCCCUGGGCACUAAGCUUUUAUACAGCACAACCUACCACCCUCAAACUGGUGGGCAAACUGAAAGGGUGAAUCAAACCCUAGAAGAUCUAUUAAGAUCUUGUGCCCUGAAUUUUCCAGAUAAGUGGGAUGACUGCUUGCCUCUAGCAGAAUUUUUCCUACAAUAAUAGCUAUCAAGAGAGUAUCAAAAUGGCUCCCUUUGAGGCACUGUAUGGUCGCCGAUGUCGAACUCCGUUACACUGGUCGGAACCUGGAGAAAGAUGGUUCUUCGGAGUUGACUUAGUGAAAGAGACUGAGAACAAAGUGAAACAAAUCCAAAAUAACUUGAAAGUUGCUCAGUCCCGACAGAAAAGUUACGCUGAUAAAAGACGUCGACCAUUAAAGUUCGCCAAAGGUGAUCAUGUGUAUUUGAAAGUAUCCCCAAUGAAAGGAGUAAAUCGUUUUGGUGUUAAAGGCAAGUUAGCGCCUCGUUACAUUGGUCCAUUUCCAAUUAUUGACCGAUGUGGACAGGUCGCUUACCGCCUUAAACUGCCCGAACGAUUAUCCGGGGUGCAUAAUGUGUUCCAUGUGUCUCAACUAAAAAAAUGUCUUCGGGUACCAGACCGAGUUCAAGAUAUUGAAGAUGUAAAGCUUGAACCAGAUCUAACUUAUUCGGAAUACCCUAUCCGAGUACUGGAUCAAAAAGAUAGAGUUACUCGAAGGACAACCACCAAAUGGUAUAAGGUACAAUGGAGCCAGCACUCUGAAGAAGAAGCCACCUGGGAAUCUGAAGAUUACUUGCUAGAGAAUUUUCCUGAAUUCCAUGCUUCCCUUCAGGACAACAUAUGAUAACCAGAGAGUGUACUCUAGUGAAGGAAAAGAGUCGCCAAAGCCAUGUACUUAAUGUACAUAUAUGCUUAUAAUAAAGUAUUUUCCCCAACUCCUUGCCUUAUGGAAAAGUUGAAGAUGAAAGAGUUUUGACAAAUUUCCUUUUCCAUUACUUACCCUAAGGUUUUAAAUCUCGGGGACGAGAUUUUUUUUAAGGGGGAAGGGCUGUAACAUCCCUGAUGUUACGGUUACUAAAAAUGGAUCAUGUCAUCAUGAGCAUUGCAAAUCAUAUUUGUUAAAGCACAUUAGUAUGCAUCAACUUAAAACAAGUUUAUUUUUAUUGCUUGAGCUUAGGGAGGUAGAGUGUGUUUAUGUGGGAUGUUGAUGCUUGUGUGGUUGCUAAAAACCCUAGGGUGGAAAUUUUCCGAAAAGCUAAGGGGGGGAAAACCCUGAUUUCUGGAUCCUAGAUUUGUCCCCUUUUUGCAUAAGUCAAAAACUAAGCAAAAUUUGAGGUUGAGUUCAAAAGAAAAGUUGUAGCUCUUGGCAAGAUGUACAACUUUGGUGUUUUGAGUUUUUGAAGUUUCAAUACAAAAUUCAAAGUAAUUUUGAAAACACAGAUUUCCAGAAAGUGUCCCCUUUUCCAACUUAAACCCCCAAUUCAAAAUCCAUUUGGAAUUUUGAAAAGUGCUCAACAUGAAAGUUGUAGAGCACAAAAAAUGGAGCAACUUUCAUGUUGGGAGUUUUUCAAGUUGUUAUACCAAAUUAAAAGUAAUUCUGGAAAUCAUGAUUUGCCCCAAUUCAAAAAUUUGAAUUUCUUUUGAAUUGAGUUUGAUUUUCAAACUGUUUGGAAAAAUUUCCCUUUUUCCAUUGAGAAUCAGCUUGGGACACCUAAAUAUGAUUUGUAGCUUACAAAAUUUGGCACAACUUUUGUUUUGGUGAAAAUUUGACUUUAGUUCAAAUUUUGGUCGGAUUUCGCAAAAAGACAGACUGUAUGGAUGUGGCCUGCUACAGUGUUUGGCAGGGGGGGGGUGCUCUGCCGCCGCGGCAGAGCCGCCUCCGCGCGCGACGCCACGCAGCUGCUUGCUGCUGUGCUUCGCGCGGACGGCCUCAUCCACAUCCCCUGUUCCGCCGCUUGGAUAAAGCCUCGGACGGCCGGAGUGCUUCUUUUUCUUCCUUUGAACCUCACCGCCGACCACCACCAUCCGCCGCCAAAAUUCGUCCUCUCCGUUGCCUUUCCACGCGAUUUGAGCACCCCAGCGACUCCGCCUUGAGCUCCGCCACCGGUUGCGCCCCCAAGCGCAAGCACUAACCCACCAGAGCCCUUUCCCGAGCCGCUCUUCUCCAGCUCCGGCCAAAGCGCCGCCGCAAGCAUCCCACCGUGGCCAGCAUCGCUCAAAGCCUCUCCGCGGCUGUUUGUUGCUCGGUUGAAGUCGUGGUGAGCCUCUGUCGCUUUUGCGCUACUCUCUUCGCGCUGUACUCAAGCGUAGUGGCCGGUGUUUGCCCGGCCGAGGCGGCCGUCCGCCGUGUCCGUGGUCGCGGGGGUUAGGGGAGGAGAAAGGGGGUGAGAAGGGUAUCCAGAGGUGCGCCUUGGAAUGGAGAACGCGACCAGCAGGUCACGAGAAGCAGAGGAGGCACGGAUGGCUCGGUCGCGCCAUCGAUUCGGCCGGCCGGAGGUUGAAGACGGAGCUGACAGCGAGGGCCCGCUGUCAGCGACGUCCUGAGGGGAGGCGAGGGCGCGAGCGCGCGCAGCGCGGGUGCGGGCCGAGCGCGUGUGGGCCGGCCUGCGGCCCAGUUUCCAGGCCGCCCGCUGCGCUGUUUUUUUUUCUUUUUCCUUUUUGAUUAAAAUUGCUUGAUGUUUGAAUUUAUGUUAUAAAUUUUGUAGUGAUCCAAAAAUGAUGAAAAAUUUUGUAUAAAUUCCCUGAAAUAGUUAGAACCCAAGAAAAAUAUUAGGCUCUGUUUUCUGAUAAUUUGCCAGGAUAUGAAAAUUGGCUCUUUUAAUUACCAAAUAAAGCUUUGAUGAAUUUUAAUAAUUUAUUAGUAUGUCCAAAAAUCACCAAAAAUUGUGGGGAGCCUCUGAAUAUUAUUCCCUGGCUCCACCCAAAAUUUGGUGGCAUUUGGAUAAUGUUUGUUUAAAAUAUUAAUAAACCCUUAUUUAACACUUAAAUAAUAAUUCCAAAAUAAUUAAAUAGUGAUUAUUUAGAUCCUCAUAAUUAGGGUUGAGUGAUUUUGGAUUGUGUGAUGACCUGAGGUCAUUAACCCUAAUGACCUUUGGCAUUUAAUUGUUGUUUAGCCCUAAUGCUUAAUUACUGUCAUUAGUAAUUAAUUAAGAGUUAAUUAAGGUAAUUAGGAUUAAUAAUUAACUAAUUUAAGAUAAGUAUGAAUUAAAUAAAGUCUUAGUUUACAGAUGCAACCUCUUGGGUAAAACCAUUAAGUUAUUAAGCAACUUUAUUUAGCGAUAAUUCUGUAUUGCAUCAAGAAGGCGAGUUGUACUCGAUUUGGUCCUUCUUGCAUAUUUGUCAUACGCAUAUCAUGAGCAUUCAUCAUUUUGCGUAUAGUGUCCGUGACCGAAGGAGCGCCCGUUGAACCGAACCCCGAGGUCGGUGCUCCGUUCGAGGAAGUCGGAUCUGAGACUUGGGAAGUCUCCGAGGGUCCCUCUCUGCCCUGCAACCAAGGCAAGCCCCGGAUGCAUUAACCCCUCCUUGGAUGUUUUAAAUCUUUUGUCACUUAUGAAUUGAAAAUGCUGCAUUAGAUAGUUGAGAAUUGGGUUAACCUACUUGCUGCAUUUACUACCUUGAUAUCUAUAUCCUGUCCUUGACACCUGUUUUAUUUUAAAACUGCGUAGCGAUGCUUAGCCCUGCUACUAGAUAGGUUUUUAAACAAGAAAGUUUGAAGGGUUGUUGUGGGAUACACUUACGAUCAAUGAUGUUUCAAUUUGAGACCGGUCGGUGGACUUGCUCUAAGAAUGGAGUCUUAAAGUAGUGUCUCCGACUGUGUUGAUUAAGGACCGUUCCGUUGAUGGCCUGCUGGGUUGAGAAUUUAUAGUACUAGCCACUUGCCUUCGGUAAGCCCAGUCUUGUGAUCCCUCGACGCGAACAGCUACUCGCGCACUGGGAGUGGAAAGAUGGCGAGAGUAGUGUGUACCCACCUUACGGAUCUGAGAUGACCGGAAAACAUCUAGAUCGGCUGUAGGAUGGUGGAGUACUGUGCUCUCGGGUGCCGCGAACCUGGUCAAAUUUGGGGAGAGCUUGAUUUGGGUUGAUAUAUGCAAGAUUUGGUUCUACAUAUGUCGGGUGGUUAGGAACUCCAGCUGGAUUGCUAAGCGAUUCGAAUCGUCGUUGCUCCCCGAUUGGGAGACUCAAUUCCUUCGACCCUCAUCGUAGUUAAAUAUGUAACUAAGUGAUAAAAUGAGAAAGGGGAAAAUGUCUCAUGAGGUUCGGAUCCCAAUUCCCGGACUCAUAGCGACAUGAAGCUAUGGCCAUCGAUAACUAUUACUUUGUGAUAGGACUAGGAACUCACGGAUUCGUCUGUGAGGAACAACCAGUUAGACUGUCCUCGAACUCCUCGGCCUCUGCGAGGGAGGAAUUCGUGGGUAAAACUUGAAAAUAAGGAUGCACUACUAGUAAGCUUUUUACGCAAAACACUUUGGCUCCUUGCUCAGCCACCCCUUGUCUACCCUAAGCCUGCAUCCCUAAGUUCUCCUCUUUUCCCAUCGGGUAAGUCUUGUUGAGUACUCCCGUACUCAGGGUUUCAAUACCCCUGUUGCAGGUGAAGCUCAGGAGCCGACUUGUUUCGGACCCUGUUGUGUGACCGUCGUCGAGGUUGACGAAGAAGAAGAGUGAGCGUGACCCAUGGGCAGGGUCUGUAAAUUUGUUCUAUCUGCAUUAAAGUUUCAGUUGCUCCGCUGGACCAGGCUUGUAAUAACACUCUACUAUUUGGAAGAACUCCUUUUGUAAAUUAAGUUAUGUAAUACUUCCGCUGUUUCACUCUGAAAUAUUAUUUUGGUCUUGUGUCGUUGAGUUACGGCUUUAUCUUCGCAACGAAUGAUCCUGGUGUUAAGGUGGCCACUUGCUAUCCUGUAAGGGCGAGAAGAAACAGUUCUCGUCGUUCGACCAUUACCAGUGGUCAGGACGAGCCAGCUUGGUACGCCACAGGUAGCAGUGGAAUGAGCGCCCAGCAAUGCUCAUCGGACUUCUAAAGUGGGAGGACUCCCGGCAUCACCGUCAGAGGUCCUUAGGACAAUGGCAGGUGCCGGUGGGGCCCAAACACUUAGGAGGUUCUGCCACAGCGAGCGACGCCGCGGCGUUGUCUAAUCCGAAUGGCAGUGCCCUUCUUGGAGUGAACAACCCGUGUGGAAGUAGCUUAGCAGCGGUGGGGGAGGGCGCGCGAGACACGUCCCCUCCCGUCGUCGUGCGGUGCUGAGCCGUCGUGCCCGCGGUUCCGGCGCAUGGUGCUGCCGGCUCGUGGCCCACCUCCUGCCUCGCACGAGUUGUCGGUCGUGAUGAAGCAGAGGGGCGGCGGUGGUUCUGUCCGCGCCUCUUCUUAGGCGGGGAGGCGUGGUGGCGAGGGCGUCUCGGGGCCCUCAACCGUGCUGGUGUAACACGAGCUCCUCCUGGUCCUUUGACUGAGAGCAAGAUCAUGUCGUAGCUGGAGCCCGUAGACAUGAACUCGAGACUCCCAAACCAAAUCACCGUGGAGCGCGGAAUCGGCGAGGCGAGAGCAGCCAUCUGGAAAGGAGUGGGAAAUCGAUGAAAAACACGCAGGCCCCUACCUGGCGCGCCAACUGUCGGUGUUUUCCCCCCGGGGGUCACACCAACGAGUAAAUUUGUAUGCGUGCUCCCUUUUCCAGAUGGUGAUUCAAGAAGACACUGAGAUUUAUCCUGGUUCGGGCAAGAGAAGGCCCUACAUCCAGCGGGGGAGGGAAGUUUGUAUUAUCUUGCACCGAAGUGCUUGUACAGGGGCGAAUAAAAGCGUGGUAUGAAGUGUAUAAGUUCUACUACUUAUGAGCGUGGUGUUGUCUCUCUCCUAUCUAUUCCCGGGUUCUCCCUUUUAUAGCACCAAGGUGAGACCCAGGGUACAUGUAAAGGUGUCAGAGUAGGGGUCGAUAGGAGCAUGGCGCGCUGACCUACUCGAGGCUUCCGUACCGGCGUGGCCUCGAGCUGUCCCAUCUCGGUAGCCAAGUGAUGAUUGCGCGUGCCCCUGUAUCCCGCUCCGCGCACCGUCUUGGGCUGGUUCACCUGUUGCACGCCUGUACGGUAUGGCGGCAAACCCGUCGGAGCGGUGGCAGUGUUGUCAGUCGACGCCCAGCUCAUCCCCAGGAAGUAGCUACAUCUGGUCGAGGGUCGAACGCCAUGUAAUGCCCUGAUGUCCGGAGCGCUGACCUUGGUUGUCUCGAGGGGGGUUCCGAUUAGACGUUCCAUCCUUGUUUCCCGCGUCCUGACACGCUCUGGGUCGUUUGGUGGGGAAGGCUGCAAAAAGAACGAUGGGACAGGUGCCUGUUUCCUAUCACGCCUCCCGUGACCAGUGUGUUAGGUGGGAAUACGGCGGGCGCAUUAAAUGUCCUGGCUCUCGUGCGCGCGUCAGGCGGCGGACAGUGUCCUUGCGCUCGACGUGUCUCGAUUCGCUCGGGCCCAUUUUCGUAUUCAACGAUAGCUGGCGCUCGACCCUUGAUCGAUUCGCUCGACGCCAUUUCCGUCUUCGAGGCUGCGGUCGUUGACUGCUACACAUAUGUAUGAUCAGAGCGUCGAGUUGAGGGCCUCGACCUACGUACGGAUAAUCUCGUUAUGUGCAUCGGUGAGGGUACCCCUUAUUGAUACCCUCGACAGAUCAGCUCUCAUUCAAGAAUUUGAAGGGAGAGAGCAUGUGAUUUACUACCUAAGCAGAAGAUUGGUAGAUGCCGAAACAAGGUAUUCGGCUAUUGAAAAAUUAUGCUUAUACUUAUAUUUUCUUGUGUCCAAUUGAGGCAUUACUUGCUAUCAGCCGAAUGCACCGUUGUGUGCAAAGAUGAUGUAGUCUGGUACAUGUUAUCAAUGCCGAUUAUGAGUGGUAGAAUCGGCAAAUGGAUAUUAGCAUUGUCGGAAUUUGACUUACAUUAUGAAUCGACUAAAACAGUUAAAGGGCAGAUCAUGGUCGAUUUUGUAACUCAACACUGUGGUGUGGUGGAUACUUUGGAAAUUGUUCCUUGAACGCUCUUCUUUGAUGGAUCUAUAUGUGAUCAGGGGGCAGGUAUCGAUAUAGUGCUAAUUUCUCCUCAAGGAAAGAAGUAUGAGUUUUCUUUGCCAAUUGUUGCCACGUCGACAAAUAAUCAAGCUGAGUACCAAGCUUUGAUCAAAGGAUUAGAGUUAUUAAAGGAAGUUCAUGCCGAUGCUGUUGAAAUUUUUGGUGAUUCUAUGCUUGUUAUAAACUAGUUGGCUGGGAGUUAUGAAUGCCGAAGUGAGGUUUUAAUAGCAUAUUAUGAGAAAUGUGUACAAUUGUUGAGGGAAUUUAGGGAUUUCCGAUUAGAGCACAUUCCUCGGUUACAUAAUGAAGAAGCUAACCGGUUGGCUCCACAUGCUUCGGGGUAUCAGCCUAUCCUAGAAGUAUUAUCGACAGUCAAUGCCGAUGAUUGGAGAAAGGAAAUUAUUGAUUAUUUAAAGGAUCCAUCCAGGAAGUCGAGAGGCGUGUUAGGUUUCAAGCUAUAAAGUAUGUACUCCUUGAAGAAGAAUUGUAUUAUCGAAUGAUAGAUGGAGUUUUGCUCAAAUGUUUAGGUAAAGAUGAAUCCAAGAGCUUGAUGGGCGAAAUUCAUGAAGGACUAUGUGGAGCACAUCAAUCGGCUUUCAAGAUGAAGUGGAUGAUUAGGAGAAAUGGAUAUUAUUGGCUGACUAUACUUGAGGAUUGUUUCAAGUAUUUCAAAGGGUGUCAAGGGUGCUAGAAGUUUGGGAAUAUUCAGAGGGCGCCUGCAUCGGCUAUGAAUCCUAUUAUUAAACCUUGGCCGUUUCGGGGUUGGGCUAUUGAUCUCAUCGGUCAGAUCUAUCCACCAUCAAGCAAAGGACAUAAGUUCAUCCUAGUUGCCACUGAUUAUUUCACCAAGUGGGUUGAGGCUAUUCCUUUGAAGAAAGUAACAUCAGCCAAUAUGAUUGAAUUUGUGAAGGAGCAUAUCGUUUACCGAUUUGGCAUUCCCCAAACGAUCACUACCCAUCAGGGUACCAUGUUUACCUCAGGAAAGUUUGAUGAAUUUGCAAUCGGUAUGUGGAUUAAAGUGUUAAAUUCUUCUCCUUACUAUGCUCAAGCUAAUGGGCAGGCCGAAGCUUCUAACAAAGGAAUUAUUAAGCUAAUUAAACAGAAGAUGGAAGAAAAUCCUAGGAAAUGGCACACAUUGUUAAAUGAAGCCUUAUGGUCAUAUCAGAUGGCAUGUCAUGGUUCAACCAAAGUAUCGCCUUAUCAAUUGGUGUAUGGACAUGAUGUAGUAUUACCAUGGGAAAUUAAAAUAGGUUCCAGACGGAUGUUUUCUCAAGAUCAACUAACUGCCGAUGACUAUGCUACUUUGAUGAAAGAUGAGUUGGAUGAUUUAGUAGGGCAUCAGUUGAAAGCAUUAAUCAGCAUAGAGCAAAAUAAGAAGAGAGUUGCUAAGUGGUAUGACAAAAAGGUAAAGCCAAAGAGUUUGCCGAUGGAGAUUUGGUGUGGAAACUGAUUCUACCGAUUGGGACUAAAAGCUCAAAAUUUGGAAAAUGGUCCCCUAAUUGGGAGGGUCCUUAUCGGAUAAAUCAAUCUGCUCCCGGCAAUGCUUAUAUUUUAGAAACUCUCGAAGGAGUUGAAUUUCCUAGGGCAUUAAAUGCAAAAUAUUUGAAGAAAUACUGCCCGAGUAUCUGGAUUGAUGCAUAAAUGCCGAUAACAGUCCUAUCGGCUAGACAAAAUGUUAAGUGUAUCUAGAGCCAUGCAUGAAGUUUAAACGCCGAUAACAAUCCUAUCGGCUGGACCAAAAUGAUUGAAGUUUUUGAAAAUAGAAUUAAACAAGUUGCCGAUGAAAAGUUCACAGAUUCAGCAAAGCCUGGAUGGCCGAUAUCGCGCACAGACAGAUCUGGUUGGCCUCUUCUAUUCCCCGAGUAUCUUGAUCGGCAGAACCUUCGACUGGUUUCAGCUUCUUUUCAUCUGUAGCGCUUUGCGGGCUUGGACAUCCCUCUUUUGCUGAAGAGUCUUGAGCGCAUCGGGCAGUUGGCUUUCUUCUUGCUAAGCUUGAGUUAGGGCCUCUUCUACUUGCUUAAGUUCAGCUAAUAGGGCUUCUCUUCUUGCCGAUAGAUUGGAAAUCUUUUGUUUCAGCUCACCUCCUGAGGACUACAGAACACCGAUGCUCUUGUGUUUCUCAUCGGCAGCAUGCUUUACUUGCAGCAUCUCCUCUUUGAGCUAGGCAUAAGCAGCUCUAUCGACAAGAUGCUGGGUGACCUUCUGAUAUUAGAGUUGACGACUUUCUAAGUGGGCAACAUGGAAAAGGAUUUCUUCUACAUCGGCUGGAAUUUUGCCACGGAGGGUCUUGAAUAUAACUUUGGCCGGAUCAGAGUCGUCCACUAGCUGGGCCGUGUCUUGGUGCAAUAGGGCUAGUAGAUCUUCCAACUUAGCCUUGAUCUCUGCCCAUGUAAUUCCAAUUGCCUGAGAGGAGCUUGCUUCUUUGCCUUCAUCAUCAGAGAUGUCGAUAGCAAAGGAGAAUAGGCUAUUUGGGGAAUCCUGCUCCUAGAAACAGAAAAAGAUGAGUUACUCAAAAUUAAGUGUUGAUAAUGCAAAGUCUUGAAUAUUGAGUAACUUACUUGUUUCAGGGCGAUUUCCUAUCUGUGAUGUGGAGAUGCAGUUGGUACUAUAGUUUGAUCGGCUAGAGAUGCCGAUGGAAUGACUUCAACUAAAAAUUUCCAGGGGUGAUUAUAGCUUAUAAAUAAAGUCAUCAGUAAUAAUUUUGCGAUCGGUGCUUUACCUUGAGAAUGUACAGUGAUGGUCUGCUCUGGAGGGACGACCGAUGAUGUGCCCAGGCCAACCGGAUCGGUGAUCUGUUCAGAAACAUCGGCUGGUAUUUCUUACAUCUGGGGCUCCGAUGGAGGAGGAGAAGAUGUUACUGGGAUCGAGGAAACUGGACGAAGUGGAGAAGAUGGUGCGGUCCUCUGCCGCUUUGGCUGGGUCUUGGUGCUCUUUGGCCUUUUCUCUUAGGUGGAGCUUGACUGAGCUAGGGGGCAUCGGCACCUGAUGUUUGAGUCUUCUUGGUCUUUGCCGAUGCACCAGUCUGCUGCUAUUAUGAACAUCAAAAUUUCAUAAGUUAGAUAUAAGAAAGAGAUAUUAAUGGAAUUUGUUAAGGAAUAAAAGUUUAAAGAGGAGUUACCGAUGACGUUCCUAUCGCAGCCGAUAUACCCUGAAAAGAAAAUAUAAGUAGGAGAUGAAAUUUUUGUAAAUAAAGAGAGUCAAAAAAAUUUACCUUGAAAGCCUGUGCCAAAGUGGCAGCAGCUACCGAUGGAGAUACUUUCGAUCGCUUAGUCGUCUUUUUGAAGCGAAUGUUGUGGUGCAUCAGAGCUGAUAGACUCAGCGCAUUGUGGCCGAUCAAAGAAAUUGGGCCUGACUGGAGAAGUUCAAUUGGCCUCCCACUCCUGCUAAUUGUCGGCGCUGGGUCAUUGACCUGUUGAAAUAAGAAUAAGUAAGUUGCUGAUAAAGUUAAAAUUGACAGAGGAACCGAGGUAUCGGCAGGAGACUUACAAUGUCAUCGGGGACUCCAUAGUCGGAGUCAAUCAUGCCGCGAUACGUCUAAGCUGAUACCCUGAAUAGAUGCUCCUUCCAUUCUUCCCAAAAUGUUUAUACAGCUGAGUAAUGAAGAGAGCUGGGACCCAGGCCGAUAGAUCAAUGUCUAUGAUAUUGGCAUCUGGUUGGAGUUAAGCGAUCCUAAUCCACUCAAGUCUGCUGUUUAUUGUCUCUCUUGGUUUUACUAAGUUGGCAUAACAGAGUUUGAUCGGCAGUUGACCAAUGGCCAGUUGGCGAGCCAAUGCCGAUGGGUUGUAAAACUCAUAAGUGGUGUUGAUGUUCUUCGCGCUGCCAAAUCUGUUCACUGGGAUUGCUCUCGGAGUGAUGAAUGCCAUCAUCAGAUCAUUAUCCUUGAUGAGAGCAUUGUCAAAACGGUGGAAAGUGAGUAGAAACCUAGUUUCUAGGUCUUCAUAAGGCAUCCAUGCUCGCUGAUCUUUGGAGAGGCCAUCAUACAGAGUUUGAAAGAAUCGGCCGACCUUGUUUUCAUUGCAACUAGUACCAGGGAGAACUAUGACAGCUUCACCAUAGUUAAGGCGUAAGCGAGUUGCCAAUUCAUCGUCUACUAGUUCAUAGUCUUCGACAAUAUCUCGAGGGAAUCGUUGUGUAAAAAAGUCAAACCGAAGGCGCUUGUGCAUAUGAACAUUGAGCCACAUGUUGAUGAACCACCAAGGGCCUCCCAGAUUGUCGAUGGGUUCACCUAGCAGGAGUUUCUCAGUCACUUGAUGAAGGAGAUGAUAGACGGAGCCUAGCAGGUAUCGACCAAGGGAGAAUCGGCCACCAUCGGCUAAUCUUUCUGCUGCCGAUAAGUAGACAGAGGUUGGUCCUAGCAAUCGGCCACAGAUGAUGAAUUUGUCUAGCCACAUGUUCAGAAAAGUGGCAUGUUCCCUCGGACCGACCGAUCCCUUUUUUGGUAUUUCUGGAUAUACCCUGACCAGCCGCCAAUGUUGUGGGUUUCUACUUUGCGUUCGGCUUUACGGCCGAACAACUGGCCAUCAUCGGCAGUUGCAAUAUCUAACCCAGUGAGCAUGAGGACAUCGACAAGAGUGGGGGAAGCUGGGCCAUGGCAAAAAAAUGAAGGCAUUGAAAUUAUCUGACCAAAAAUAUGAGGCAGCUAUCAGCAAUGACUCAUUUCUAUCCAUAUCGGCAAUGGACAAUCUGAUGCACUGAUCUAUCUUGUGCUCACCCCAGUAUACUUCAUUUGUUUUGCUAACCCUCAAAAACCAAUCCUUCCAUCCUUUAGUGGGGUUUGGCUAGGAUCGGAAGGUAUCCUUCCAUAGAUCUAAAGAGAAGUUUUUGGCCCUAAAAGGGAUCCUAUUGGUCUCUGCAUUAAUCAAAUCGGUAGGAUCUGGGUCACCUAGUGGACCGAGGCAUUGGAGGUGAGGUUGUUCGGUAGGAAUAACAAUUUUCUCGCUCAACUCCUAAAAUUCGAAGAUUGAAAGAACAGAGGGAGAAAGAAGAAGGAGAGAAAGCAAAGUAAGUAAAUUUGCAGAAGGGUAAAGGAUUGCAGUAAAAGGUGGGGGUGGAUUAACCUCGGGCACGAUGAAGUUGACGGCCAUUUCUUUCUGAAUAAGGAGAAGGAGCUGAAGACUUGGAGGUUCUUGGGGAAGUUCUUGUUGCACAAGUUCUUCAGUUCUUCAAUAAUGCCGCCGCCAGAGAGAUGAGUUUGGGGAAUGAAGGAUGGUGAGGUAGAGAAGGAGUGCUGAGGAAGGAGGUAUUUAUAGUAUAAAGUGGACAAGGGUAUUUUUGACUUAUCUCCUUGCCGUAUCUGUGAAAUUCGAGGGUGUUCAGGUGGAUAUGGUAACUGUUCGCACGAUGAUCAAGGGAUUAUACAGGUGAUUUGAAAACAAGUAAUCAUGAUGUUAGGAGAUAUUUCACUGUGUAGGAUCUCUUGGUCGGCUCAUCGGCAGUCAACUAUAACUGAAUAGUUGCCGAUGAGCGGGUGUUUCAGAAAUUUGAAUCGGGUGGUUGGGAAAUUCGAGGUGCAUGCUAGAAACCCGAAUUAAGGUUGUUUGGAUUUGGCAAUUAAUUGCUGUCACGAGGAAAUAAUUGUGAAAAAGGCGUCAUUAUCAGGAGAGAAUUUUGGACCAUUAAUGAUUUUAUACACCGAAAUUGGGGGGCAUGUGUUGACACUGUAUUCUGACAUGAAUCAGGAAAAAUAAUGAAGCCUGGAUCGACAGAUGGAAAAGUGCUGACUAAUCAAUGAGGGAGUGUUGACGGUCCUUAAUGCUCACAUUUAACCAUCAACUAAUCAUGGAAAAGGAUCCAAAUGCAACCAACACCCAGACUUAGGGUUUUAUCUCACAGAAUUCCACGAGUUUUGGUGUUUGUUUAUUUCUGCAGGGGGUUAUCAGGAAAUACGGAGGAAAGGCCCCCACGUCGAGUUUACAUAGAGAUAUUAACGUGCCGCACAAUUUUCUAUCAUUUAGAAGACUCCAGAAGCCACGGGACCGAACGGGAAGGCAAUCGGGCUCGGAGGCAGGGCGCCCGCCCUACUCUCCUGGGCGCCCGCCCAGCUACAGUGCCCAAUCAGGACACGUCUCGCGGAUUAUGCUCCACUGACCUAAAGGAUCAAGGAAAACCGUGCGAUUAAUGUCGGUUUGAUCCAACGGCCCAGAUUCACUUGAAAGGACUAUAAAACCAGACCCCCUGGCCCCUGGAGAUCAUACCUCUUCUACAGAAUCAAAGCUAGGGUUUCAAUUCUUCAUCCAAGUAGAGAGGAUCCCUCUAGUUCUUCUAGUUCUACCUCUAGUUCAUCUAGAUCUAGUUCUAGUUCAUCUAGUUCUAGUUCUAGUUCCUCUAGUUCUAGUUCUAGUUCUAGUUAGUUCUAGUUGUAAUCUAGAAAAUAGGGAGAGAGAAGAGGAGAGCAGAGGAGGAGCCGGAUCUGUCGGAUCUUCCUCAACAUUGUACUUUUGCAGCAACUGGUUCGUUCUUCAUCGUUCUCCAGGUUCUUCAAUUCAUAAUUCCUGAGUUCUUUAGUUACUUUUAUUUACAUUCAAGUUAUUUAUUGGAUUCCCGCUUGCAUCAAGUGCUCUAAUCUUUGAAACAUUAGAGUAGUAAUUAAUAGAUUAGACGUGAUGUUUAGUCUUGCAAUUACCUGGAAUUGCACCCAAUCUUGCAGAUUGUUGUGGUAGCCUUAGGGUAGUGACAGCCCUAACGGUCGACGUAUUCCACCUCGUUCGGAUCGGUGCUUGUAAGACCGUAGUCAGACCUUCCUAGCCCCCUUCUCAUCUCUUUCUGUGGUUAGUGCUCUGAUGUCCCGAAAUAGAUAAUCUUAAAGUAAUUCUUGAUUCUUAGAUCAACUAGAGAACUCUCAGGCAAUGUUUUCCUAAACGCUAAACGGUAAACAGUCGGUCACCUACCGUUUAGCCAUUAUUCGGGCUAAGCAGUCCAUUAAACAGGCUAAACGGUCAAUUAAACAGACUAAACAGAUGAUUAAACGGAAACGGUGUAUCAUUGUGUAGCGUUUACACGGCGUUUAAACGGUCUAAACGGCCGUUUAGGCGAACAGUGCUCUCAGGAAGCUUCCUCUCUUCCCACCAAAAAUAAUUAUAUAGUUAUCCUUGGGCGAUCUUGGAUCUUACUUAGUACACUCAUGUUCCCUGUGGAAAAUCAAUACUCUGGAAUACUCCUGGGUGAAGGCUACAUCGGUAUCCGUGCGCUUGCGGAUUUUUCUGUUUGCGUUUAAAAUACCCAACAAGCUUUCUGGCGCCGUUGCCGGGGAACGGUAGCUGUGCUAGUUUCGAACCAAGUCGUCCGUGUAUCCUUUUUCUUUUCCUUUUUUACCACACUCACCUUAUCACUUUCACCAUACCACAUGGAUUUCACUCUAAGAAUUAAUGAGCAUGGAAUUUAUUUCAUAGCCACUUCAUUUACUCCAUGCUCAUAUGCAACAUCUUCACAAUCCAUUGGUCUCUCCAACAUCACCACAUUCGAGAUCUCCAACCCCCACUUCCUUUCUAUUUAUAAAAACUUUAAAAGGGCGGUUGUCGAUGCAUAUGUCUAUAAUAAAUUUUGCAGAUCUCGUUGAGUUGAUCUUGAUAUAGGUCAGCGUUGGAGGGGAAACCACUUAGCCGACAUAAAUUGAUGGUUUCCCAAGGACAAGCUUAGUGUCCUAAAACAAGCACUGAUCAGAUUGUAACAUGAGCUUUUAGUUAUUUACAACAUUACCUUGUGUGUUGAGCAUAUAAGGAUAAUUGUAAAAAUAUUCCUUCGGGUAUUCUUGUCACUAACCUUUCCAGGAUUGGAGCAAGAAGAUCGGAUGAAUGACAAGCACAAGGUAUGUCCAACCAAUCAUCAUACAACAUUGAAUUAAAUUCAUCCAAACUUGAAUUUUGCAAAAUUCAAGCUUGGGGGAGUACUUAACAUAAAAACAUCCAUUGCCAUGUUGCUAUGUUGGUUGUCCCUACCUUUGAGACAUGCUCAAUUUGUUAAAUACUAAUCACACUACUCUCCACUUGAGUAGAUCUCUAUAAAAGCCAUCACGCUACCUUUGUUUGGUUAUUGAACUAAAAACUGCUUGUGUAGACAUUGGUAUAUUUUGUUCGACUAACCCCUGCAGGAAAACUUUCAAUAUCGACCAGGGAAGUCCUCAGAUAAACUCACAUUGGAGACAAAGAGAGACACACAUGAAGUUUAACAAUUUACACAAGGAAGGCAUAGCUCACAAGAGAUGAUCCAUGGAGGGUGCCAAAAACACGAUGCACAACCGCUAAGAGAGGAAAGCUUCCACAAGGUGAUACUGUACCAUCACUCUUCAAGUAAGGUAACAUCUUAAAGUACUUGACUAUCACUUCUAUAAGCUUCUCCUUGGUUCUGGCGUUCACAUGAAUAAUAGAGACAAACAUGUAUGAUCUACAACUCUAGAUUAACCAACCCAAUCGAUUCAACAUGUUUAGUCCUUCCACCUUUGUGAUUCCACACUCCUAAUCAUAUUAGCUAAAAUGUUGCACACUCAAUCUUUGGAUGAUAUAAACAAAACAUAUAUAUAGAUAGAUUAUCUUUCCAUAAGCUUGAGCAAUCUAAUCUGACAAAUGUUAAAUACUACACUCAUGAUUUUAUUAUCCAUCAACUUUGUCUUGCUCACUAUGCUUGAGGUUAGAGAAGAACAAAUACACUUUUGGUUCUGUUGGUGUUUUCCACCAACAGGGCCCAUGCACUUGAUCUCUGCCUUGUCUCUAUGAGUAGGUACACUUCGAGCAAAAUAUGAAGGAGUUUUACAACUCCCAGACUCCACCAAAGUGAAGAACCUAGAUCUAUGAGCACAAACAUGCUGGAGAUACUGGACACUCAUGCAUCACUGCCCUGAGAUGCUUGAGGAUGUAACUACUGGAGUAACCCCGUUGUGGAAGUAAUUACUGACCUUCUGCCGGUCAAGAGAGACAAUCUAGGAUGCCCCGUCAUCCCAAUCUCCAUCGGCAUGGUGGACUUUCUAGAAGCACUCUGCGACUUUGGCUCCAGCAUCAACAUUAUACCUAGGGGAAGCCAUUCCUGAACACCUCGGGAGCUGUCAUCUAUGCUAGUGCGGCCAAGAUCAGUUUCUACAUCAAGGGGAAGAAGGAGACGUUUUCCUUCAAGAAACAAGACUACACAAAUCCCAGAGCAAUCCCGACAUGAACCAAGGAAGAGGACCAACAGGAGGAACAAGAACAAGCAAAUGUGUACCAAGUCAGCUAAGAUGGUCACUGCAGCUCAAGGAGGUCAAGAUCGUCAACUCAAGUCACCUUUCUUGAUCAAGAAGGACGACCCUGGUGUUCUAAGCAUCGAGUGCACAAUCAACGGAUAUUCUUUUCAGAAGACACUCUACGACACCGGAUCUAACGUCAACAUAUUGGCCGCAGUCACUUAUCAGCUCCUGCAUGGAACCAUGUCCCUACAACCAACAUACAUUCAGCUCCAGAUGGCAGAUCAGACAUUCUGAAAGAUUGAAGGUUAUUGACAUGGGAGAAGACGAGUACGAUCCACCCAUCAUCCUUGGAAGACCGUUCUUUAGCACCAUUAAAGCAAUCAUAUACAUUGGAACCAGAGAAGUCCACAUGCACUUCCCCUCAGAGAAGGUACGCCAUUGUUUUACUGACCCUAACUAUAUAGUUGAAGACUCUAAGCAGGUCAGGACAAGAAGACGACGACGCAACCGCAACCAGAGGAGGCAAAUCAUCAAGGACAGAUGGGUAGACUAUGAAGGAGAAGUUGUAAGGUCUGAAGACAUACAACUUGAAUAGAACUGUCCUGAGGAGACCGUAGCACCGAGUCAGGUGUGGAAAGAGAAGAUAGUUAUACACGAAGAGGAAGCACCGUCGGAACCACCGACUACACCAUCCAGUGAAUCCCAGAAUGACUCAGGAAACGGAGAGUCCAGUUCGGAGGACUUAAAAACACCGAACGCCUUGCCAAGAGGUAAACUUGGUAGCUAUCUUUUUCCUUUCAAUUAUUUAAAACAGUUUGCUUAGUUAAUCAGGUUCAUAUCAUCUUAAAAAGAAAAUAAAAAUGUUAAAAAUAGUAAGCCCCAUGUGAGUAUGCUCAUGGCAUAAAACCCAUAAGUACAUUCACUGUGGUGGCAUAAAAAUAAAAUAAAUAUAUUCCUGUCCUAUAAAAAUGAAAAUAUAAAAAUAAUUUUAUGAUCCUGCUAAAGAGAGUAACAUUUAUUGAGGAGGCUCAACAUGAUAAAGGCUAGGUAUUUACGCUAACCCUUAACCAGUUCCACAAAGCUUUGUUGUCUAUUUGAACUCCACAGAAUUCAAGGAUCAAAGAAGACUAGCAGACGGAGAACAUCCUAAUCGCUGACAGAGUGCUGCCGACAUUCAAAUACACCUCCGCCAGCUGCUAGCUACAUCAGAAGAAAUUACGUCAAAAUCCAGCUUGGGGGAGAGCACCCCCAUUUAUCCAGCUAAGUGUUCUACUCAUGUUUAUAUUUUACUCAAAUAAUAAAAAGAUGCAUGAUCAUAAAAACCCAAAUAAAGAUUUUUUGCUUAUAUAUAUAUCUUUGCUUAGUUUGCUAAAUAAAUAAAUAAAGUUUGCUAUGAACCCUCGUGAUAAGCUCUCAUAUGGAAAUGAUAAAUAGUUGCUCUACCAUGGCUAGUUCUCGAAAUUGAAAUCUCUCUCAAGUUUAGGCAUGACUGGUAUUAAUUAAUAUUUGCUCUAAACCUGAUGUUGUGGGG
RNAcentral lists this long non-coding RNA (166077 nucleotides) under Sorghum bicolor (sorghum). RNAcentral's name for it is "long non-coding RNA (SBIC_LNC016370)". Lineage: Eukaryota; Viridiplantae; Streptophyta; Magnoliopsida; Poales; Poaceae. The record is from RNAcentral.